GGCGGCUUGGUGCGGGGGCGUAGUGGUGGGGCGANNNNNNNNNNNNNNNNNNNNNNNNNNNNNNNNNNNNNNNNNNNNNNNNNNNNNNNNNNNNNNNNNNNNNNNNNNNNNNNNNNNNNNNNNNNNNNNNNNNNUUAUGAUCAGAUUAUCUAUGAAUCUUAUUUGAGUUUCUUCUGAUCUCUUAUAUGCAUGAUUUCAUAUCGUUGUAAUUCUCUUCGAGUUGUGGGUUUUGUUUGUCCAACUUGAUCUAUGAUUCUUGCAAUGGGAUAAGUGCUUGGUUUUGGGUUCAUACCGUGCGGUGACCUCACCCAGUGAAAGAAGGGGUAGCGAGGCACUGAUACGUCUCCAAUGUAUCUAUAAUUUUUGAUGAUUCCAUGCUAUUGUCUUGUCAACUUUGGAUGUUUUAUAUGCAUGAAUAUGCUAUUUUAUAUCUUUUUUGGGACUAACCUAUUAACUCAGUGCCAAGUGCCAGUUUCUGUUUUUUCCAUGUUUUUGGCCCAUUUUCAGACGGAGACCAAAUGGAAUGAGACUUUACGCUGAUUUUUUUGGACCAAAAGAGACCCUCAAGCUUUGGGAGAAGGCCAGAUGGGCCACGAGGGAGUGACAAGCCCUCACGCCGCCACCACCCCCCGGUGGUGGCGCGCAGGCUUGUGACCUUCUCGUGGGCCCAACUGACGCAAUUCCACCACCAUAAAUUCCUAUAAAUUCAGAAACCCCGAAAAAGAAACCUAGAUCGGGAGUUCCGCCGCCACAAGCCUCUGUAGCCACCAAAAACCAAUCUGGAGCCCGUUCUGGCACCCUGUCGGAGGGGGAAUCCAUCUCCGGUGGCCAUCUUCAUCAUCCCGGCGAUCUCNNNNNNNNNNNNNNNNNNNNNNNNNNNNNNNNNNNNNNNNNNNNNNNNNNNNNNNNNNNNNNNNNNNNNNNNNNNNNNNNNNNNNNNNNNNNNNNNNNNNAUCUUUAGCUUUCAAUGAGCCAUAUUACUUUGUCUUCUCCUUUUGGUUUGCCUACAGAUUCAGCUUAGUCCAUUGCACGAGCACUCUUAUUAUUGUUCACAUAGUUCGAUCAUGCAAAAUGAAAGGCAAUAAUGAUGAUAUAUGAUGAAGUGACUGAGACUGGAAAAGCUGGUAUGAACUCUAUCUAUUUUGUUUUUGUAAAUAUGACUAGCUUGUCAUGCCUCAUUCACCUUUGUUGUGAGAGAACCAUGUUUGCAAUGACAACUUAGAGAUCAUAGAUUCUGAUGCCAUGCUUAACUGGCUGAGAGCUUAUAAUGGUUUGUGUUGAAUGCCAACAUUGAUUUUGAGGUGACUAUGAUGUAGUAUGAUAGGNNNNNNNNNNGCACAUGUUCAUACAUGUAGUUGAAAGAAAAUCAACAUAGCCUCUAUGAUGUUCAUGUUCAUGGUGAUUUAUCUCCUGUUCAUGCUUGCAUUCAAUGUUAGUCAAACUCAUUGCAUCUUGAUGACUGUUGUCGCUCUCUAGUUGGCCGCUUCCCAGUCUUUUGCUAGCCUUCACUUGUACUAAGCGGAAUACUGCUUGUGCAUCGACUUCCAUAAACCCAAAAGUUUUUCCAUGAGAGUCCACCAUACCUACCUAUUUGCGGUAUCUACCUGCCGUUCCAAGUAAAUUUGCAUGUGUCACUCUCUAACCCUUCAAGAAAUAAUCUGUUUUGCAUGCCGGAACCGCUCAUGUGGUUACAGGGGGCUAUUGGUAUCUUCCAUGUUAGGCGUGUUAUCCUCGACAUGUGUUUAUUCACUGUCAUUCACGAGAAAGGGGCCGGUAAUUGGAAUGCCCAGUUCCACGCUUAAAUAGAAAACAUAACUGUAAAACAAGACUCCCCCCGGAUUGAUGUUAGUAUGGACGGUACCCGAGGAUUCGGCUCGCCGUGGAGUGUGAUUGAUUGGUGGCGGGGGAGUUAAAACUUUACUUUUCUGUUUGGGAACCUCCUAUAGCAUGAGUAGCAUGGAAGAUAUUGAGAACUCUUGGUCAUUGCGUUGACAAUGAAAGGUUGCCACCCAAAAUUAUUAUCUCUGUUUUCAAAGCUUGAGCUCUGGCACCUCUGCAAAUGAAUGCUUCCCUCUGCGAAGGGCCUGUCUAUUUAUUUUCCUGUUGAGUCNNNNNNNNNNCUUGCCACCCAAAAUUAUUAUCUCUGUUUUCAAAGCUUGAACUCUGGCACCUCUGCAAAUCAAUGCUUCCCUCUGCGAAGGGCCUGUCUAUUUAUUUUCCUGUUGAGUCAUCCUCUUCUUAUAUAAGCACCAAUUAGAGAGCACCUCUGUCAUUUUUAUGCUUUGCUUUUGAUUGAUAUUGAGUAUGACUAUUACUGGAUCUUCGUUGCUAUGAAUUACAAUGUUUAGUCAGUCCUUGAUCUUUGAAAGUGCUCUGCAUUUAUGUUUUGCGGUCUCAGAUAGAGCUAGCGAGAUACCACGUAUUCUUAUUGCUUCAUGCUUGUCUUGAUUGAAUUGUUGGUAUUUGAAACUCAUUAUUAUUUGCUCGUUAGCUGAUUAUGCCAUUGACAUCAGUUUACCGUGAGACCUUUGUGUCACUUGCUUAUGUGGUUAACUUACGAUCUUGCUGAAAUUCUGGUUAUGAGUUAGACAUAGUUGCAACAACAAGAUCAAAUAGAGUUUGUCAAAGUUUUUCUUUCUCUUUCAGUUUGUCAACUGAGUUGCUUGAGGACAUGCAAGGUUUUAAGCUUGGGGGAGUUGUUACGUCUCCAACGUAUCUACUUUUCCAAACUCUUUUGCCUUUGUUUUGGACUCUAAUUUGCAUGAUUUGAAUGGAACUAACCUGGACUGACGUUGUUUUCAGCAGAAUUGCCUUGGUGUUGUUUUUGUGCAGAAAUGAAAGUUCUCGGAACAUCCUGAAAAUUUACGGAUAAUAUUUCUGGAAAAUAUGAAAAAUACCUGCGCAAAGAUCCACCGGAGGGGAUGGGCCAGUGGGCCACAAGCCGUGUAGCCGCCACCCCCCUGGUGGCGGCUAGCAAGCUUGUGGGGCCCACGUGGCCCUGCUGCCCCCAAACAUAGCUCUAUAAAUUCACCUUCGUCCCAGAAAAAAUAAAAAGAGAAGAUUUCGUCGCGUUUGCGAUACGGUGGCGCCGCCACAUCCCGUUCUUCAUCUGGAGGGCAGAUCUGGAGUCCGUUUUGGGCUCCGGAGAGGGGAAAUUAUCGCCAUCGUCAUCAUCAACCUUCUUCCCUCUCCAAUUCCAUGAAGUUCUUCAUUGUUCGUGAGUAAUCUAUUCGUAGGCUCACUGGGAGGUGAUGAGUAGGAUGAGAUCUAUCAUGUAAUCGAGUUAGUUUUGACGGAGAUUGAUCUCUAGUAUCCACUAUGUUGUGAGAUUGAUGUUGCUACCACUUUGCCAUGCUUAAUGCUUGUCACUAGGGCCUGAGUGCCAUGAUUUCAGAUCUGAAAUUAUUAUGUUGUCACCAAUAUAUGUGUGUUUUAGAUCCGACCUUGCAAGUUGUAGUUACCUACUAUGUGUCAUGACCCGGCAACCCCGGAGUGACAAUAACCGGAACCACUCCCGAUGAUGACCAUAGUUUGAGGAGUUCAUGUGUUCACCAAGUGCUAAUGCGNNNNNNNNNNNNNNNNNNNNNNNNNNNNNNNNNNNNNNNNNNNNNNNNNNNNNNNNNNNNNNNNNNNNNNNNNNNNNNNNNNNNNNNNNNNNNNNNNNNNAGCACGUAUGACGACACACGGAAUGCAUGCCUACAUCACAUUGACGAACGGGAGCUAGCCACAUAUCUCUCCGUGUUAUAACUGUUGCAUGAUGAAUAUCAUCCAAACAAAUCACCGACCCAUUGCCUACGAGUUUGUCCUACUCUUGAUGUUACUUGUUUUGCUCUGCUGCUGUUACUACUGUUGCUGCUGCUGUUACUUGCUCUGUCGUUACUUGCUACUGUUUCUACUUGCUACUGUUGCUACUUGCUACUGCUGUCACUACUGCUGUUCCUUGCCACUGUUGCUACUUGCUACACUGCUGCUACCUGCUACAAUACUUUUCUGGCGCCAUUGAUACAAUCGUUAAGAAUAGUCUGCAGUCAACAGAUCGUUUCUGACACCGUUGUUAUUAUAUUACUUUGUUGUUGAUACUUUGCUUGCAGAUAUUAAUCUUUCAGGUGUGGUUGAAUCUGACACAUUCAGCUGCUAAUACUUUAGAAUAUUUUUUUGCUUCCCUUGUGUGAACCAACAAAUUUGGGUUGAAUACUCUACCCUCGAAAACUGUUGCGAUCCCAUACGCUUGUGGGUUGUCAAUAGACUGUUCGGAAAGUUGAACAUGACAUCACUAUAGACUGUUCGGAAAGUUCAAAGAUUCGAUCAGUAUAGACGAACAUGACAUCUGGAUUAUGAAAGUAUAGCUGGACUCACCCACUCGAUGUGAUUAUGACUUGAGUAGUCGUCCCUGGUGCUCAGGUGGGCAAACUCUUCCUAUUCUCCUUUAAAGAGAUCAGCCAGAAUGACAACCAUUUCUGCCUGGUCGGCGGGAUCCUUCCGUUUGUAGCGGGUCGCGUCACUUAUGACAUUAUAAUGUCAUAAGGGAUGCAUCCUUUGUUAGAGAGGUUGGACGCAUCGAGCAAUAGUAGUGGCCAUCACAUCAAUGAUGGUUAACUUACUGUGAUCUAGCAACCUCACCUUGCUGGUGAGAUUCUUCACUUCGGCGCUCUCCUCUUGGGAAGGAUUUUUUGGACGCCAGAUAAACCGUUUCUUUAAAGGAGCAGUUGAGUAUUCGGGUAGACCCCUCCGAGCUGGAUCGAAUAGGGGGGCGUCCUCGAUAUAAAACAACUCUGGGUCCACUCUUUGGAAUCCUUCUUUAGAGUCCCAAUAGGAUACCCCGUUAUAGCUAUGCACCAUUCUUUGGCUCCGCCAACUUUAAUGACAGUCUCUCAUUGGGUGCGGGGGACAAGGCGGAAUUUUUUUCUACACAAUUCAAAAUGGGCCUCACAGCCCAAGAACAUCUCACAAAGGGGUCCCGAGAUAUGGCGAAUAGAUCCAAGCGUAAUAUGAUGAAGCUGGAUUUCGUAAAACCCCUUAGGAAGGGGUGAAUGGGGAAGCCUAAACCUCGUAAGAGGAAGUGGACGAAGCGUACCCUCUCUUCCUUGCGUGGGAUUGGGAAGUUCUCUGCAAAGGCCUCGCCGUUCUCGGAAGUUAAUUCGGGGAGGGUGGACGCUAGAUCUGAAGUAGGAAGGUAUCCUUGCGCUUCAAGACCGCUUAAUUGCAGACGGGAUACAGAGCAGCUCGCACGGUCCCCUCGGAGGGGGCCAUGAGGGCAUGACGAAGAGCUUGGAACGCUUGACAUGUGUCCAAGUUCCUUGGUUUGUUUCUCUCGAUGGUUGGGGAAUAAGAUCUGUUGUUUGUGGCACGCCCAACCUUUUUAGUAGGUGUUUUUCCCCUAACCCACGAAGGGUAUUUCUAUAAGAGACUGUUGGACCGUUCGCCUCUUAUCGACGCACAGGAAUCGAGGGGUGUCAUUAAUUUUGUGCAGCGAAGUCAAUAUUAUGGAUCCCGCAACGCUUUGACAUUCAGGAACACAACGAUGGCCGAAUUGACCUCAUCCGAACAUAAAAGUGGAGAAGAACUCGCCCAGCAAGCCGAAGACUUUGGGUACGAGAAGCUGCUAGGGAAUCAGGGCUACGACAUUGAAGGCCAAUUCGGGGGCUACUAAAGGAGUCCGAGACUAAGGGGUCCUCGGGCCGCCGGCCUAUCUCUACGGGUCAGACUCAUGGGUCGCUCUAUGACUAUCAUUGAAGGGCUGGACUAUAAGACGAUGUUGUGUUCAAGAUGGGAACUUCCGAAGCCUUGGUGUGUGCUCCAAGUUAAGAUUAUAAUAUCGGCAUGUUUAUUCCCUGAGUUAACCGAUCAUAUAACCCUAGGUACCCAUGGUGUCUAUAUUAACCAGAGGGUUUUAGUUCGUAGAUAACAUCGACGUAACCAUCAUCUAGGGUUUAGUUCAUCUCAUCUCGUGGUAGAUCGACUCUGUAAUUGUCAUAACUCAUCAAUAUAAUCAAGCGGGGCGUAGGGUUUUACCUAUUCGAGAGGGCCUGAACAUGGGUAAAUUAUGUCCAUGUGUCCCCCGUUACCCAUCAAUCCAAGAUCUACAGCUCGGGACCCCCUACCCGAGAUCCGCCAGUUUUGACACCGACACUAACCCUAUCGAUUCCCUCUUAACAGUGCGGGAUCACUUUACUCAAGAACAAAAGAAAGCGAGAGCUGAAAACCUCUUUGUUCCUUCUUCUUUAAGUCAUAUAAAUUCCAUGCGUCCGUGAUCCGCACCUAUUGUCACUUGAGGCCUAAUACAUGAGAUUUACUUGAUAAACAUAGUUAGUCCUCUACAUGUACAUUGUCAUCAAUAUUGAAAUAUCGAAAUAUGAUAUAAGGGCAUGAUUGCACUACGAGUUGGACAGACUAGCAAAUACUCCUCUUUUAGGAUAUACCACUACAUUCGUCACAAGAAAGAUAUAUAACAAUCCUAUGUUCUAACAUGUGUGGAAGGCUUCCAAUAAAUUGAGGCAUAAGAUAUUUUUCUGGCUGAUGCUCGAUGACAGGGUGAAUACCAAGAAUCUACUCAAGAGGAAGAAUAUGUAUCUAGAGUGUUAUGAUUGUGUUUUUUCCAAUGCAAAUGCAGAAGAAACACCCAUACACUCUUUUGGGGACUUUGAUUUCUCUCAAGGCUGUUAAUAUGACAAGUCAUAAUGUGUUUAUGACAAGUCAGAAUGCCGAUCCUUGUUCUCAGUAGUAUCCUUUCUCUCUUCUUGUGUUUUGUCUUGUGUACGUAGCUAUAACUGGUUGGCGAGUGAAUCGGAUGACAACACAGUCCGCAGGUACCACCGUACCAGUAGCAUCACCGCAUCAAAGAUCAGAACUGACGUGGACAUGGGAGCUACCGGACCUGUUCUAGCUAGCUAGCCCUCUUUGUAGGUCGAGUGUAGGCUGCCACUAGAAAUGGCACAUGAUCCUAGUGGGUGUCGGGGUGUGCAUAACUGCAUACUAUUGUCAAGAAACGGAUGAUGGACUGAUGAGUGAUGACCGUGUCAGAGUAGUUCGAUCCGGCUAGUGAUGUGUGACGGUGAAGCCGAUGAUCAACCGCUCACCUAAUAACCGAGGGACGCAACCAUGGUCUCGUCGCCGUUAGCUGACUCGUGCCCCGAAGAACAACCUUGAGAGUUCGUUGUCACCAGAAGCCCUCGUGCUCAGGCUUGAAGGAGGCUCAAGCUCAAGCCGCAAUUUCUUCUUGGAGAGCGACUCGCGUUAGUACGGACCCAUCUCACAUUUCAGAGGCUCAAGGGCAACGCUUGGCAUCCGAAGAUCGAGGAUGAUGUGACUACGUUCGAGAAAAUAAUACCAUUUCCAAUCCAUGUUAAAUCUAUGUUAAUUGUCGUUGAUUUUUAGAAAUUUUAAUACAGACCAUAUAAAAAUGUAUAUAGAUAUAUUUGAAAGUCUAAAUUCAUCCAUUAUGUUUCGUACAAAGUUUAUAUUAAGAAAAUAAAAUGUUUGUCGCAUGAACAUUUUUUAGAACCGGGCUUCUCCCCUUUCCAUUAAAUACAUAACGGAAAUACACAGUUUCGUUCCGAGAUCAGAAAGAGAAAAGGGAAAGAGAGAGAGAGAAGCGAGCUCAGAGCAAUACUAGGAAACCCACCACCUUGCGCCUGUCAUCAGGAACACAAGGCUAUGGGGCGAAAACCUAGCAUCACCCAAAACCUCACCACACCCCUAAGGAGGAUAGAUCAACAUCCAGUACCACGUUUGAGCACGACCAGAAUACGAACCAGAAAUGCAACAUGCCUCACAGGGCCAAAACAGAGUAAAACACCACAUCACCAGGACCAUCAUACUCCGAGCGCAUCACCAUUCGUCCCAGUUAUCACCCUCCUCAUCCUGCUUGCUGUUAUCUGGCAUUGGAGGUCCACAGAGUAGCAGCAUCUGCGAAGCGUCUGCUUUCAACACCUCCGCACCUUUUUUCAUCACCUCAGCCAUCUCUGGCUUCUGCAACCCUGUCCAGUAUAAUAUAAAAGCACAAGUUGUGAACACAAUUUCAAACGGAUUAUUAAUCCAUUUCUUUUUAAAAGUAGCACGGUUACGUGCAAGCCAUAUUGCCCAGCAUAUAGCAGCUAGACCAAUGGUAUAAACCUCUGGGCAGGAAGGUAAGAAAGAGUUGAUCCAAACAUAAUAUUGCCACAUGGAAUUAGGGAUAUAUUCAGUACCCAGCAUCGAGCCCACUGUUCUGCAGACAACUCUAGCAACAGGACAAAGAAACAUAAUAUGUUGGGCAGAUUCCUUCUGAUCACAGAAAGAACAUGUAGGAUCCCCUUGCCAUUUUCUUUUUUUGAGAUUGUCUCUCGUUAGGAUAGCAUCCUGGCACAUCUGCCACAUAAAAAUUUGAAUUUUCAAAGGCAUCUUAGAUUUCCAAAUCCAUUUAUGAUUAGACCCAGCCAAGUUUCUUUCUAACCAACGAUACAUAGACUUGGUAGUAUAUUCAUGAGUACUAUCUAGUUUCCAAAAUAUUUCAUCACUUUUUUCCUUGUCCAUUUUACUUAUCACAUAACUCUUGAGCUCGUCCCACCUCAUUUGCAUAUCACUAUUAAAUCUUCUACGAAUGGAGUUGCAAGGAUUCAUGGAUUCAAUUUUAUUCACAGUGGUAUUUUGCUCAGUGCAAAUCUCAAAAAGAUCAGGGAACUUAUCUUUCAUAUUAGAAUUGUCACCCAGAUCAUCAUACCAAAGACUGGCAAUAUCACCCUUAUUCACCUUGAUCCCUCUCCCAGCAAUAUAAUUAUCUCUAACCUUCAAAAGAGCUUUCCAACAGGGGGAAUCAUUUGCUUUCUGCUUAACCAUCAUAACAGGUGAUUUUUUGAGGUAUUUGGCUCUCACUAUGUCUUGCCAUAGCCCCUCUUUUUUCUCUAAUUUCCACCACCACUUAGUCAACAAACUAAUAUUUUGUUUUCUCAGAUCUUUAACCCCAAGGCCCCCUUUAUUUUUUGAUCUACAAAUUCUCCCCCAUUUUACCAUAUGAUAACCUUUUUUGUUACCAUUAUGAUGCCAGAAAAAUUUCCUUCUGGGCUUAUCCCAUAUCUCCAGGGUAGAUUUAUUAACCAAGAACAUAGACAUAUAAUAAGAAGGGAUAUGGGAGAGAACAACAUUAACUUUGAUAAGCCUACCCGCACUGGAUCCAUGAUUCAUCAUGUCUGACAAAUUUAUCAUCCACAAACAUCCAGUCACAACUUUUGAGACCAGCAUAGCUAACAGGAACUCCCAAGUAUUUAAUAGGAAAACUUCCAAUCUCACAGUUGAACAUCUCAGAAUACUUCCUGACAGUAUCAUCAUCAGCCCCUAGUGAGAAGAUUUCACUUUUUAAGAAAUUAAUUUUCAAGCCUCACAUAAUAGUAGUUUAAUAUUCAGCACUUCCCUAGGGUUAUCUUCAAAGCAAAGAAUAGUAUCAUCUGCGUAUUGCAGAAUAGCAACCCCAUGUUCAACCAGGUCAGAUGCCAGCCCUUUAAAAAGGCUAUUUUCCUGUGCAUUAAGAACCAUCUUGGUCAGGCAAUCAGCUGCAAGAUUAAACAAAAAAGGGGAGAGAGGAUCUCCCUGCCUCACACCUUUAGCACUUUGAAAAUAAUCCCCACUUCAUCAUUCAGUUUCACACUAACAGUUCCUCCUACCAAAAUGUUCUUAAUCCAGCUCAUCCAUUUGGGAUUAAAGUUUCUCUUAACAUGACAUUCAAGCAGGAAGUCCCAGUUGACUUUGUCAUAGGCUUUUUCAAAAUCAAGCUUAAGCACUAUCCCAGGUUUCUUACGACUAUAAGAAUAGUGUAGAAUUUCAUGGAGAGACAUAAUACCAUCCAUAAUAUCUCUACCCUUAAUAAAAGCAUUUUGGUUUCUGCUAAACAACGUAUCAACAAAAGGUUCAAGUCUGAUGGUGAGCACUUUGGUGAUAAGUUUAUAAAUGCAUCUGAGCAAACAAGUUGGUCUAAAUUGCUGAAUCUUAUCAGCCCCAACCACUUUGGGCAGUAAAGUAAUGAUCCCAUAGUUGAGUCUUUUCACAUCUAUAUCAUCUUUAUAGAACCAAUCAAAAAGCAUUUUCACAUCAUCCUUAACUAUACCCCAACAGCUUUGAAAGAAUUCAAUUGGAAUAUUAUCAGGGCCUGGAGCUUUAUUAUGCUUCAUAGAAAAUAAAUCAUUCCUGAUUUCCAACUCUGAAAAAGGUCUAAUUAAUAUGAAGUUGUCUAUAUCCCUUAGUGUUUCCUGUUCUUUCCACAUGUUGUUAUUAAUCCCACACAUGUUCCCAGGGGCAGGGCCAAAAAGCUCCCUAUAAAAGUUUGUGGCAUGGUCCAAAAGAUUCUUGUUUCCCUCAAUAACAACCCCAUCACAACAAAGGGAUACAAUAGUAUUUCUCCUCCUCCUCCCAUUCACCAUUCUAUGAAAGUAACUAGUAUUACUAUCCCGUUUCAAUAACCAGUUAUCAUGAGAUUUUUGUAACCAGGAGAUUUCUUCUUCCAUCAAGAGGUUAUUCAGUUCUACCUCAAGAUCUACUUUUUUCAUAUACAAUUCAGGUGAUAAAGUAUCAGUUUCUUGCAACAUUUCCAAGUAUCCAAGUUCCUCUCUCAUCCAUUUCCUUCUCAAUCUAGCUUUACCAAAAAUAUUUGAGCUCCACCCUUUAAAUUUUUUCUUAAACCUCUUCAGUUUAAUAUUGAUGAUAUCAAUAGGAUUCUUAGAUUGAACAGGUUGCAUCCAAAUUUGUGCCACCAAGGGUAAGAAUUCAGGGUUCUGUAACCAGUUCAAAUCAAAUUUAAAGCCCCUAGACUUAACAGGGAUAGGAAUGUUAUCCUCAGUGUUUAAAAUCAAGGGGCAAUGGUCUGAAAUCUCCCUUACAAUUUUCCUAAUAAAAGUAAAAGGAAAAAGAUGCUCCCAGGAACUAGACAUGAGCACUCUAUCUAAUUUCUCAAGAGUUGGCACAUUCUGCUGGUUGGACCAGGUGUAUUGUCCACCACUCAUAUCAACCUCUCUCAAAGAGAAAGUAUUAAUGACAGUAUUGAAAAGAUCAGAGGAAUGGCCCAGUCUAACUUUAUUAUUUUUAUCACUAGUAAAUCUCAGGAUAUUAAAAUCCCCCCAAUAAUGAAAGGGCAAGCAACUCCCCUGCACAUAUCUGCUAGUUCAGUAAGAAAUUCCAUCUUAUGCUCUUCAUGAGCAGAACCAUACACUACCAUAAUGCAAUAAGUAUCCCUUCUACAUUUGUCCCAAAUUUCAAGCUUCAAAAUAUACUUGCCAAAUGAACAGGUUUGAAUGUCAUAAUAUGCAUUCCUAACACCACAAAGAAUACCACCAGACUUUCCUACAGAAGGGAUCCACUUCCAACAAAAAUUAUCCCCUGGAUCAAAUUUCCUCAAGAACUUAGAGGAAAAAUCCUUCUUCAUUGUCUCUUGAAUCCCCACAAAAUCAGGAUUGAAGUCCCUAAUUAAAUCACUUAAGUAGGUUGCCAUACCUUUUUUCCCAUCCCCCUACAGUUCCAGAAGAGGCACAUCAUUUCUUUUUAUUUUUAGGUGAGUGAGUUUUAUUGCUAGGUUUACCAGGGUCCAUGGUCUUACCUGCAAUUCCACUCACUCUUUGAUUUUGACUCCUGGUUACAGGCUUAGAAAUAACCACAUUAACUUUUCUUUUUUCUCUUUGCCUAGAUCUUACACUUUUAAAUCCUUCCUCAUCUACAUCUUCCUCAUCCCCCCAAGCUGUAUUAAGGUGGGAGGAUUCCCCUGUUGCAUUAGUAAUCAACAACACCUCUUCUGUUUGUUUAAUAUCAGUAUUAAUUUUCUUAGCUAUAUUAGCUCUAGAUUUCUCCAGUUCUCUAAUAACAUCAAUAACAGUAAAGUCAUCAUCAGGGAUAUUCACUCCCAUAUGAGCAGCCAUAUUAACAAUUUCCAUAUUGGAUAGCACAUCAAAAGAAUUUUCAGAUACAAGAUCAUUACCUUGUAAAUUCCACUUUUUUGCCAACUUCUCAGCUCUGGCACCAACAUGAUCCAUAUUGAUCUCAACAUUCCUUUUGCUGAAUCUGGCUUGCACUUCUUCCAGCACAGGAGGAGUAGGCACAACCUCCACAUCUUCAUAGGAUUCCCCAGGAGAUUGCACAAGGUAGGCCUGUUCUUUCUCCUGAUAAUUCUUGUCACCAUUUUUUAUCUCAGUAACUGUUGGUUCUCCCAUACAAGCAUCCAAGUAAGAGGAGAAUUUUUUGUGAAUCACAGGACUGGAAACAGUCUGCAUAGAGUUCACCACAAUUUUCUGAAAGAAGUACCCAUAGUAGAUUGUUUUUCAAUCUCUUUCAUAUGAAUUUUUUCUGCUUCAGCAACCAUAGAAUCUAUGAGCAGCACAUUAUCCACAUCCUCACUUUCCUCAUCAGAUUGUGUUUCCUUACUUUUUUCCUGAUUUUGCAUCAUAUCAGCUUUUUCCUGAAUAGUGUCCAAUCUCACACUCAUCAUAUUUUUUCCUCGAGACAUGCCAGAGGGAGCCGAAUACUCCCCCAUAGUAGAUGAGGAGAUGUUCUGCCCAUCAGGUCUAAUAUUCUCAUUAAGCUUAGUUCUUUUAGGAGAAUUUCCCCCAUCAGCCUCCAUUUGCACAUUAAUUUUUUCUUUAGGAGGAUUUUUCACAAGAAUAUUAUCCACAGAAAAGAAAAAAUCAUAGAAAUGGCCCCCCAAAACUCCUUCAGCAGAUGUAGGAAUAUUUUCAGCAUCUGUACAGCCCAAUUUAAUCCUGACUAAUUCAGGUCUGUUUAUAGUAGCUUUAUCUAUUUCCAGAGUCACCCCAACCAAGGAACCCACAUAUGCAAUGUUUUUUUCAUGCCUUUUAUCCAGGGGAAUAUUACUGACAUUGACCCAUGCUAUGUUAAGUAUGCCUUUAGCUCCCAUAGAUUCUGACCACUUCCUCAAAUUAAUCACAGCCCCACAACUUUUCAAAUGCAUGCUCUCAGCAAAACAAGCUUUAUCAACAUCCCUAGGUGAUGGAAAUCUUAUCACAAAAGUUUUUGGCCCAAUCGACCUAGCGGAACAUCUCCAUUUUGUGUUAAUAUAAGCAUUAAAAAACUCCUCCAACUGUCUACCAGACGCUUGCCCCUCCACCACAGAUAUGACAAUGAACCGAUUCCUAUCAGUGUUCUGGUUCGGAGUACUGUGAUCAUGAAUAUAGAAAAAACCUUUCCCUCUAGCCUGGAAUCCACACAUCGGAGCCACACAUUCCCAAGGAAGCACCGUGUUGCAAACAGAGGCUAGAUGACCAUGAUUCCCACAUCUACCACACACAGAACGCGGACAGAACGCAGGUACAUGACCUGGAUCCUUGCAAGUAAUGCAAACCUCAGCACCACCCACUAGUGGGGCGGUGUUCCUCUUGCCAGGAGUAGGAUGACGACGGUCUUGGGCUUGGGGCUGCUUUCCGCCUGCUGCUCCAGCGACCGCGGUAUUAUCGCCCCACUUCUCAGAUCCGCGCGGACCUCCUUGCUCCAUCACCUCAGCAUCCCACCGUGCCUUGUCGGACGAUCCAUGGCGUGGAUCAAUGUUGGAGGAGCCGCCUUCGUCGUUGUCGCGCAUCCACACCAAGCUGCGGCCCCCGCCGCCACCACCAUGCUCGCGGGAACCGCCGUGCCCAUAUCGGCCGCCACCACGCCCGAAUCUCCCUUCCGCCGCCCCAUCUCCACGAUUGAACCGAUUACCUCCGUCGUGUCCCGCCAUGGACUGCGUCCGCGGAGGCGAAGCAGCCACGUGAGCGAAGGACCGCUGAUCCCCUCCCACUUUUCCUUCCCACCAGGCGAAGGUAGGUGAAACCCUAGGAGACCUCCAGAAAUGGCUGAAGAGGGAAUCGAGAUAGUGGAAGUGGCAACGGGUGGUGCGGGGUUGGUGGUGGGAGACGGGGUGAGUAGAUAAGGCUCUCUCUCUCCCCUGUAGCACCGGGGCCCCCACACGGGUCGACCGCGGCGUGCGACACGGGUUUGGGCCCGAGAACCCCCGGGUCAAGCGACCGGGGCGGUACAUGGCUGCCACGCACGGAGAUGAGCACGUGCUCUGUCAUCUCUACCCGCUCAGACGGUGGCGCCGGCGGUGAGAAUCGCCGCGCAGGCCGUAUCGCCGCGCCGGGAGAGGAGGACGACGACAUUCCGUCGAAAAGAUAUUGGUUUUCUUCAUGUCGCAUGAACAUGGACACCUGGUUUGAUUUGCAAGCUGUACGUACGGUGACUUUUUGGGAGAUACCUGGUCCGAAGACGAUCGAUCCUCCGAGGAACAUGUGAGAUGCAUUGAAGUACUUAAAAGGUUAAUUAAGAUGGGAAGUGAACAUGGCAUGCUUGUUGCCAGCCAGGAUCGGAAGGAAGCCAAGUGCUAUGGUGGUUGAACUGGUUUCCACAUCGGAGGUAUUGGACUUUCUCACGCACCAAGACGUGCACCAGAGAACCACCGUUUCACAGCAUCUAUAACCCGACCCUUCAUGCCCGUUUCAAACGUUCACGUAGACAACCUGUCAAAAAAAUGACUCAAUUGGGCCUCUCAAACGGGCCUUAAACUUCGGGAUUAACCGACACCCCACAUAUCUAGCCUAAAUAUAGGACGGAUAUGGGGGCGUCCGGUUGCGUCCGUGCAUGCCCGCCACGUCGGCCUGACGAUGGGGUCUCAUGCGGACUCGUCCAAAAAUCCAAUGGUCCAAUAGGCGCCUCGAUAGUCAUCGCGGUGUGAACAUCAUGUGGCACUGCUCCAGCUCGCUGCGGGAGGCCCUAGCCGGCUAUUUAAGCUGGCCGGCAUCCUCCAGCCCUAGCACAUCCACCUUCUUCCUCCCUUCACCAUCACCUAAGACCGCCCGCCUCUUCUCCCGCGCUCUCCCGCGCUCUCCGACGUCAGUAUGGUCCGCCAUAGGAUCACCACGUAUGCUAUGCUCACGUGUGAGCGACAGAUGCAGAUCGAGGCAGAGAUCCAGGCUCGGUGCGCCACCCGCAUCGCUGCGGGUCUGCCUCCGGGCUUGCCGGAGCCGGUGGAGGAGGGGGAGGAGCAGCCGGAGGCGAUGGAGGAUGAUGAUGCAAAGGAGGACGAGGCAGUCCAUCCUGCUCCAGGCUUGAACAUGAUGGAGACAGAAGCGGAGUUCGCCCACGCCCAAGCCGAGGAGAUGGCCAGCAGGAGGCCAUCCUGGAUUCCAUCCAGGAUGAGGACGAGGUGUUGGUAAUAUGCCCUAGAGGCAAUAAUAAAAUAGUGAUUAUUCUAUUUCCUGUUUCAAGAUAAUCAUUUAUUAUCCAUGCUAUAACUAUAUUGAAUGGAAACAUAAAUGCAUGUGUGGAUAUAUAGACAAAAAUGUGUCCCUAGUGAGUCUCUAGUUGACUAGCCUGUUGAUCGAGGAUGGUUAAGGUUUCCUAGCCAUAGACAAGUGUUAUUCAUAGAGAAACUUUUAUUCAAGUAAUCCUUUAUGCUCUCCAAAAACUCUACGUUGUUUCCAAUCAGCAAUAUGUCAUCCACAUAUAAUAUUAGAAACGCCACAGAGCUCCCACUCACUUUCUUGUAAAUACAAGAUUCUCCAACCACUUGUAUAAACCCAAAUGCUUUGAUCACCUCAUCAAAGCGUUCGAGAUGCUUGCACCAGUCCAUAAACGGAUCGCUGGAGCUUGCACACCUUGUUAGCAUUCUUAGGAUCGACAAAACCUUCGGGUUGUAUCAUAUGCAACUCUUCCUUAAGGAAACCGUUAAGGAACGCCGUUUUGACAUCCAUUUGCCAGAUUUCAUAAUCGAAAAAUGCAGCUAUUGCUAACAUGAUUCUGACGGACUUAAGCAUUGCCACGGGUGAGAAAGUCUCAUCGUAGUCAACUCCUUGAACUUGUGAAAAACCCUUUGCCACANNNNNNNNNNCGUCAGCGUCCGUCUUCCUCUUAAAGAUCCAUUUGUUCUGAAUGGCCUUGCGGCCCUCAGGUAGUACCUACAAAGUCCACACUUUGUUCUCAUACAUGGAUCCUAUCUCGGAUUUCAUGGCCUCUAGCCAUUUGUUGGAAUCUGGGCCCACCAUUGCUUCUUCAUAAUUUGCAGGCUCAUUGUUGUCUAACAACAUGAUUGAUAAGACGGGAUUACCGUACCACCCUGGAGCAGCACAUGGUCUCGUCGACCUGCGUGGUUCGACAGAAACUUGAACUGGAGUUUCAUGAUCAUCAUCAUUAACUUCCUCCUCAACUGGCGUCGCAAUGACAGAGGUUUCCCCUUGCCCUGCGCCACCAUCCAGAGGGAUGAGAGGUUCGACAACCUCAACAAGUUCUAUCUUCCUCCCACUCAAUUCUUUCGAGAGAAACUCUUUCUCAAGAAAUGCUCCAUUCUUAGCGACAAAUACUUUGCCCUCGGAUCUGAGAUAGAAGGUAUACCCAACUGUCUCUUUUGGGUAACCUAUGAAGACACACUUUUCUGCUUUGGCUGCCAGCUUUUCAAGGUGAAGCUUUUUGACAUAAGCAUCGCAUCCCCAAACUUUAAGAAACGACAACUUCGGCUUCUUCCCAUACCACAGCUUAUAUGGUGACGUCUCAACGGAUUUUGAUGGUGCCCUAUUUAAAGUUAAUGCCACUGUCUCUAAUGCAUAGCCCCAAAAUGAUAAUGGAAAAUCAGUAAGAGACAUCAUAGAUCGCACCAUAUCUAACAAAGUACGAUUACGACGUUCGGACACACCAUUACGCUAUGGUGUUCCCGGCGGUGUCAACUGUGAAACAAUUCCACAUUGUCUUAAGUGAGCACCAAACUUGUAACUCACAAACUCUCCUCCUUGAUCAGAUCGUAGGAACUUGAUCUUCUGUCUACGAUGAUUUUCAAUUUCACUCUAAAAUUGCUUAAACUUUGCGAACAUUUCAGACUUGUGCUUCAUCAAGUAGAUAUAGCCAUACCUACAUAAAUCGUGAGUGAAGGUGAGAAAAUAACGAUAUCCACCGCGCGCCUCUAUGCUCAUUGGUCCGCACACAUCAAUAUGUAUAAUCUCCAAUAAGUCACUUGCACGCUCCAUUGUUCGAGAGAACGGAGUCUUAGUCAUCUUGCCCAAGAGGCAUGGUUCGCAUGUGUCAAGUGAUUCAAAAUCAAGUGACUCCAAAAGUCCAUCAGCAUGGAGUUUCUUCAUGCGGUUAACACCAAUAUGACCUAAGCGGCAAUGCCACAAGAAAGUGGUGCUAUCAUUGUUAACUCUGCAUCUUUUGGUCUCAAUAUUAUGGACGUGAGUAUCAUCACAAUCGAGAUUUAAAAUGAACAAACCCCUCAAAUUGGGUGCAUGACCAUAAAAGAUAUUACUCAUAUAAAUAGAACAAACAUUAUUCUCAGACUUAAAUGAGUAACCGUCUCGCAAUAAACAAGAUCCACAUAUAAUGUUCAUGCUUAACGUAGGCACUAAAUAACAAUUAUUUAAGUUCAUAACUAAUCCCGAUGGUAACUGAAGUGAUACCGUGCCGACGGCUAUCACAUCAACCUUGGAACCAUUUCCCACGCGCAUCGUCACUUCAUCCUUUGCCAGCCUUCGCUUAUUUCGUAGUUCCUGCUUCGAGUUGCAAAUGUGAGCAAGAUAACCGGUAUCAAAUACCCAGGCACUACUAGGAGAGUUGGUUAGGUACACAUCAAUAACAUGUAUAUCAUAUAUACCUUGUUUGUCGUUGGCCGCCUUCUUAUCGGCGAGAUACUUGGGGCAGUCGCGCUUCAAGUGACCAGUCCCCUUGCAAUAAUAGCACUCGGUUUCUGGCUUAGGCCCUACCUUGUGUUUCUGUUGGAAUUAUGCCCUAGAGGCAAUAAUAAAUAUAGUUAUUAUUACAAUUCUUGGAUCAAGAUAAUCGUUUAUUAUCCAUGCUAUAAUUGUAUUGAAUGAAGACUCAUUUACAUGUGUGGAUACAUAGACAAAACACUGUCCCUAGUAAGCCUCUAGUUNNNNNNNNNNNNNNNNNNNNNNNNNNNNNNNNNNNNNNNNNNNNNNNNNNNNNNNNNNNNNNNNNNNNNNNNNNNNNNNNNNNNNNNNNNNNNNNNNNNNUAGUUCUCCCUCGGGGCUGAGGGUAUGUACCAGUAGCUAUGUGUUUGAUCUCUCUCUCUCUCGUGUUCUUGAGAUGUCUUGAUCUCGAUGUACCAUGGGCUUUGCUACUAUAGUUGGAUCUUAUGACGUUCUUCCCCCCUACCUCUUGUAAUGAAUUGAGUUUCCCCUUUGGAGGUAUCUUAUCGGAUUGAGUCUUUGAGAACACUUGAUGUAUGUCUUGCACGUGUCUAUCUGUUGUGAUCAACUUGCAGGUUUGUGACAUUGGGAACCUAUGCAUAUGGGUUGGCACACGUGGAUUCAUGUGAGUACUUGAUGUAUGUUUUGGUGAUCAACUUGCGGGUUCGUGACAUUGGGAACCUAUGCACAGGGGUUGGCACAUGUUUUGACUCUCUUGUAGAAACUUUGGGGCACUCUUUGAAGUUCUAUGUGUUGGUUGAAUAGAUGAUUCUGAGAUUGUGUGAUGCAUAUCGUAUAAUCAUGCCCACGGAUACUUGAGGUGACAAUGGAGUAUCUAGGUGACAUUAGGGUCUUGGUUGAUAUGUAUCUUAAGGUGUUAUUCUAGUACGAACUCUAUGAUGGAUCGAACGGAAAGAAUAGCUUCGUGUUAUUUUACUACGGACUCUGGAAUAGAUCGAUCAGAAAGAAUAACUUUGUGGUGGUUUCAUACCCGACAAUAAUCUCUUCGUUUGUUCCCCGCUAUUAGUGACUUUGGAGUGACUCUUCGUUGCAUGUUGAGGGCUAGUUAUAUGAUCCAAUUAUGUUAUCAAUGUUGAGAGAACUUCACUAGUGAAAGUAUGAACCCUAGGCCUUGUUUCCACGCAUUGCAAUACCGUUCGUGCUAACUUUUGUUACUAGUUACCUUGCUGUUUUUGUAAUUUCAGAUUACAAAAACCUAUAUCUACCAUCCAUAUUGCAGUUGUUUCACCUUCUCAUCGCCGAACUAGUGCACCUAUACAACUUACCAUUGUAUUGGGUGUGUUGGGGACACAAGAGUCUCUUUGUUAUUUGGUUGCAGAGUUGCUUGAGAGAGACCAUCUUCAUCCUACGCCUCCCGCGGAUUGAUAAACCUUAGGUCACCCACUUGAGGGGAAAUUUCUACUGUCCUAUAAACCUCUGCACUUGGAGGCCCAACAACGUCUACAAGGAGAAGGUUGCGUAGUAGACAUCAAGCUUUUUUCUGGCGCCGUUGUCGGGGAGGCUAGGUAAGCGGCACUCACCUCCCGUCAACGAAGCUCUUUUCUGGCGCCGUUGCCGGGGAGGUUAGCGCUUGAAGGUAUAUCUUUACAUCUUGCAAUCGAAUCUUUUUGUUUCUUGUUCUUUCGCUGAAAACUACAAAAAAAUGGAAUUGAGGAUGCCUCAUAUGCUCCAUCUUUUCAAUGUCUUUCGUGAGCAUGAUGGGAAGGAAAAUUGUGCUCAAGUGCUGAAAGAAGAAUUAAAUAGAAUGCUUGGCAUAGAAUAUGUGAAUGAUGAGCAUGAUUGCAAUGUUCUUAGCAUGAAUUCUAUGAAUACCCAUGAUGCUAAUGAUAUGCAAAUCCACAAGCUUGGGGAUGCUAUAUUUGAUGAAGAUGAUCUUUUUAGUUCUUCCACUUUGAAUGAUCAAAAUUAUUUUGAUGAAAGCAUGCCGCCUAUCUAUGAUGAUUAUUGUGAGGGUACUUAUGGUUUAAAGAAGAGGGAUGAUAAAACUUGUCAUACUCUCGAGAACCCUUUUGCUAAACCUUGCUUUUUCAUUGUGGACACAAUUUGUAGUGCUCAAGUCUUUUAGGAUACUCCCACUACUAUUCUUGAGAAUAGAUUUCCUUAUGUGGAGAGUAGUAAAAUUCCUAUGCUUUUAGAUCAUGAAAAGAAUGCUUUAGGUGCUGGUUAUAUUGUUGAAUUCAUUCAUGAUGCUACUGAAAAUUACUAUGAGAGAGGACCAUAUGCUUCUACUGAUUGCAAUAGUAUCAAGCUUCCUCUCCAUAUGUUGAAUUCUUUGAAGCUAUGCUUGUUUUGCCUUCCUAUGCUAGUUGAUUCUUGCUCCAAUAAAUUGUUUGAUCACAAAAACCCUAUGCAUAGGAAGUGGAGCCAUUUGCUCCAUGAUGCUCUCGUUGUGUUUCAAUCCUUACCUUUUAUGUGAGCAUCAUUGAAAUCAAUGCCUAGCUAAGGGCGUUAAACGAUAGCGCUUGUUGGGAGGCAACCCAAUGAAUAAAUUUUUCUUUGAUUUUUGCUUCCUGUUUUGUUUUCUCCACACCAUCAUAAUUCUGUUAUGAUUGUGUCUUUUGUGUUUCUUUUUGUGUUUGUGCCAAGCAAAACCAUUAUGAUUAGUCUUGGUGAUGAUUGUUUGAUCAUGCUGGAAAAAGACAUAAACUUUGGGCUAACGAAAAGAAUUUUCAUGUUUAUUCUGUAGAAGCUUUUGAGUAGAUUCUUUUUGCUUCUGUUUUCUAUGCUAUUUCUUCAGACGGUCGUAAUUUUCCAGAAUUUUGGAAGUACCAGAGGUAUACGAAAUAUACAGAUUGCUACAGACUUGUCUGCUGUUAACAUAUUCUGUUUUUUGUUGUGUUGGUUGCUUAUUUUGAUGAAACUAUGGAUAAUAUCGGAGGGUACUAGCAAUGGAAAAGUGAAAAUACAGUAACCCAACAUCAUCAUAAGUAGAAUUUAAGUUUGCUACAGUACCUAAGGAAGUGGUGGUUUGCUUUCUCAUACUAAUGUUAUCACGAGUUUCUGUUUUAGUUUCGUGUUGUGAAGUUCUCAAGUUCUGGGUGAAGUUCUUAUGGACAAAGAGAUAAAGAGUGGCAAGAGCUCAAGCUUGGGGAUGCCCAAGGCACCCCAAGUUUAUUCAAGGAUGCUGAAAAAGCCUAUGCUUGGGGAUGCCCCGGGAAGGCAUCCCCUCUUUCGUCUUCAAUCCAUNNNNNNNNNNUGUUACUUGGAGCUAUAUUUUUAUUCACCAAAUGAUAUGUGUUUUUGCUUGGAGCGUCUUGUAUCGUAGGAGUCCUUUAUUUUUGUUGUGUCACAAUCAUCCUUGCUGCACACCUAGAGAGAGAGACAUGCACUCACCGUGAUUUUGUCGAGCUUCACUUAUAUCCUUUGGUAGACAAUUCUGCUCACAUGUGCUUCACUUAUAUCUUUUGAGCUAGAUACUUUUGCUCUAUGUGCUUNNNNNNNNNNUGAACUCUAUGAUGGAUCGAACAGAAAGAAUAGCUUCGUGUUAUUUUACUACGGACUCUUGAAUAGAUUGAUGAGAAAGAAUAACUUUGUGGUGGUUUCGUACCCGACAAUAAUCUCUUCGUUUGUUCCCCGCUAAUAGUGACUUUGGAGUGACUCUUUGUUGCAUGUUGAGGGCUAGUUAUAUGAUCCAAUUAUGUUAUCAUUGUUGAGAGCACUUCACUAGUGAAAGUAUGAACCCAAGGCCUUGUUUCCACGCAUUGCAAUACCGUUCGUGCUCACUUUUGUUACUAGUUACCUUGCUGUUUUUGUAAUUUCAUAUUACAAAAACCUAUAUCUACCAUCCAUAUUGCACUUGUUUCACCUUCUCUUCACCGAACUAGUGCACCUAUACAACUUACCAUUGUAUUGGGUGUGUUGGGGACACAAGAGACUCUUUGUUAUUUGGUUGCAGGGUUACUUGAGAGAGACUAUCUUCAUCCUACGCCUUCCGCGGAUUGAUAAACCUUAGGUCACCCACUUGAGGGAAAAUUGCUAUUGUCCUACAAACCUCUGCACUUGGAGGCCCAAAAACGUCUACAAGGAGAAGGUUACGUAGUAGACAUCAGGCACACAUCGUGUUGUUUCCAUCAAGGGUAAAAAGAUGGGGUUUAUAUCUAUUGCAUGAAUUUAUCCCUCUACAUCUUGUCAUCUUGCUUAAGGCAUUACUCUCUUCGUCAUGUACUCAAUACACUAGAUGCAUGCUGCAUCGCAGUCGAUGUGUGGAGUAAUAGUAGUAGAUGCAGAAAGUACCGGUCUACUUGUCUCGGACGUAAUACUAUAUGUAUGAUCAUUGCCUUAGAUAUCGUCAUGACUUUGCGUGGUUCUAUCAAUUGCUUGAUAGUAAUUCGUUCGCACACCAUAAUAUUUGCUAUUUUGAGAGAAGCCUCUAUUGAACACUAUGGCCGCGAGGUCUACUUCACAUCGUAUUUUCAGCUCUACACUUUUACUUUGUUGCACUUUCCACCUUCAGAUCUCACCUUGCAAUUAAUCAUGAAGGGAUUGACAACCCCUUUAUAGCGUUGGGUGCAAGUUUGUUUGUUUUUUCGCAUGUACAUUGGUGACUUGUCUUGAUACUCCUACUGGAUUGAUACCUUGCUUCUCAAACUAAGGGAAAUACUUACUGCUGCUGUGCUGCAUCACCCUUUCCUCUUCAGGGGAAAAACCAACGCAAGCUCAGGAGGUAGCAGACAUCAAUGCGCCAGGUCCUCUCACUCGCUCAAAAGUUUCACAUUUAGUUAAAUUUUGUGGGCAUUCCUCGUUUGAGUCUCUCACAGAACCCUCGAAAGUUCCUGAAGCCUUCAUGGAACCUGAGUGGAUUCAAGCCAUGUAAGAUGAACUUCUUCAACUCAAGCUAAAUGACGUAUGGGAACUCGUCAAAAGACCAGAUCCUCGCAAGCACAAUAUCGUCGACACUAAGUGGAUCUACCAAAACAAGCAACAUGAGGAUGGUCAAGUUGUGAGAAACAAGGUACAACUUGUAGACCAAGGCUACACAUAGGUUGAAGGCAUUGACUUCGAUGAAACUUUUGCACCUGUUGCUAGACUUGAAGCUAUUCGAAUAUUACUUGCAUAUGCUAACCAUCACAAUAUUACUCUAUAUCAAAUAGAUGUGAAAAGUGCAUUCCUCAAUGGUAAGCUUGAUGCAGAAGUAUAUGUUGCUCAGGCCCCAGGUUUUGAAGACCCAAAGCAUCCUGAAAAAGUCUUCAGACUCAAAAAGGCACUCUAUUGCCUCAAGCAAGCCCCUCGGGCGUGGUAUGAUACAUUGAAGGAAAUCCUCAUGACGAAAGGCUUCAAACCCGGUUCACUUGAUCAUACUCUUUUCACAAUAUCCUAUGAUAAUGAAAUAUUUGUGUGCCAAAUAUAUGUCGCCGACAUUAUCUUUGGUUGUACUGACAAACGUUACAGUGAUGAAUUUGCCUACAUGAUGGGUGAAGAAUAUCAAAUGUCUAUGAUGGGGGAGCUGAAAUUCUUCUUAGGUCUGCAAAUUCAUCAACAACGCAAUGGCAUAUUCAUAUCUAAGGAAAAAUACCUCAAGGACGUUCUGAGGAAAUUCGCCAUGCAUGAAUGCAAAGGCGUCAAGAUUCCUAUGCCUACCAAGGGCACCUCUGCACUAACGAAAAUGGUAAUGAUUUCGAUCAGCAGGUAUAUCGGUCUAUGAUUGGCUCUUUAGUGUACAUAUCUGGAUCUAGGCCAGAUAUUAUGCUUAGUGUUUGCAUGUGUGCUUGUUUUCAAGCAAAACUGAAGGAAUCACACCAUAAGGCUGUGAAACAUAUUCUUCGAUAUCUAGCUCACACACCAACACUAGGAUUAUGGUACCCCAAGGGCUGAAAUCUCCGCCUUGUUGGUUAUUCUGAUUCUGAUUAUGCUGGUGACCAUGUGGAUCGCAAGUCAACAUCAGGCACAUGCCAUUUCCUCAGAAGAUCAUUAGUCUGCUGGUCCUCAAAGAAGAAAAACUGUCUAUCACUCUCCACUGCCGAAGUUGAGUGCAUUGUUGCUGGAUCUUGUAGUGCUCAACUACUAUCGAUGAAGCAAACCCUCACAGACUACGACAUCAACAUGAAGAAUGUGCCCCUCUACUGCGACAAUGAGAGUGCAAUCAAGAUCGCCUACAACCCCGUACAACACUCAAAGACCAAGCACAUACAGAUUCGUCAUCAUUUUCUUGGUGACCAUGUCCUCAAGGGCAAUAUCAUCAUCAACCAUGUGAAGACUGAUGAUCAACUAGAAGAUAUCUUCACAAGCCCUUGGAUGAGAGAAGGUUUUGCAAGUUGUGGUGUCAGCUAAAUAUCCUAGAAUCUUCGAAUGUCUUGUAAACAUGCACACAUCCUUGAUGACUUAGAUGUGCUACACACAAAGUAAGGACAUUCUUCAAUCAAUGAAGAAUAUCACUCUAAGUGUGAAGAAAUCAAUUAAGAAUUUGGUUCUCAUGGCGCUAUGACAAUUGUACGCGGCGCCUCAAAUCAUCAUUCUUAUACAGUGGGUCACGCCACCACCCAACUUUGAAAUUCUUCAAGUUGGAAAUUGUUCAAAGUUGAAAUUCUUGAAUCUCAGACUUUGUCACAAAAACCUCAAAUUUUCAAAAUCUUGAAAAUCUUCAAAUUUUUUUGUGAUGAUCCUCAUUUGAAUAUAUGUAUAUUAUAAUGAGCUUUCAAUGUCCUCAACAGCAUUUACUUAUUGCUCAGUCUUCAAUUUGGUAUUUCCUCUAAGUGAAUUUGAUCGGACCCAACUCCCCUCUAUGCUAAGCUCAACCCAGUAUAUUCUCAAUUCUUCAUAUGCGUUCUGUUUGACACUUGUUCAAAAUCCUCACCGAGUCCUUGUGAGAUGAGGACUUUGCAAAGAAAUCCUCAGAAUUCAAAACUUAUUUUUAACGUUACCACAGUAACCGCACCCACUACUCACGUUCGGAUAACCAUGAUCUCCACCGCUUCAAUCGUGGGUAACACUUGUCAUGCAGAGACGAAGGGGCAAGGGCAGUUCGGUGUGAAAGUUUCGGCCGAGACCGUUUUUCACCUGAGCUAUAAUUAGCGCCUUACUUUCCUUAGUUAAAACACUUCUCUUCCUCUCGUCUUCUCCGAUCGAACUCAAACCCUAGCGCCGUCUCUAGCAUCUUCGUCGUCGAUGAGGAAAAGCUUCACUGCCUCACCCUCGCCGUCGACGGACUCACGCCGACUGCAGAACAUCUUCCUCCGCCACCGCAGUAGCUGUCUUCAGUCGCCCAGUUAGGGCACAGAAGAUCUGGACCGAAGAACUUCCUCUUUUUACUGCUUCAGUUCAUCGUGUUCUUCACACAGGGUAAAUAAAUCCUAUUUUACUUCCCCUGUUGAUCACUUUAUUCCCAUUAGACUCGUGAAUUCCUCACACAUUCUCUCAGCUGUGCACACGCAUGUCUAGAACACUUGAUGAAUUUCACUAAGUCACUAAAUUCUUCACGAGAUUCCUCAAUCGUGUAAAUUUUCGAAUCUGCACAACUCUCGAACCCAAGAUCAGAAUGCUUAGUCAAAUUCCUCAACUCAAUCGUCAAAUUUCUCAGCUUAAGUAAUUUUUCAAUUUCCUCAAAUCUGAGAACACAUAUGACAUCUCCAAAUUCUUCGCACCUAUACUCAGUUCACACAUACAAAAUGUCAGCUCAUGAAUCACUAGGUUCUCAUCAACUUAACACUACAAGAGAAGAGAGCUUUGGUAACACAAUCAUGUAACACAUAUUAAAAUAUGUUACAAUCGAAAAUCCAGUAACACAUGAUUUGUGUUGCAAAGAGUGAGUGUAACGCAUACAAUAUAAGCUCGAAAAAUGUGUUACGACGAUAUCGUCUAAGUAACACGUAAUUAUGUGUUGCACGUAGUGUGUUACAUAAAUGUUGCUACAAUAACAUAUUAAUAUAUGUUAGUGGGAGUGUGUUACAUAUUGUAGAGAAAGUAACACAUAAUCAUGUGUUGAUGCAUGGUUUGGUUUUGAUAAAUAUCGAACUAUUUCGAGAUGGUUUUGGUAAAUACCAUAUUAACCAAAUAAGGCCCUAAUUUUAGGAUAACUCAACGACCAUACAUGCACACCUUAAAUUGAUCAUAUAGAAUUAAGCAAUUGACAUCAAUACAUGUACUCAUGAAGAUUAUAGUACUCCAACUAAAAGCAUCAAUGAAGCACUAAGAGCGACUUCAAUGGAGCGACCCAUUUCGUCCGUCAUUGUUCGUUUGGGUCGGCACGGAUAAGAACUUUGCCCAACUAGGCGACCGAAACGGAGAACAAGUCCUUCUGGUGUCCUUUCCCGACCCAAACUGAAGCAUAUAUGGGUGCCAAAUGGGCCCGCGGCGGACAAAAGCGGGCGCUCCCGUCGUCUCCUCCCGUCCGCUCAUGUCCGCCCGGGUCCCACCUAUCAGUGACUAGCACUCGUCCUCCUCACCACCGCUGCCCCGCCGGCCCCGUAGCUGGAGCCGGGUCUGGAGACGAGGGAGGUGGCGACGACCUCGGUCUCGGUCACCGGGUCGGAGACGGUGAUGUAGGAGUACUCGAACAUGGUGGCGCGUGCGGAUCUCGGGGAGGCGGAGGCGAAGCGCGGGGAGGAGGCGGCGACGUCGGCAUAGGACGGAGGGUCGACGAAGGAGGAGGAGGUGCGGGAGAGGGGGAAGGCGGCGGGGGUGGGAGGGGANNNNNNNNNNAGCGGUGCGUGGCUUGGUAGUUGAUCUAUGCUUUGAAAGUAGUCUCAAAAGGGGUAGUUAUCCAAAGGGAUACGAAAACUUCCACCUUCAUGUGCAUUGAAUAGUUAGAGAAGUUUGAUUCAUCUCAAUUAGUUUUGAGUUGUGGUUUUGGUAAUAUUGAAGUCACGCUAGUAAGGUCUUGUGGAUCUAGAAAUACUUGUGUUGAAGUUAGUGAUUCCCGUAGCAUGCACGUAUGGUGAACCGCUAUGUGAUGAAGUCUGAGCAUGAUUAGUCUUUUGAUUGUCAUCCUUUGUGUGGCGGUCGGGAUCGCGCGAUGGUUUAUACCUACCAACCCUUCCCCUAGGAGUAUGCGUUGAAUGCUUUGUUUCGAUUACUAAUAAAACUUUUGCAACAAGUAUAUGUGUUCUUCAUGACUAAUGUUGAGUUCAUGGUUUAGAUGCACUUUCACCUUCCACCAUCACUAUCUUCUUAGUGUCGUGCAACUUUUGCCGGUGCACAAAACCCACCAUUAGCCUCCCUCAAAACAGCCACCAUACCUACCUACUAUGGCUUUUUCAAAGUCAUUCCGAGAUAUAUUGCCAUGCAACUACCACCAUGACAUGUGCCACCACGUCUACAUUGCUAUUGCAUGAUCGUAAGAUAGCUAGCAUGAUGUUUCCAUUAAUGUCUAUGCCAUGCUAGAUCGUAAGAUAGAGUCAUCGUUGCUCUAAGUUUUGAAUUAAAAGUGUGAUGAUCAUCAUUGAUGGAGCAUUGUCCCAUGUGAGGAAAUAAAAGAGGCCAAAGAUGCCCACCAAAAUAAAAUAAAAUAAAAAAGAGGCCGAAGAGCUCACCAAAAAAAAAUAUGAGAGAAAAAGAGAGAAGGGACAAUGCUACCACCUUUCCACACUUGUGCAUAUUAAGCACCAUGAUCUUCAUGAUUGAGAGUCUCUCGUUUUGUCACCACCAUAUAGCUAGUGGGAAAUUUUCAUUAUAUAACUUGGCUUGUAUAUUCCUAUGAUGGGCUUCCUCAAAAUUGCCUUAGGUCUGCGUGAGCAAGCAAGUUGGAUGCACACCCACUAGUUUUCUUUAAGAGCUUUUACAUACUCUUAGCUCUAGUGCAUCAUUUGUAUGGCAAUCCCUACUCAUUCACAUUGAUAUCUAUUUAUGAGCAUAUCCACAACUUAUUGAUAUGCCUUGUUAAUGUGAUCAUCUUCUCCUUUUUGUCUUGCAACCUCCACCACACUCCACACCAUCUAUAGUGCUAUAACCAUGGCCCACGCUCAUGUAUUGCGUGAGAGUUGAAAAGGUUUGAGAAAUUAAAGGUGUGAAACAAUUACUUGGCCAAUAUCAGGGUUGUGCAUGAUUUAAAUUCGUUGUGCAAUGAUGAUAGAGCAUAGCGAGACUAUAUGCUUUUGUAAGGAUAACUUUCUUUUGGCCUUGUUAUUUUGAAAGUUCAUGAUUACCUUGCUAGUUUGCUUCAAUUAUUAUUGUCUCCACAUCAAUAGCAAACAAUUUUUUUGAAUCUAACGGAUCUGAACAUUCAUGUCACGUGAGAUAAGUUACAAAGGACAACUAUGCUAGGUAGCAUGCAACAUCAAAAAUUCAUUCUUUAUCACUUCCCUACAAGAGGACGAGCAUGAGUUAAGCUUGGGGAUGCUUGAUACGUCUCCAACGUAUCUAUAAUUUUUGAUGAUUCCAUGCUAUUAUCUCUUCAACUUUGGAUGUUUUAUAUGCAUGAAUAUGCUAUUAUAUACAUUUUUUGGGACUAACUUAUUAACUCACUGCCAAGUGCCAAUUUAUGUUUUUUCCGUGUUUCUGGACCAUUUUCAGACGGAGUCCAAAUGGAAUGAAACUUUACGAUGAUUUUUUUGGACCAAAAGAGACCCCCGAAGCUUUGGGAGAAGGCCAGAUGGGCCACGAGGGAGUCACAAGCCCUCACGCCGCCACCCCCCCUCCCCCGGUGGUGGCGCACAGGCUUGUGACCUCCUCGUGGGCCCAACUGACGCAAUUCCACCGCCAUAAAUUCCUAUAAAUUCAGAAACCCCCAAAAAGAAACCUAGAUCGGGAGUUCCGCUGCCGCAAGCCUCUGUAACCACCAAAAACCAAUCUGGAGCCCGUUCUGGCACCCUGCCAGAGGGGGAAUCCAUCUCCGGUGGCCAUCUUCAUCAUCCCGGCGAUCUCCAUGACGAGGAGGGAGUAGUUCUCCCUCGGGGCUGAGGGUAUGUACCAGUAGCUAUGUGUUUGAACUCUCUCUCUCGUCUUCUUGAGAUGUCUUGAUCUCGAUGUACCAUGGGCUUUUCUACUAUAGUUGGAUCUUAUGAUGUUCUUCCCCCUCUCCCUCUUGUAACGAAUUGAGUUCCCCCUUUGGAGUUAUCUUAACGGAUUGAGUCUUUGAGAACACUUGAUGUAUGUCUUGCACGUGUCUAUCUGUUGUGAUCAACUUGCAGGUUUGUGACAUUGGGAACCUAUGCAUAUGGGUUGGCACACGUGGAUUCAUGUGAGUACUUGAUGUAUGUUUUGGUGAUCAGCUUACGGGUUCGUGACAUUGGGAACCUAUGCACAGGGGUUGGCACACGUUUUGAGUCUCUGGUAGAAACUUUGGGGCACUCUUUGAAGUUCUAUGUGUUGGUUGAAUAGNNNNNNNNNNNNNNNNNNNNNNNNNNNNNNNNNNNNNNNNNNNNNNNNNNNNNNNNNNNNNNNNNNNNNNNNNNNNNNNNNNNNNNNNNNNNNNNNNNNNUUGAAGAUCCAAGAGAGAGAAGAAGCCAUCUAGCUACUAGCUAUGGACCCUAAGGUCUAUGGUGAACUACUCACGCAUCAUCGGAGAGGCAAUGGUGUUGAUGGAGAAGCCCUCCAUAUUCGAAUCCCCCUCCGGUAGGGCACUAGAACGUGUCCCUGAUGGGAUCUUGCGGACACAGAGGCUUGCGGCGGCGGAAAAGUAUUUUGGUGGAUCUCUCUCGUGGUUUUGGAAUUUUUGGGGAUUUAUAGGCGGAAGAAGUAGGGCAAAGGAGCCACAUGGGGCCCACAAGCCUGCUAGGCGCGGGCCCCCUGGCCGCGCCUAGGGGGCUUGUGGCCUCCCCUGGUGCCCUCUGCUACCGCAAUGGACAACGGCUCUAGAGAUUGACACGUUGACGGAGACCGGGCUUGUGUUGGUUUUUCCCUUGAAGAGGAAAGGGUGAUGCAACACAGGAGGAGUAAGUAUUUCCCUCAGUUUGAGAACGAAGGUAUCAAUGCAGUAGGAGAAUCUCGUCAAGUCCAGAAUACCUGCACAAACACAAAAGAGUUUGCACCCAACGCUAUAAAGGGGUUGUCAAUCCCUUCGAGUUUGAUUCCAAAGUGAGAUCUGAAGGCGAAAAGUGCAACGAAGUAAAAGUGUAAGGCUGAAAAUAUGAUGUGAAGUAGACCCGGGGGCCAUAGUGUUCACUAGAGGAUUCUCUCAAAAUAGCAAAUAUUACGGUGGGUGAACAAAUUACUAUCGAGCAAUUGAUAGAACCGCGCAAAGUCAUGACGAUAUCUAAGGCAAUGAUCAUACAUAUAGGCAUCACGUCCGAGACAAGUAGACCGAUACUUUCUGCAUCUACUACUAUUACUCCACACAUGGACCGCUAUCCAGCAUGCAUCUAGUGUAUUGAGUUCAUGACGAACAGAGUAACGCCUUAAGAAAGAUGACAUGAUGUAGUGGGAUAAACUCAAACCAAUGAUGAAAACCCCAUCUUUUUACCCUUGAUGGCAACAANNNNNNNNNNUCUCGCUACCCCUUGUGUCACUGGGUGAGGUCACCGCACGGUAUGAACUUAAAACCAAGCACUUCUCCCAUUGCAAGAUUCAUAGAUCAAGCUGGCCAAACAAAACCCACAACUCGAAGAGAAUUACAAGGAUAUGAAAUCAUGUAUAAGAGAGAUCAGAAGAAACUCAAAUAAGAUUCAUAGAUAAUCUGAUCAUAAAUCCACAAUUCAUCGGAUCUCGACAAACACACCGCAAAAGAAGAUUACAUCGGAUAGAUCUCCAUGAAGAUCAUGGAGAACUUUGUAUUGAAGAUCCAAGAGAGAGAAGAAGCUAUCUAGCUACUAGCUGUGGACCCGUAGGUAUGUGGUGAACUACUCAUGCAUCAUCGGAGAGGUUAUGGUGUUGAUGAAGAAGCCCUCCGUAUUUGAAUCCCCCUCCGGCAGGGACCAUAACGUGCCCAAGAUGGGAUCUUGCGGAGACAGAAUCUUGCGGCGACGGAAAAGUACUUUCGAUGAUCUCCUGAUUUUUUCUGGGAUUUUAGGGAAUAUAUAGGCGAAAGACCUAGGGCAGAGGUGGCCCAGGGAGCCCACAAGCCUGGGAGGAGCGGGCCCCCUGGCCGCAGCUAGGGGGCUUGUGGGGUCAUUGGUGGCCCCUACCUUGGUUCUCAAGCUUCCCGAUCUUCUUCUGUUUCGAAAAAAAUCUUUUUGGCGGUUUCGUUCUGGUUGGAUUCCGUUUAAAAUCCUCCUCUGAAAGGGGUCAAAAACACGGAAAAAACAAGAACUGGCACUUGGCACUGAGUUAAUAAGUUAGUCCCAAAAAGAUAUAAAAGGCAUACAAAACAUCCAAAGUUUGAUAGGAUAAUAGCAUGAAACCAUCAAAAAUUAUAGAUACGUUGGAGACGUAUCAAGCAUCCUCAAGCUUAACUCCUGCUCGUCCUAGAGUAGGGAAGUGAUAAAGACUGAAUUUUUGAUGUGGAAUGCUACCUAGCAUAGUUGUCCUUUGCAACUUCUUUCGUGUGACAUGAAUGUUCAGAUCCGUAAGAUUCAAACCAAUAGUUUGCUAUUGACAUGAAACCAAUAAUACUUCAAGGAAACUAUCAAGGUAAUCAUGAACUUUCGAAAUAACAAGGCCAAAGAAAGUUAUCCCUACAAAAUCAUAUAGUCUGGCUAUGCUCCAUCAUCCUGAGACAACUAAUUUAAAUCAUGCACAACCGUGAUAUUGGCCAAGUAAUUGUUUGCGCACUCUUACUUUCUCAAACCUUUUAUAACUAUCACGCAGUACAUGAGCAUGAGCCAUGGAUAUAGCACUAUAGGUGGAAUAGAGUGUGGUGGUGGUUGUGAGACAAAAAGGGAGGAGAUGGUCACAUUGACUCGGCGUAUCAAAGGGCUAUGGAGAUGCCCAUUAAUAGAUAUCAAUGUGAGUGAGUAGGGAUUGCCAUACAAAGGAUGCACUAGAGCUAUAAGUAUGUGAAAGCUCAAAAGGAUAACUAGUGGGUGUGCAUCCAACUUGCUUGCUCACGAAGAUCUAGGGCAAUUUUGAGGAAGCCCAUCAUUGGAAUAUACAAGCCAAGUUAUAUAAUGAAGAUUCCCACUAGCAUAUGGUGGUGACGAAAUGAGAGGCUCUUGCUACGUCAACAAAAGUCGUUCACCGGCACUGGUGCAAGAGAUCCUUCUAUCGUCUCUCGAGCUUGCGUUGAUUUUUCCCUUUGAGAGGAAAGGGUGAUGCAGCACAGGAGCAGUAAGUAUUUCCCUCAGUUUGAGAACCAAGGUAUCGAUCCAGUAGGAGGGUCUCGGCAAGUCCAGAGUACCUGCGCAAACACAAACGAGCUUGCACGCAACACUUCAAAGGGGUUGUCAAUCCCUUCAAGAUUGUUUGCAAAGUGAGAUCUGAAGGCGGAAAGUGCAACGAAGUAAAAAGUGUAAGGCUGAAAAUAUGGUGUGGAGUCGACCCGGGGGCCAUAUUGUUCACUAGAGGCUUCGCUCAAAAUAGCAAAUAUCACGGUGGGAAAACAAAUUACUGUCGAGCAAUUGAUAGAACCGUGCAAUGUCAUGACGAUAUCUAAGGCAAUGAUCAUAGAUAUAGGCAUCACGCCCGAGACAAGUAGACUGAUACUUUCUACAUCUACUACUAUUACUCCACACAUCGACCGCUAUCCAGCAUGCAUCUAGUGUACUGAGUUCAUGACGAACGGAGUAACGCCUUAAGCAAGAUGACAUGAUGUAGAGGGAUAAUGUCAAACCAAUGAUGAAAACCCCAUCUUUUUACCCUUGAUGGCAACAACACGAUGCGUGCCUCGCUACCCCUUCUGUCACUGGGUGAGGUCACCGCACGGUAUGAACCCAAAACCAAGCACUUCUCCCAUUGCACGAAUCAUAGAUCUAGUUGGCCAAACAAAACCCACAACUCGAAGUGAAUUACAAGGAUAUGAAAUCAUGCAUAAGAGAGACCAGAAGAAACUCAAAUAAGAUUCAUAGAUAAUCUGAUCAUAAAUCCACNNNNNNNNNNGAGCCCUCGUGAAUCACUUCAUAAAUUUCUUCCUCACAAUUUUCAGAUUCACGCAUCUCAAGCAAAACUCCAUAAAGAUAGUCAAGUGUACUCAACUCACUAGCAAUUGGAUCAACAUAAUUGGAUCUCUUAAAGAUAUUAGCAAGUGGAUGAGGAUCCAUAUCACAAGAUUUUCAGCAAGUGAAGAUGCAAGCAUAUUGAAGGCACAUAGCACACAAGUGAACAGAAAGCAAGCAAAAGAAAAGGGCGAACGAAAAAGGCAAAUUGGUGAAGUGGGGGAGAGGAAAACGAGAGGCAACUGGCAAACAAAGUAAAUGCAAGAGAUGAGUUUGCGACACCUACUUGGAUGAGUUCUUGACUUUAUCUUCCUCCCCGGCAACGGCGCCAGAAAUCCUUCUGCUACGUCAACAAAAGUCGUUCCCCGGCAGUGGUGCCAGAGAUCCUUAUGUCGUCUCUCGAGCUUGCGUUGGGUUUUCCCAUGAAGAGGAAAGGGUGAUGCAACACAGCAGCAGUAAGUAUUUCCCUCAGUUUGAGAACCAAGGUAUCGAUCCAGUAGGAGGGUCUCGUCAAGUCCAGAGUACCUGCGCAAACACAAACGAGCUUGCACCCAACGCUUCAAAGGGGUUGUCAACCCUUCGAGAUUGUUUGUAAAGUGAGAUCUGAAGGCGGAAAGUGGAACAAAGUAAAAAGUGUAAGGCUGAAAAUAUGGUGUGGAGUAGACCCGGGGGCCAUAGUGUUCACCAGAGAAUUCUCUCAAAGUAGCAAAUAUCACGGUGGGAAAACAAAUUACUGUCAAGCAAUUGAUAGAAACUCACAAAGUCAUGACGAUAUCUACGACAAUGAUCAUACAUAUAGGCAUCACGUCCGAGACAAGUAGACCGAUACUUUCUGCAUCUACUACUAUUACUCCACGCAUCGACCGCUAUCCAGCAUGCAUCUAGUGUAUUGAGUUCAUGACGAAUAGAGUACCGCCUUAAGCAAGAUGACAUGAUGUAGAGGGAUAAUCUCAAACCAAUGAUGAAAACCCCAUCUUUUUACCCUUGAUGGCAACAACAUGAUGCGUGCCUCGCUACCCCUUAUGUCACUAGGUGAGGUCACCGCACGGUAUGAACCCAAAACCAACCACUUCUCCCAUUGCAAGAAUCAUAGAUCUAGUUGGCCAAAAAAAACCCACAACUCGAAAAGAAUUACAAGCAUAUGAAAUCAGGCAUAAGAAAGAUCAGAAGAAACUCAAAUAAGAUUCAUAGAUAAUCUAAUCAUAAAUCCACAAUUCAUCGGAUCUCGACAAACACACCGCAAAAGANNNNNNNNNNCUCAUCGGAUCUCGACAAACACACCGCAAAAGAAGAUUGCAUCCGAUAGAUCUCCAUGAAGAUCAUGGAGAACUUUGUAUUGAAGAUCCAAGAGAGAGAAGAAGCCAUCUAGUUACUAGCUAUGGACCAGUAGUUCUAUGGUGAACUACUCACGCAUCAUCGGAGAGGUCAUGGUGUUGAUGAAGAAGCCUUCUGUAUCUGAAUCCCCCAUCCGGUAGGGCACCAGAACGUGCCCCAGAUGGGAUCUUGCGGAGAGAGAAGCUUGCGGCGGCGGAAAAGUACUUUCGAUGAUCUCCUGGCUUUUUGUGGUAUUAUUGGGGAUAUAUAGACGCAACCCCUAGGGCAAAGGAGGUCUAGGGGGCCCACAAGCCUGAGGGCCGCGGCCUGCCCCCCUGGCCGUGGGGUGGGGGCUUGUGGGGACCCUGGGGCCCGCCUGCCUUGGCUCUCAAGUCUCCUGAUCUUGUUCCGUUACAGAAAAAUCUUUUCAGGGAUUUUAUUCCAUUUGCACCCUGUUUCAAAAUCUCCUCUGAAAGGGGUCAAAAACAUGGAAAAAACAGGAACUCGCACUUGGCACUCAGUUAAUAGGUUAGUCCCAAAAAAUAUAUAAAAGGCAUGCAAAACAUCCAAAGUUUGACAAGAUAAUAGCAUGAAACCAUCAAAAAUUAUAGAUACGUUGGAGACGUAUCAAGCAUCCCCAAGCUUAACUCCUGCUCGUCCUCGAGUAGGGAAAUGACAAAGGACGAAUUUUUGAUGUGGAAUGCUACCUAGCAUAGUUGUCCUUUGCAACUUNNNNNNNNNNAUGUGACAUGAAUGUUCAGAUCCGUAAUAUUCGAAAUAAUAGUUUGCUAUUGACAUGAAAACAAUAAUACUUCAAGCAAACUAGCAAGGUAAUCAUGAACUUUCAAAAUAACAUGGCCAAGGAAAGUUAUCCCAACAAAAUCAUAUAGUAUGGCUAUGCUCCAUUAUCCUCACACAACUAAUGUAAAUCAUGCACAACCCCGGUAUUGGCCAAGUAAUUGUUUUCGCACUCUUACUUUCUCAAACUUUUUAUAACUAUCACGCAAUACAUGAGCGUGAGCCAUGGAUAUAGCACUAUAAGUGGAAUAGAGUGUGGUGGUGGUUGUGAGACAAAAAAGGAGGAGAUGGUCACAUUGACUCGGCGUAUCAAAGGGCUAUGGAGAUGCCCUUUAAUAGAUAUCAAUGUGAAUGAGUAGGGAUUGCCAUACAAGAGAUGCACCAGAGCUAUAGUAUGUGAAAGCUCAAAAGGAAAACUAGUGGGUGUGCAUCCAACUUGCUUGCUCACGAAGACCUAGGGCAAUUUUGAGGAAGCCCAUCGUUGGAAUAUACAUGCCAAGUUAUAUAAUGAAGAUUCCCACUAGCAUAUGGUAGUGACGAAGCAGGAAGCUCUCAAUCAUGAAGAACAUGGUGCUAUUAUGAAGCACAAGUGUGGGAAAAGAUAGUAGCAUUGUCCCUUCUCUCUUUUUGUCUCUUUUUCUUUUUUCAUUUGGGCUCUUAGGCCUCUUUUUUUCUUUUCUUUUUUAUGUUUGGGCUCUUUGGCCUCUUUUUUUUCCUCGCAUGGGACAAUGCUCUAAUAAUGAUGAUCAUCACACUUUUAUUUACUCACAGCUUCAAAGCUCAAAAUGAUGAUGACUCUAUAGGAAAUGCCUCCAGCAGUGUAUGGGGAUGUGCAACGAUCUAGCAUAGCGUAUGAUGUUGAAACAUCUCGCUAGCUAUCUUACGAUCAUGCAAUGGAAAUAUGAGAGUGACGACACAAGUCAUGAGAGGGAACGGUGGGAGUUGCAUGGCAAUAUAUCUCGGAAUGGCUAUGAAAAUGCCAUUGUAGGUAGGUAUGGUGGCUGUUUUGAGGAAGGCAUAUGGUGGGUUUGUGCACCGUCGAGAGUGCGCGGCACUACAGAGGCUAGGAAUGCUGGAAGGUUAAAGCCUAUCUAUACCAUGGACUCACAUUAGUCAUGAAGAACUCACAUACUUGUUGCGAAAGUUUUUAUUAGUAAUCGAAACAAAGUGCUAAACGCAUACUCCUAGGGGAAGGGUUGGUAGGUGUUAACCAUCGCGCGAUCCCGACCUCAACUCAAAGGAUGACACUCAAUAGAUCAAUUAUGCUUCGACUUCCUAACAUAGCGGUUCACCAUACGUGCAUGCUACGAGAAUCACUAACUUCAACACAAGUAUUUCUAGAUUCACAAGACCCUACUAACAUAGCUCUUAAUAUUACCAAAUCCACGCCUCAAAACUAAUUGCGAGGAAUCAAGACUUCUGUUUCCACUCAAUGCACAUGAAGAUGGAGGUUUUUGCAUCCUCUUUGGGUACCUAUCACAUUUGGGACUACUUUCAUAGCAUAAGCCAACUACCAAAUCACGCACCGCCGUGCUCUAAAAGAUAUAAGUGAAGCACAUAGAGCAAAAGUAUCUAGCUCAAAAGAUAUAAGUGAAGCACUAUGAGCAUUCUAGCAAAAAUCAUGAUGAGGGCAUGUCUCUCUCUCUCUCUCAAAAAGGUGUGCAGCAAAAAUGAUUGUGACCCAAAGAAAAGAAAAGACUCCUAAGAUACAAGACGCUCCAAGCAAAACACAUAUCAUGUGGUGAAUAAAUAUAUAGCUCCAAGUAAUGUUACCGAUGGAUUGAAGACGAAAGAAGGGAUGCCUUCCCGGGGCAUCCCCAAGCUUAGGCUUUUUGGUGUCCUUGAAUUUGGCUUGGGAUGCCUUGGGCAUCCCCAAGCUUGAGCUCUUUCCACUCCUUAUCUCAUUGUCCAUGAGAACAUCACCCAAAACUUGAAAACUUCACAACACAAAACUCAAUCAGAAACUCGUGAUAACAUUAGCACAAGAAAACAAACUACCACCUCUUUUGGCAUUGUAGCAAACUUGAAAUCUAUCUAUAUUGGUGUUGGGUUACUGUAUUCUCAGUUUUCCAUGGCUAGUACCCCCCGAUACUAACCAUAGUUUCAUCAAAACAAGCAACCAACUCAACAAAAAAGAGAAUAUGUCAAAAACAGACCAGUCUGCAGCAAUCUGUAUACUUCGUAUACUUCUGGUACCUCAAAAAUUCUAAAAACUAACGACUGCCUGGGAAAAAGGCAUAUCAACCAGCAGCAAAAAUAAUAAAUUCAAAUUCUAUUUCUGAAUAAAAAUUAAAAAUCAUCUCGUGAGCGAAAAGUUUCUGUCUUUUUCCAGCAGGAUCAAACAACCAUUAGCAAGACUAGUCAUAAAGGUUUUGCUUGGCUCAAACACAAAAGAAACACAAAAAACACAAUCACAAAAGAAUUAUGAUGGUGUGGACGGAACAAAACAUAAAUAAAAAAGAUAAAUUCAUUGGGUUGCCUCCCAACAAAUGCUAUUGUUUAAUGCCCUUAGCUAGGCAUUGAUAAUUCAAUGAUGCUCACACAAAAGACAAGAAUUGAAGGACAACGAGAGAAUCAAAAAAGCAUGUGAAAAUCACAUCUAAGUCUAACAUACUUCCUAUGCGUAGGCAUUUUAUAGGAAAACAGGUUGUCAAGACAACCAAUAGUUACCAAAUGCAAGGAAGAAGAAAGAGACAAUAGCAAUCUCAACAUAGCGAGAGGUGAUUUAGUGAUAUGAAAGUUUCUACCACCAUAUUUUCCUCUCUCAUAAUAAUUACAUGUGGGAUCAUAUUCGAAUUCAACAACAUAACUAUCACAUAGGAUAUUCUUUUCAUGAUCCACAUGCAUGCAAAGUUGACGCUCUUCAAAAAUAGUGGGAUUAUCAUCAACUAAAGUCAUGACUUCUCCAAACCCACUUUCAAUAAUAUUGCAAAUAUCAUAUUCAUCAUGAGGCUUAAACAAAUUUUCAAGAUCAUAAGAAAAAUCAUCGCCCCACUCAUGAUCAUUGCAACAAGUAGUGGACAUAGNNNNNNNNNNNNNNNNNNNNNNNNNNNNNNNNNNNNNNNNNNNNNNNNNNNNNNNNNNNNNNNNNNNNNNNNNNNNNNNNNNNNNNNNNNNNNNNNNNNNAUAUGAUGAAGUGACUGAGACUGGAAAAGCUGGUAUGAACUCUAUCUAUUUUGUUUUUGUAAAUAUGACUAGAUUGUCAUGCCUGAUUCAGCUUUGUUGUGAGAGAACCAUGUUUGCAAUGACAACUUAGAGAUCAUAGUUUCUGAUGCCAUGCUUAACUAGCUGAGAGCUUAUAAUGGUUUCUCUUGAAUGCCAACAUUGAUUUUGAGGUGACUAUGAUGUAGUAUGAUAGGNNNNNNNNNNACGCAUGUUCAUGCAUGUAGUUGAAACAAAAUCAACAUAGCCUCUAUGAUGUUCGUGUUCAUGGUGAUUUAUGUCCUGUUCAUGCUUGCAUUGAAUGUUAGUCAAACUCAUUGCAUCUUGAUGACUGUUGUCGCUCUCUAGUUGGUCGCUUUCCAGUCUUUUGCUAGCUUUCACUUGUACUAAGCGGAGUACUGCUUGUGCAUCCACUUCCAUAAAACCAAAUUAUUUUCCAUGAGAGUCCACGAUACCUACCUAUUUGCGGUAUCUACGUGCCAUUCCAAGUAAAUUUGCAUGCCACUCUCUAAACCUUCAAGAAAUAAUCUGUUCUGCAUGCCCGAACCGCUCAUGUGGUGACAGGGGGCUAUUGGUAUCUUCCAUGUUAGGCAUGUUAUCCUCGACAUGUGUUUAUUCACUAUCAUUCACGAGAAAGGGGCCGGUAAUUGGAAUGCCCAGUUCCACGCUUNNNNNNNNNNNNNNNNNNNNNNNNNNNNNNNNNNNNNNNNNNNNNNNNNNNNNNNNNNNNNNNNNNNNNNNNNNNNNNNNNNNNNNNNNNNNNNNNNNNNAUUUAUGUUUUGCGGUCUCAGAUAGAGCUAGCGAGAUACCACGUAUUCAUAUUGCUUCAUGCUUGUUUUGAUUGAAUUGUUGGUAUUUGAAACUCAGUAUUAUUUGCUCGUUAGCUGAUUAUGCCAUUGACAUUAGUUUACCGUGAGACCUUUGUGUCACUUGCUUAUGUGGUUAACUUGUGAUCUUGCUGAAAUUCUGGUUAUGAGUUAGACAUAGUUGCAACAACAGGAUCAAACAGAGUUUGUCAAAGUUUUUCUUUCUCUUUCAGUUUGUCAACUGAGUUGCUUGAGGACAAGCAAGGUUUUAAGCUUGGGGGAGUUGAUACGUCUCCAUCGUAUCUACUUUUCCAAACUCUUUUGCCCUUGGUUUGGACUCUAAUUUGCAUGAUUUGAAUGGAACUAAACUGGACUGACGCUGUUUUGAGCAGAAUUGCCUUGGUGUUGUUUUUGUGCAAAAUUGAAAGUUCUCGGAACGUCCUGAAAAUUUACGGAGAAUAUUUCUGGAAAAUAUGAAAAAUACCUGCGCAAAGAUCCACCGGAGNNNNNNNNNNUAGUGGGCCACAAACCCUAUAGCCGCCACCCCCUCGUGGCGGCUAGCAAGCUUGUGGGGCCCACGUCGCCCUUCCGCCCUCAAACUUAGCUCUAUAAAUUCACUUUCGUCCCAGAAAAAAUAAAAAGAGAAGAUUUCGUCGCGUUUGCGAUACGGAGGCGCCGCCACAUCCCGAUCUUCAUGUGGAGGGCAGAUCUGGAGUCUGUUUUGGGCUCCGGAGAGGGGAAAUCUUCGCCAUCGUCAUCAUCAACCUUCUUCCCUCUCCAAUUCCAUGAAGCUCUUCAUCGUUCGUGAGUAAUCUAUUCGUAGGCUCGCUGGGCGGUGAUGAGUAGGAUGAGAUCUAUCAUGUAAUCGAGUUAGUUUUGACGNNNNNNNNNNNNNNNNNNNNNNNNNNNNNNNNNNNNNNNNNNNNNNNNNNNNNNNNNNNNNNNNNNNNNNNNNNNNNNNNNNNNNNNNNNNNNNNNNNNNUGGUGAACUACUCACGCAUCAUCGGAGAGGUCAUGGUGUUGAUGAAGAAGCCUUCCGUAUCCGAAUCCCCCUACGGCAGGGCACCAGAACAUGCCCCAUAUGGGAUCUUGCGGAGACAGAAGCUUGCGGCGGCGGAAAAGUACUUUCGAUGAUCUCCUGGCUUUUUGUGGAAUUUUUGGGGAUAUAUAGGCGCAACCCCUAGGGCUAAGGAGGUCCAGGGGGUCCACAAGCCUAAGGGCCGCGGCCUCCCCCUGGUUGCGGGGUGGGGGCUUGUGGGACCCCUGGGGCCCCCUGUCUUGGCUCUCAAGUCUCCUGAUCAUCUUCCGUUACGGAAAAAAUCUUUUCGGGGAUUUUAUUACGUUUGGACUCCGUUUCAAAAUCUCCUCUCAAAGGGGUCAAAAACAUGGAAAAAACAGGAACUGGCACUUGGCACUGAGUUAAUAGGUUAGUCCCAAAAAAUAUAUAGAAGGCAUGCAAAACAUCCAAAGUUUGACAAGAUAAUAGCAUGAAAGCAUCAAAAAUUAUAGAUACGUUGGAGACGUAUCAGCUCUCAAUCAUGAAGAACAUGGUGCUAUAAUGAAGCACAAGUGUGGAAAAAGAUAGUAGCAUUGUCCCUUCUCUCUUUUUCUCUCUCUAUCUUUUUUGGGGGGCUCUUGGGCCUCUUUUUCUUCCUUUUUUUAUUUGGGAUCUUUGGCCUCUUCUUUUUUUAUUUCCUCACAUGGGACAAUGCCCUAAUAAUGAUGAUCAUCACACUUUAGUUUACUCGCAGCUCAAAGCUCAGAACGAUGACGAAUCUAUAGGAAAUGCCUCCGGCAGUGUACCGGGAUGUGCAACGAUCUAGCUUGGCGUAUGAAGUUGAAACAUCUCGCUAGCUAUCUUACGAUCAUGCAAUGGCAAUAUGAGAGUGACGGCACAAGUCAUGAGACGGAACGGUGGGAGUUGCAUGGCAAUAUAUCUCAGAAUGGCUAUGAAAAUGCCAUAGUAGGUAGGUAUGGUGGCUGUUUUGAGGAAGGCAUAUGAUGGGUUUGUGCACCGGCUAGAAUUGCGUGGCACUAGAGAGGCUAGCAAUGGUGGAAGGUGAAAGUGCAUAUGUACCAUGGACUCACAUUAGUCAUGAAGAACUCAUAUACUUGUUGCGGAAGUUUUUAUUAGUAAUCAGAACAAAGUGCUAAACGCAUACUCCUAGGGGAAGGGUUGGUAGGUGUUAACCAUCGCGCGAUCCCGACCGCAACACAAAGGAUGACAAUCAAUAUAUCAAUUAUGCUCCGACUUCCUAACAUAGCGGUUCACAAUACGUGCAUGCUACGGGAAUCACUAACUUCAACACAAGUAUUUCUAGNNNNNNNNNNUCACAACACCCUACUAACAUAACUCUUAAUAUUACCAAAUCCAUGUUUCAAAACUAAUUGAGAGGAAUCAAAACUUCUCUUUCUACUCAAUGUACAUGAAGGUGGAGGUUUUUGUAUCCUCUUUGGGUACCUAUCACCUUUGGGACUACUUUCAUAGCACAAGCCAACUACCAGGUCACGCACCGCCGUGCUGUAAAAGAUCUAAGUGAAUCACAUAGAGCAAAAUUAUCUAGCUCAAAAGAUAUAAGUGAAGCACGAUGAGCAUUCUAGCAAAAAUCACGAUGAGUGCAUGUCUCUCUCAAAAGGUGUGCAGCAAGGGUGAUUGUGACACAACAAAAAGAAAAUACUCCUAUGAUACAAGACGCUCCAAGCAAAACACAUAUCAUGUGGUGAAUAAAAAUAUAGCUCCAAGUAGUGUUACCGAUGGAUUGAAGACGAAAGAGGGGAUGCCUUCCCGGGGCAUCCCCAAGCUUAGGCUUUUUGGUGCCCUUGAAUUUGGAUUGGGAUGCUUUGGGCAUCCCAAAGCUUGAGCUCUUUCCACUCCUUAUCUCUUUGUCCCUGAGAAAAUCACCCAAAACAUGAAAACUUCACAUGAGAAAACUUAAACAGAAACUCAUGAUAACAUUAGCACAAGAAAACAAACUACCACCUCUUUAGGUACUGUAGCAAUCUUGAUUUCUAUUUAUAUGGUGUUAGAUUACUGUAUUCUCACUUUUGCAUGGCUAGUACCCCCCGAUACUAUCCAUAGUUUCAUCAAAACAAGCAACCAACGCAACAAAAACAGAAUCUGUCAAAAACACACCAGUCUGCAGCAAUCUGUAUACUUUGUAUACUUCUGGUACCUCAACAAUUCUGACAAAAUUACGACUGCGUGGGGAAAAGUCAUAUCAACCAGAAGCAAAAAAGAAUCAACUCAAAAGAUCUUUCUGAAUAAAGAUGAAAAAUAAUCUCAUGAGGAAAAGUUUCUGUCUUUUUCCAGCAGGAUCAAACAACCAUCACCAAGACUAGUCAUAAAGGUUUUGCUUGGCUCAAACACAAAAAGAAACACAAAAAAACACAACCACAACAAAAUUUUGAUGGUGUGAAUGCAACAAAACAGAAAUAAAAAGAUAAAUUCAUUGGGUUGCCUCCCGACAAGCGCUAUUGUUUAACGCCCUUAGCUAGGCAUAGGGUGAUGGAAUCACAUAUCGUCGUCUUUGGUGCUCAAACCCUAAGUAGCUUGACCACUUAUCAUCUUAAGGUUUUCAUCUUUCUUGCUAGAUGAUUCAGCACUAUUUUUAGGAGCAAAGACAGACUUGGUGACCUUAUUGUGGGUAAGGUUUGGAGUAUUCUGCACAGCGGCAAAAGAGGAACCCAAGUUGGUUAUAACGUCCUCUAGUUUGCCAAUCCUAGCGGAAUCAUGACCUAGUUUUUCGUUAACUGUGGGUUCCUUCUCCUUUAAAUUUUUCAAAACCAUUCCCACCUUGGAUCCGUACCGAGUGAUUUCAUUGUGGAUCUUUUUAUCCAAAUUCUCAAUGCGUUCGAUCGUAGCAACUUUAUUUUCAAUGAUGUCCAGCCUACGCAUCACAUGUUCCAGAGUUAAGGUAGUUCCAUUAACCAUGAGUGGGGUGAGCCUACCAAAUUUAUUACAGCUCCGUAAGAAUCAACGGUAUGGCUACCCAAGAAAUUUCCACCUACGAUGGUGUCAAGAAUAUACCUAUUCCAAGGAGAAAUACCCACAUAAAAACUGCGAAGCAGGACGUUAGUGGAUUGCUUAUGAGUAGAUUUACUCUGAGCAUUGCAAAUCCUAUACCAAGCGUCCUUUAAGUUUUCUUCCUCAAUUUGUUUGAAAUUGAGAACUUCGUUCACGGGAGUAUCGUUGGAAGUGGCGGACCUAGCCAUGAGGACAGGUAGACUAUCCCACACAAACGAACAGAAAACAAGCGAGAGAAAAAGGGCAAACGAAGAAGGCAAACGAGAAAGGCAAAUAUUUUUUUGUAAAUUUUUGUUUUUCAGAAGUGGGGGGAGGAAAACGAGAGGAAAAAAAAGGUAAAUGCAAGAGAUGAGUUUGCGGCACUUACUUGGAUGAGUUCUUGACUUGAUCCUCCCCGGCAACGACGCCAGAAAUUCUUCUGCUACGGCAAGAGACAACAACGCCAGAGAUAGACACGUUGACGGAGACUGGGCUUGCGUUGAUUUUUCCCUUGAAGAGGAAAGGGUGAUGCAGCACAUGAGCAGUAAGUAUUUCCCUUAGUUUGAGAACCAAGGUAUCAAUCCAGUAGGAGACUCUCGUCAAGUCUAGAGUACCUGCACAAACACAAAAGAGCUUGCACCCAACGCUACAAAGGGGUUGUCAAUCCCUUCAAGUUUGAUUGCAAAGUGAGAUCUGCAGGCGAAAAGUGGAACGAAGUAAAAGUAUAAGUCUGAAAAUAUGAUGUGAAAUAGACCCGAGGUCCAUAGUGUUCACUAGAGGCUUCUCUCAAAAUAGCAAAUAUUACGUGGGUGAACAAAUUACUGUCGAGCAAUUGAUAGAACCGCGCAAAGUCAUGACGAUAUCUAAGGUAAUGAUCAUACAUAUAGGCAUCACGUCCGAGACAAGUGGACCAAUACUUUCUGCAUCUACUACUAUUACUCCACACAUCGACCGCUAUCCAGCAUGCAUCUCGUGUAUUGAGUUCAUGACGAACAGAGUAACGCCUUAAGUAAGAUGACAUGAUGUAGAGGGAUAAACUAAAACCAAUGAUUAAAACCCCAUCUUUUUACCCUUGAUGGCAACAACAUGAUGCGUGCCUCCCUACCCCUUCUAUCACUGGGUGAGGUCACCGCAUGGUAUGAACGCAAAACCAAGCACUUGUCCCAUUGCAAGAAUCAUAGAUCAAGCUGGCCAAACAAAGCCCACAACUCGAAGAGAAUUUCAAGGAUAUGAAAUCAUGCAUAAGAGAGAUCAGAAGAAACUCAAAUAAGAUUCAUAGAUAAUCUGAUCAUAAAUCCACAAUUCAUCGGAUCUCGACAAACACACCGCAAAAGAAGAUUACAUCGGAUAGAUCUCCAUGAAGAUCAUGGAGAACUUUGUAUUGAAGAUCCAAGAGUGAGAGAAGAAGCCAUCUAGCUACUAGCUAUGGACCCGUAGGUCUGUGGUGAACUACUCACGCAUCAUCGGAGAGGUCAUGGUGUUGAUGAAGAAGCCCUCCGUAUCCAAAUCCCCCCUCCGGCAGGGCACCAGAACAUGCCCCAGAUGGGAUCUUGCGGAGACAGAAGCUUGCGGCGGCGGAAAAGUUCUAUCGAUGAUCUCCUGAUUUUUUCUGGGAUUUUAGGGAAUAUAUAGGCGAAAUACCUAGGGCACAGGUGGCCCAGAGAGCCGACAAGCAUGGGAGGCGCGGGCCCGCCUGGCUGCGGCUAGGGGGCUUGUGGGGUCCCUGGUAGCCCCCUGCCUUGGUUCNNNNNNNNNNNNNNNNNNNNNNNNNNNNNNNNNNNNNNNNNNNNNNNNNNNNNNNNNNNNNNNNNNNNNNNNNNNNNNNNNNNNNNNNNNNNNNNNNNNNGAUCCAGCAAUAGAGACGGAGAGGUAGAAGAGUUCUCCGGCAGCGUGACGGCCCUCCGGAGGUUGGUGAUGAUCUCGUCUCAGCAGGGCUCCGCCCGAGCUCCGCAGAAACGCGAUCUAGAGGAAAAACCAUGGAGGUAUGUGGUCGGGCUGCCGUGGAAAAGUCGUCUCAAAUCAGCCUUAAAACCUCCGUAUAUAUAGGUGGGAGAGGGGGGGGCCUUGCCUUGGGGCUCAAGGAGCCCCAAGGGGAUGGGCCAAGCCAAGGGGGGAAGGUCUCCCCCCCAAACCGAGUUGGACUUGGUUUGGUGGGUGGGAGUCCUUCCUUCCCUUCCCACCUCCUCCUUUUUUUUCUCUUUGAUUUUUCUUCCAAUGCGCAUAGAGACCUUUUCGGCUGUCCCACCAGCCCACUAAGGGCUGGUGCGCCACCCUCAAGGCCUACGGCCUUCCCCGGGGUGGGUUGCCCCCCCGGUGAACUCCCGGAACCCAUUCGUCAUUCCCGGUACAUUCCCGGUAACUCCGAAAACCUUCCGGUAAUCAAAUGAGGUCAUCCUAUAUAUCAAUCUUCGUUUCAUUUCGGAAACCCUCGUGACGUCCGUGAUCUCAUCCGGGACUCCGAACAACAUUCGCUAACCAACCAUAUACUCAAAUACGCAUAAAACAACGUCGAACCUUAAGUGUGCAGACCCUGCGGGUUCGAGAACUAUGUANNNNNNNNNNNNNNNNNNNNNNNNNNNNNNNNNNNNNNNNNNNNNNNNNNNNNNNNNNNNNNNNNNNNNNNNNNNNNNNNNNNNNNNNNNNNNNNNNNNNUUACUAUUUUGCUAGGAUGUAGCUUUAGUAGUAAUAGCAUGAGUAGCACGACAACCCCGACGGAGACACGUUGAUGGAGAUCAUGGUGUGGCGCCGGUGACAAGAAGAUCGUGCCGGUGCUUUGGUGAUGGAGAUCAAGAAGCACGUGAUGAUGGCCAUAUCAUGUCACUUAUGAAUUGCAUGUGAUGUUAAUCCUUUUANNNNNNNNNNUGACAACCCCGAUGGCGACACUUUGAUGGAGAUCAUGAUGAUGGAGAUCAUGGUGUGAUGCCGGUGACAAGAAGAUCGUGCCGGUGCUUUGGUGAUGAUGGAGAUCAAGGAGCACGUGAUGUUGGCCAUAUCAUGUCACUUAUGAAUUGCAUGUGAUGUUAAUCCUUUUAUGCACCUUAUUUUGCUUAGAACGACGGUAGCAUUAUGAGGUGAUCUCUCACUAAAAUUUCAAGACAAAAUUGUGUUCUCCCCGACUGUGCACCGUUGCUACAGUUCGUCGUUUCGAGACACCACGUGAUGAUCGGGUGUUAUAGACUCAACGUUCACAUACAACGGGUGCAAAACAGUUGCACACGCGAAACACUCAGGUUAAGCUUGACGAGCCUAGCAUAUGCAGACAUGGCCUCGGAACACAUGAGACCGAAAGGUCGAGCAUGAAUCAUAUAGUUGAUAUGAUUAGCAUAGAGAUGCUUACCACUGAAACUAUUCUCGACUCACGUGAUGAUCGGACUUGAGAUAGUGGAUUUGGAUCAUGUACCACUCAAAUGACUAGAGAGAUGUACUUUUUGUGUGGGAGUUCUUAAAUAAUAUGAUUAAUUGAACUAAUUGUCAUGAACAUAGUCUAAUGGUCUUUGUGAAUUACAAUGUAGCUUGCGCUAUAGCUCUACUGUUUUUAUAUGUUCCUAGAGAAAAUUUUGUUGAAAGUUGAUAGUAGCAAACUUUGCAGAGGAUUGUCCUCGUUGCUGCGCAGAAGGCUUAUGUCCUUAAUGCACCACUCGGUGUGUUGCACCUCGAGCGUCGUCUGUGGAUGUUGUGAACAUCCGACAUACACGUUUCUGAUGACUACACGAUAGUUCAGUGCAUAAUACUUAAAUGGCUUAGAAGCAAGGCGCCGAAGACGUUUUGAAACGUCACGGAACAUAAGUGAUGUUCUAAAGAGAUGAAAUUGUGAUUUCAUGCUUGUGCCCUUGUUAAGAUGUACGAGACCUCCGACAUGAUUCUUUGUCCACAAAGUAAAGGAGAAAACCUCAAUCGUUGAGCGCGUGCUCAGAUUGUCUAAGUACGACAAUCGCUUGAAUCAAGUUGGAGUUAAUCUUCCAGAUGAGAUAGUGAUGGUUCUCCAAAGUCACUGCCACCAAGCUGUGAGAGCUUCGUGAUGAACUAUAACAUAUCAAGGAUAGAUACAAUGAACCUUGAGCGAUUCGCGAUGUUUGACACUACGAGAGUAGAAAUCAAGGAGUAUCAAUAGUUGAUGGUUAGUAAAACCACUAAGUUUCAAGAAAGGCAAGGGCUAGAAGGGAUACUUCGUGAAACGGCAAAACAGUUGCUGCACUAAUGAAGAGACCCAAGAUUAAACCCAAACCCGAGACUAAGUGCUUCUGUAAUGAGGGGAACAGUCACUGAGGCGGAGCAACUCUAGAUACUUGGUAGAUAAGAAGGCUGGCAAAAGUUGAAAGAAGUAUAUUUGAUAUACAUGAUGUUGAUGUGUACUUUACUAGUACUCCUAGUAGCAUGAGGGUAUUAGAUACCGGUUCGGUUGCUAAGUGAUUAGUAACAUGAAAUGAUAGCUACGGCGUAAACAGAAACUAGCUAAAGGCGAGGUGACGGUACGUGUUGGAAGUGUUUCCAAGAUUGAUAUGAUCAAAACAUCGCACGCUCCCUCUACCAUCGGGAUUGGUGUUAAACCAAAAUAAUUGUUAUUUGGUGCUUGCGUUAAGCAUGAACGUGAUUGGAUCGUGUUUAUUGCAAUACGAUUAUUCAUUUAAAGAGAAUAAUGGUUACUCUAUUUGCUUGAAUAAUCACCUUCAAUGGUUUAUUGAAUCUCGAUCGUAGUGUUACACAUGUUCAUAAUAUUGGUGCCAAAAGAUACGAGGUAAUGAUGAUAGUACCGCUUACUUGUGGCACUGCCGCUUGAGUCAUGUUAGUAUAAAUUGCAUGAAGAGGCUCCAUGCUGAUGGAUCUUUAUACUCACUUGAUUUUGAAUCACUAGUGACAUGCAAAUCAUACCACAUGAGCAAGGCCUUGUUUUCAUUGAGAUGAAACAAGAAAGUAACUUAUUGGAAGUGACACAUUUUGAUGUAUGCAGUCCAAUGGGUGCUAAGGCACGCAGUGGAUAUCAUUAUGUUCUUACUUUAAUGACGAUUUAAGUGGAUACAAGAGUAUUUACUUAAUGAAUCACAAGUCUGAAAUUUUGAAAAGUUCAAUUCUGUUUCGGAGUGAAGUUCGUCGUAACAAGAGGAUAAACUGUCUACGAUAUGAUCAUAGAAAUUAAUAUCUGAGUUACGAGUUUUGGUACGCAGUUAAGACAAUGUGGAAAUUGUUUCGCAGUUCAUGCCACCUGGAACAUCAUAGUGUGAUGAUGUGUCUGAAUGUCAUAGCCACGCACUAUUUCGUAUGGUGCAUGCUAUGAUGUCUCUUAUCGAAUUACCACUAUCGUUUAUGGGUUAUGCAUUAGAGACAACCGCAUUCACUUUAAAUAGGGCACCUCGUAUUUCCGUUGAGAUGACACAGUAUAGACUGAGGUUUAGAGAAAUCUAAACUGUCGUUUCUUGAAUGUUUGGGGCUUCGACACUUAUGUGAAAAAGUUUCAGUCUCAUAAGCUCGAACCCAAAGCGGAUAAAUGCAUCUUCAUAGGAUAUCCAAAACAGUUGGGUACAUCUCCUAUCUCAGAUCCGAAAGCAAAGUGUUUGUUUCUAGAAAUGGAUCCUUUCUCGAGGAAAGGUUUCUCUCGAAAGAAUUGAGUGGGAGGGUGGUAGAACUUGAUGAGGUUAUUGAACCAUCACUUCAACCAGUGUGUAACAGGGCGCAGGAAGUUGUUCUUGUGGCACCUACACCAAUUGAAGUGAAAGCUGAUGAUGGUGAUCAUCGAGCAUCGGAUCAAGUUACUACAAACCUCGUAGGUUGACAAGGUCGCAUACUACUGCAUAGUGGUACAGGGACCCUGUCUUGGAGUUCAUGUUGUUGAGCAACAAUGAACCUGCGAGUUAUGGAGAAAGCAAUGGUGGGCCCGGAUUCCGACAAAUGGCUGGAGGCCAUGAAAUCCGAGAGAGGAUCCAUGUAUGAAAACAAAGUGUAGACUUUGGAAGAACUACUUGAUGGUCAUAGGACUAUUGAGUAAAUAUGGAUCUUUAAAAGGAAGACAAACAAUGAUGGUGAUAAGUCACUAUUAAGAAAAGCUCGACUUGUCGCAAAGAUGUUUCCGACAAGAUCAAACAGUUGACUAUGAUGAGACUUUCUCACUCGUAGCGAUGCUAAAAUUCUGUCAAAAUUAUGUUAGUAGUUGCUGCAUUAUUUAUGAAAUAUUGCACGUAGGAUGUCAAAACAUUGUUUCCUCGACGGUUUCCUUGAGCAAACAUUGUAUGUGAUACAACCAGGAGGUUUUGUCGAUCCUAAAGAUACUAGCAAGUAUGCAAGCUCAAGUGAUCCUUCAAUGGACUGGUGCAAGCAUCUCGGAGUUGGAAUAUACACUUUGAUGAGAUGAUCAAAGAUUUUGGGUUUGUACAAGGUUUAUGAGAAACUUGUAUUUCCAAAGAAGUGAGUGGAAGCACUAUAGAAUUUUUUAUAAGUAUAUGUGGUUGACAUAUUGUGGAUCAGAAGUAAUGUAGAAUUUUUGUAAAGCAUACAAGGUUGUUUGAAAGGAGUUUUCAAAGGAAUACCUGGAUUGAGCUACUUGAACGUUGAGAAUCAAAGAUCUAUGGAGAUAGAUCAAAAGCGCUUAAUGGAAGUUUCAACAAGAUGUAUGCCUUGACAAGUUUUUGAAGGAGUUCAAAAUAGAUCAGCAAAGAAGGAGUUCUUGGUUGCGUUGUAAGGUGUGAAUUUGAGUAAGACUCAAAACCCGACCACGGCAGAAUAAAGAGAAUAGACGAAAGUCGUCUUCUAUGCCUUAGUCGUAGACUCUAAAGUAUGCCAUGCUGAGUACCGCACCCGAUGUGUGCCUUACAGCGAGUCUGUUAAAAGGUACACAGAGUGAUUCAGGAUUGAAUCACUGAUCAGCGGUCAAAGUUAUCCUUAGUAACUGAAUAGACUAAGGAAUUUUUUCUCGAUUAUGGAGGUGGUUAAAGAGUUAGUCGUAAAAGGUUACGUCGAUGCAAGCUUUGACACUAAUCCGAAUAACUAUGAGUAGCGAAACGGAUUCGUAUAGUAGAGUAGAUAUUUGGAGCAUUUCCGAAUAGCACAUAGUAGCAGCAUCUAUAAGAUGACAUAAAGAUUUGUAAAGAACGCACGGAUCUGAAAGUUUCAGAACCGUUGACUAAAACCUCUCUCACGAGCAAGACGUGAUCAGACCCCAGAACUAUAUGGGUGUUGGGUUCGUUGAAAUCACAUGGUGAUGUGAACUAGAUUAUUGACUCUAGUGCAAGUGGGAGACUGUUGGAAAUAUGCCCUAGAGGCAAUAAUAAAUUAGUUACUAUUAUAUUUCUUAGUUCAUGAUAAUCGUUUAUUAUCCAUGCUAUAAUNNNNNNNNNNCUGAUUGGAAACACAGUGCAUGUGUGGAUACAUAGACAAAACACUGUCCCUAGUAAGCCUCUAGUUGACUAGCUCGUUGAACAAAGAUGGUCAAGGUUUCCUGACCAUAGGCAAGUGUUGUCACUUGAUAACGGGAUGACAUCAUUAGAAGAAUCAUGUGAUGGACUAGACCCAAACUAAUAGACGUAGCAUGUUGAUCGUGUCAUUUUGUUGCUACUCUUUUCUGCGUGUCAAGUAUUUGUUCCUAUGACCAUGAGAUCAUAUAACUUACUGACACCGGAGGAAUGCUUUUUGUGUAUCAAACGUCACAACGUAACUGGGUGACUAUAAAGAUGCUCUACAGGUAUCUCCGAAGGUGUUCGUUGAGUUAGUAUGGAUCAAGACUGGGAUUUGUCACUCCGUAUGACGGAGAGGUAUCUCGGGGCCCACUCGGUAAUACAACAUCACACACAAGCCUUGCAAGCAAUGUGACUUAGUGUAAGUUGCGGGAUCUUGUAUUACGGAACGAGUAAAGAGNNNNNNNNNNNNNNNNNNNNNNNNNNNNNNNNNNNNNNNNNNNNNNNNNNNNNNNUCUCGGGCAAGUAACAUACCGAAGGACAAAGGGAAUAACAUACGGGAUUAUAUGAAUCCUUGGCAAUGAGGUUCAAACGAUAAGAUCUUCGUAGAAUAUGUAGCAUCCAAUAUGGGCAUCCGAGUCCCGCUAUUGGAUAUUAACCGAGGAGUCUCUCGGGUCAUGUCUACAUAGUUCUCGAACCCGCAGGNNNNNNNNNNGAUCAAAGAUAGUCAGUGUCUUCUGAUUAUGAACAAGGUGUUGUUGCUUGAUAACUGGAUCACGUCAUUAGGAGAAUCACGUGAUGGACUAGACCCAAACUAAUAGACGUAGCAUGUUGAUCGUGUCAUUUUGUUGCUACUCUUUUCUGCGUGUCAAGUAUUUAUUCCUAUGACCAUGAGAUCAUAUAACUCACUGACACCGGAGGAAUGCUUUGUGUGUAUCAAAUGUCGCAACGUAAGUGGGUGACUAUAAAGAUGCUCUACAGGUAUCUCCGAAGGUGUUAGUUGAGUUAGUAUGGAUCAAGACUGGGAUUUGUCACUCCGUGUGACGGAGAGGUAUCUCGGGGCCCACUCGGUAAUACAACAUCACACACGAGCCUUGCAAGCAAUGUAACUUAGUGUAAGUUGCAAGAUCUUGUAUUACGGAACGAGUAAAGAGACUUGCCGGUAAACGAGAUUNNNNNNNNNNCCAUGAGAUCAUAUAACUCACUGACACCGGAGGAAUACUUUGUGUGUAUCAACCGUCGCAACGUAACUGGGUGACUAUAAAGAUGCUCUACACGUAUCUCCGAAGGAGUUAGUUGAGUUAGUAUGGAUCAAGACUGGGAUUUGUCACUCCGUGUGACGGAGAGGUAUCUCGGGGCCCACUCGGUAAUUCAACAUCACACACAAGCCUUGCAAGCAAUAUGACUUAGUGUAAGUUGCGGGAUCUUGUAUUACGGAACGAGUAAAGAGNNNNNNNNNNCUGAGGUUCAAACGAUAAUAUUUUGUAGAAUAUGUAGGAUCCAAUAUGGGCAUCCAGGUCCCGCUAUUGGAUAUUGACCGAGGAGUCUCUCGGGUCAUGUCUACAUAGUUCUCGAACCCGCAGGGUCUGCACACUUAAGGUUCGACGUUGUUUUAUGCGUAUUUGAGUAUAUGGUUGGUUAGCGAAUGUUGUUCGGAGUCCCGGAUGAGAUCACGGACGUCACGAGGGUUUCCGGAAUGGUUCGGAAACGAAGAUUGAUAUAUAGGAUGACCUCAUUUGAUUACCGGAAGGUUUUCAGAGUUACCGGAAUGUACCGGGAAUGACGAAUGGGUUCCGGGUGUUCACCGGGGGGGCAACCCACCCCGGGGAAGCCCAUAGGCCUUGGGGGUGGCGCACCAGCCCUUAGUGGGCUGGUGGGACAGCGCAAGAAGGCCCUAUGCACCAUAGGAAGAAAUCAAAGAGAAAAGAAAAAAAAGAGGAGGUGGGAAAAGGGGGAAGGACUCCUCCUUCCAAACCUAGUUGGAUUCGGUUUGGAAGGGGAGGACUCCCCCCCCUUGGCUCGGCCAAACCCCUUGGGGGUCCUUGGACCCCAAGGCAAGGCUCCGCCUCUUCCCCCUAUAUAUACGGAGGUUUUAGGUCUGAUUUUGUUGGGGAACGUCGCAUGGGAAUCAAAAAAUUUCCUACGCGCACGAAGACCUAUCAUGGUGAUGUCCAUCUACGAGAGNNNNNNNNNNAGUUCGGAGUCCCGGAUGAGAUCACGGACGUCACGAAGGUUUCCGGAAUGGUCCGAAAACGAAGAUUGAUAUAUAGGAUGACCUCAUUUGAUUACCAGAAGGUUUUCGGAGUUACCGGGAAUGUACCGGGAAUGACAAAUGGGUUCCGGGUGUUCACCGGGGGGGCAACCCACCCCGGGGAAGCCCAUAGGCCUUGGGGGUGGCGCACCAGCCCUUAGUGGGCUGGUGGGACAGACCAAGAAGGCCCUAUGUGGCAUAGGAAGAAAAUCAAAGAGAAAAGAAAAAAAAGAGGAGGUGGGAAAAGGGGGAAGGNNNNNNNNNNGCCCUUAGUGGGCUGGUGGUACAGCCCAAAAGGUCCCUAUGAGCCAUAGAGAUAAAAAUCAAAGAGAAAGAAAAAAAGGGAGGUGGGAAGGAAGGGAAGGACUCCCACCCACCAAACCAAGUCCAACUCGGUUUGGGGGGGGGAGCCUUCCCCCCUUGGACUCGGCCGACCCCCUUGGGGCUCCUUGAGCCCAAAGGCAAGGUCCCCUCCCUCCCACCUAUAUAUACGGAGGUAUUGGGGCUGAUUUGAGACGACUUUUCCACCGCAGCCCGACCACAUACCUCCACGGUUUUUCCUCUAGAUCGCGUUUCUGCGGAGCUCGGGCGGANNNNNNNNNNNNNNNNNNNNNNNNNNNNNNNNNNNNNNNNNNNNNNNNNNNNNNNNNNNNNNNNNNNNNNNNNNNNNNNNNNNNNNNNNNNNNNNNNNNNNNNNNNNNNNNNNNNNNNNNNNAAGGUCAUCACCAACCUCCGGAGCGCCGUCACGCUGCCGGAGAACUCUUCUACCUCUCCGUCUCUCUUGCUGGAUCAAGAAGGCCGAGAUCAUUGUCGAGCUGUACGUGUGCUGAACGCGGAGGUGCCGUNNNNNNNNNNCCCUCUUCCCCCUUUGUAUACGGAGGUUUUGGGGCUGAUUUGACACAACUUUGCCAUGGCAGCCCGACCACAUAUCUCCACGGUUUUACCUCUAGAUCGUGUUUCUGCGGAGCUCGGGCGGAGCCCUCUGAGAUUAGAUCACCACCAACCUCCGGAGUGCCAUCACGCUGCCGGAGAACUCAUCUACCUCUCCAUCUCUCUUGCUGGAUCAAGAAGGCUGAGAUCAUCGUCGAGCUGUACGUGUGCUGAACGCGGAGGUGCCGUCCGUUCGGCACUAGAUCGUGGGACGGAUCGCGGGAUGGUUCGCGGGGCGGAUCGAGGGACGUGAGGACGUUCCAUUACAUCAACCGCAUUCACUAACGCUUCUGCUGUGCGAUCUACAAGGGUACAUAGAUCGAAAAUCCCCUCUCGUAGAUGGACAUCACCAUGAUAGGUCUUCGUGCGCGUAGGAAAAUUUUUGUUUCCCAUGCGACGUUCCCCAAGAGUGGCAUCAUGAGCUAGGUUCAUGCGUAGAUGUCUUCUCGAGUAGAACACAAAAGUUUUUGUGGGCGGUGUUGUGCGUUUUGCUGCCCUCCUUAGUCUUUUCUUGAUUCCGCGGUAUUGUUGGAUUGAAGCGGCUUGGACCGACAUUACUCGUACGCUUACAAGAGACUGGUUUCAUCGCUACGAGUAACCCCGUUGCUCAAAGAUGAGUGGCAAGUGUCAGUUUCUCCAACUUUAGUUGAAUCGGAUUUGACCGAGGAGGUCCUUGUAUAAGGUUAAAUAGCAAUUCAUAUAUCUCCGUUGUGGUGUUUGCGUAAGUAAGAUGCGAUCCUACUAGAUACCCAUGGUCACCACGUAAAACAUGCAACAACAAAAUUAGAGGACGUCUAACUUGUUUUUGCAGGGUAUGCUUGUGAUGUGAUAUGGCCAACGNNNNNNNNNNNNNNNNNNNNNNNNNNNNNNNNNNNNNNNNNNNNNNNNNNNNNNNNNNNNNNNNNNNNNNNNNNNNNNNNNNNNNNNNNNNNNNNNNNNNUAGCGAUACGCAUAUACAUAACAUUGAGACCAAAAGAGUUAGAGUUAACAAUGAUAGCGCCAUAUUUUUGUGGCACUGCCGCUUAGGUCAUAUUGGUGUAAAGCGCAUGAAGAAACUCCAUGCCGAUGGACUUUUGGAGUCACUUGACAUUGAUUCACUUGACACGUGCAAACCAUGCCUCAUGGGCAAGAUGACUAAAACUCCGUUCUCCGGAACAAUGGAGCAUGCAAGUGACUUGUUGGAAAUCAUACAUACCGAUGUGUGUGGUCCGAUGAGCGUAGAGGCACGCGGCGGAUAUCGUUAUUUUCUCAUCUUCACUGACAAUUUGAGUAGAUAUGGUUAUGUUUACUUAAUGAAGCACAAGUCUGAAACAUUUGAAAAGUUCAAGCAAUUUCAGAGUGAAGUUGAAAAUCAUCGUAACAAGAAGAUCAAGUUCCUACGGUCUGAUCGUGGGGGUGAAUAUCUGAGUUUCGAGUUUGGUGCUCACUUAAGACAAUGUGGAAUUGUUUCACAGUUGACACNNNNNNNNNNNNNNNNNNNNNNNNNNNNNNNNNNNNNNNNNNNNNNNNNNNNNNNNNNNNNNNNNNNNNNNNNNNNNNNNNNNNNNNNNNNNNNNNNNNNUUUACAGUUAUGUUUUCGAUUUAAGCGUGGAACUGGGCAUUCCAAUUACCGGCCCCUUUCUCGUGAAUGACAGUGAAUAAACACAUGUCGAGGAUAACACGCCUAACAUGGAAGAUACCAAUAGCCCCCUGUAACCACAUGAGCGGUUCCGGCAUGCAAAACAGAUUAUUUCUUGAAGGGUUAGAGAGUGACACAUGCAAAUUUACUUGGAACGGCAGGUAGAUACCGCAAAUAGGUAGGUAUGGUGGACUCUCAUGGAAAAACUUUUGGGUUUAUGGAAGUCGAUGCACAAGCAGUAUUCCGCUUAGUACAAGUGAAGGCUAGCAAAAGACUGGGAAGCGGCCAACUAGAGAGCGACAACAGUCAUCAAGAUGCAAUGAGUUUGACUAACAUUGAAUGCAAGCAUGAACAGGAGAUAAAUCACCAUGAACAUGAACAUCAUAGAGGCUAUGUUGAUUUUCUUUCAACUACAUGUAUGAACAUGUGCCAAGUCAAGCCACUUGAAUCAUUCAAAGGAGAAUACCAUCCUAUCAUACUACAUCAUAGUCACCUCAAAAUCAAUGUUGGCAUUCAACACAAACCAUUAUAAGCUCUCAGCCAGUUAAGCAUGGCAUCAGAAUCUAUGAUCUCUAAGUUGUCAUUGCAAACAUGGUUCUCUCACAACAAAGGUGAAUGAGGCAUGACAAGCUAGUCAUAUUUACAAAAACAAAAUAGAUAGAGUUCAUACCAGCUUUUCCAGUCUCAGUCACUUCAUCAUAUGUCAUCAUUAUUGCCUUUCAUUUGCACGAUCGAACUAUGUGGACAAUAAUAAGAGUGCUCGUGCAAUGGACUAAGCUGAAUCUGCAGGCAAACACAAAGGAGAAGACAAAGUAAUAUGGCUCUUUGAAAGCUAAACAGGUAUGCAUGCAAGAGCCACUAAACAUUGUAACCAAUAUCUUCUACCUUGACCCAAAGAAAAAGAAAACUAUUUACACGGGAAAGAUCCCAACAAGCAAAAGAAGAAAGAAAAAUCUUUUGGGGUUUUCUCAAAAGGACACAAAACAAGAAAACAAGAAAACGAAAAUAAACUAGCAUGGAUAAUACAGUGGCAAAGUGUAAACACCGACUAACAAAGUGAAAGCAUAAGCAUGAAUGUAAGGUAGGUGAGAACACGUACUCCCCAGAGCUUAGGCUUUUGGCCUAGCUUGGUCUACUCCCAAGGUGGGAAAUAACUAGCUCCGGGAUACUCCAGAGCAGACCGUGGAUGCCACUGCUGUGUGAGCUCCUUUGGCUCCCACUGAUAAACUAGCGUCUGGUACUCGACUAGCGGCUCGGGCACGGGCACCUGUGGUUGGACCAAGCCCCAAUAUGCGUAGAUGUCCAAGGGCAUAAUAGUGUACCUGCCUGCAUGAAGAUCGAACAAAGAAGGAGCAGGCAAAGUAAUAGUCUCUCGAGUACCCUGACUAAAUACCAAGUUAUAAAUCAUCCGUCUACUAGCAUCUCUAUCCAGAAAAUCAUGCCGAACCAUGCUGUCAUAAUCCAGAUAUUUCUCAGGGAGAAGCAUCUCUCCUUCCUCUCCCAGUCUAACGGGUAUCUCAAAGUGUGUGGCAAGACAGGUAGCAUAGAUACCUCCAUAGACGACACCCUUGGAACGGUUGGUGUUCAACCGCUCGGCUACUAUAGCACCUAGGCUAUAAGUCUUAUCGUUAUAAAGGCCUUCGCGCAAAACCGCAAGGUCUGGAGAGCUAAGUGAUCCAGCCUCCCCACGACCAAUCAAACAUUUUCCCACAAAUAAUGAGAAGUACCGAAGCACAGGAAAAGUAGAUACGAUGGAGACGUAUCAGCUUCUUGCAUAUCUUCAGGACUGAGGAAUAGAAUACCUCUUUUCUUCUGAGUUGGCUUAGGAGGUGGUUCGGGAAUAGUCCAAGCAUUCUCAUUGCACAAGAUGUUAUUCAGUAGAAUCUCGGCUUGUUCUACAGUUUGUUCCCUAAAAACACUACCGACACAACUAUCUAGGUGGUCUUUGGAAGCAUCAGUAAGUCCAUUAUAGAAGAUAUCAAGUAUUUCAUUCUUCUCAAGAGGGUGAUCAGGCAAAGCAUUCAGUAGCUGGAUGAGCCUCCCCCAAGCUUGUGGGAGACUCUCUUCUUCAGCUUGAGCAAAUUUGUAUAUUUCCUGCAAGGCAGCUUGCUUCUUAUGGGCAGGGAAAUAUUUUUCAGAGAAGUAGUAGACCAUAUCCUGGGGGCUACGCACACAACUAGGAGCAAGAGAAGUGAACCAAGUCUUAGCACCAUCCUUUAGCAAGAAUGGAAACAACUUGAGCAUGUAGUAGUGUCAGAUCUUUUCCUCACUAGUGAAUAGGGUGGCUAUAUCGUGUAGUUUGGUAAGAUGGGCUACAACCGUUUCAGACUCAUAACCGUGGAAAGGAUCAGAUUCGACCAGAGUGAUUAACUCAGGGUCGACAGAGAAUUCAUAAUCCUUAUCGGUCACAAAGAUAGGCGAAGUGGCAAACUUCGGGUCGUAUUUCAUCCUAGCAUUCAGAGAUUUUUCUUUCCACUUGCGCAGUAAUUUCUCAACAUCAUAGUUAUCCUUACACACAAGAAAAUCCUCAGCUAUCUCUCCCUCCAUAACCUAGUGCGUAUCAGGCAUAACAGGCAUAGUAGCAGGUUCUACUUCAAUAGUAUCCGCAGUUUCAGAAAUAUCAUCACGUCUAGCAGCAACUCUAGAAAUAUGUGCAUCAAGGAAUGCACCAAGUGGCAAAGCAGUAUCAGGCAUAGCAUCAUCAGGCAUAGUAUCAAGCAUAGCAUCAUCAGGCAUAGUAUCAAACAUAGCAUCGUGGACAGCAGAAGUAGCAUUAUCAAGCACAGGCGACAUAUCAAGAUUUCUAGCAGGAGGCGAUGUCGCAAACUUACUCAAAACUGAAGGUGAAUCAAGUGCAGAGCUAGAUGGCAGUUCCUUACCUGUCCUCGUAGUGGAAGGCAGGAUUUUAGUUCUUGGAUCUUUCGGAUUCCUCAUAGUGAUCAGCAGACGUCAAUCCUAAGUGACUGAGAGAAUAUAGUUGUGCCUCCCCGGCAACGGCGCUAGAAAACGCCUUGACAACCCACAAGCGUAUGGGAUCGCAGCGGUUUUCGAGGGUAGAGUAUUCAACCCAAAUUUGUUGGUUCACACAAGGGAAGCGAAAGAAUAUUCUCGAGUAUUAGCAGCUGAAUGUGUCAGAUUCAACCACACCUGAAAGAUUAGUCUCUGCAAGCAAAGUAUCAGUAGCAAAGUAGUAUGAUAGCAACGGUGCGAGAAACGAUCUGUUGAUGGCAGACUAUUCCUAACAGUUGUAUCAAUGGCACGAGUAAAAAGCACGUUGACGGGGGACUAUUCUUCCCCAACAACUGCUCCAGAAAAGGUCUUGCACUAAGUAGCAGCGGAGUAGCAAGGAACAGCAGUAGCAACAGCGGCAAAGUAACAGCAGUAACAUCAGUAGCAGCAAAGUGACAGCAGUAGCAACAGUAGCAGCAAAGUGGCCCAAUCCCUCUUCUAGCAAGGGACAAUCCUAGACAAAGUAACGUAGCGAGGACCAGUAGUAAAAGACUCGUAGGCAGUGGAUCGGUGAUGGAUGAGUAUGACGGAUGUGAUUCAUCAUGUAACACCUAUAACACGGAGAGAUAUGUGACUAGCUCCCGUUCAUCAAUCUAAUGUAGGCAUGUAUUCCGUAUGUAGUCAUACGUGUUUAGGGAAAAGAACUUGCAUGACAUCUAUUGUCCAUCCCUCCCGUGGCAGCGGGGUCCUAAUGGAAACUACGGGAUAUUAAGGUUCUCCUUUUAAUAAAGAACCGGACCAACGCAUUAACAUGCGGUGAAUACAUGAACUCCUCAUACUAUGGUCAUCUCCGGGGGUGGUUCCGGCUAUUGUCACUACGGGGUUGCCGGGUCAUAACACAUAGUAGGUAACUACAACUUGCAUGAUAGGAUCUAAAACACACAUAUAUUGGUGACAACAUAAUAGGUUCAGAUCUGAAAUCAUGGCACUCGGGCCCUAGUGACAAGCAUUAAGCAUAGCCAAGUAGUAGCAACAUCAAUCUAGAACAUAGUGGAUACUAGGGAUCAAUCCCCGUCAAAAACUAACACGAUUACAUGAUAGAUCUCAUCCAAUUCAUCACCGUCCAGCAAGCCUACGAUGAGAUUACUCACGAACGAUGAAGAGCAUCAUGGAAUUGUCGAUGGAGAAAGGUUGAUGAUGAUGAUGGCGACGAUUUCCCCUCUCCGGAGCCCGAAACGGACUCCAUAUCUGCCCUCCAGAUGAAGAACACGAUGUGGUGGCGCCUCCGUAUCGCAAAACGCGAUGAAACUUCUCUCUGAUUUUUUCCAGGCGAAACGGAAGAUAUAGAGCUGAGUUUGGGGGCGGUAGUGCCACGUGGGCCCCACAAGCCUGCACGGCGCGGCCUAGGGGGUGGCCGCGGCCUGUGGGCUUGUGGCCCACUGGCACGCCCCCUCCGGUGGCUCUUUGCGCAGGUAUUUUUCUUUUAUUCCAGAAAAAAUCUCCGUAAAUUUUCAGGACAUUCCGAGAACUUUUAUUUCUGCACAAAAACAACACCAUGGCAAUUGUGCUGAAAACAGCGUCAGUCCGGGUUAGUUCCAUUCAAAUCAUGCAAAUUAGAGUCCAAACCAAGGAAAAAAGAGUUCGGAAAAGUAGAUACGACGGAGAUGUAUCAUCUAUACUGAUGUCAUGUUCGUCUAUACUGAUCGAGUGGGUAAGGCGCUGGAUUGAGAUAGUCAACUGUCCUCCUCCUCAACCUGAGACCUAUUCCCGCGAAGAUGAUCUAGGAUUCCACGAUGAUCGAGAUAUGUCAAUCAAAUUCAAGGACAAAGUCUUUUACCAGGAGAGCCUUGAUCACACUAAGGUGGCCCUUAUGGCAAUCAUACCGGGCUACACCCUUCCUCCGCUGCAAGCAAGAAGAAGGUCUCUUCCCAAAAAGUGCGCUCGCCUCCCAUUGUUCUGAAUGUGUCGUCCUCUCUUGACAUGGGACGUUGCACCACGCGCCAAACACCAGCGAGUGCGGCGCCGACCGAAUUCGCUCCAAACGAUGGUAGGGAUCCCAAGCGUGUGGUAGCCAUAGGAACCACCUCGACCAUGCCCCCGGCCAAGAGGUAAUAUAUUGAACUCGUAUUCCAGGCAUUGUUAUAAUCAAUUACGAGGAAUCAUAAUUUUUAUCGAGACCCACACGAGACGGACACAACCACCUUCAUUCGAAGACGUUGAAGAGGUUCCAGGUGGUAAUGCCGACCAUAGAUCUUCGGCAAGGGUCGGGGUUAAUGCGGAGGUCCCCGCUGCAGACCAUCUUCGAGAGGAUCCCGAGGAAGUCUCGGUCACCAGUUCCAAAGUCAAAAGUGUGAUGAAUCACCAACAACAAAAGGAAUCAUCCUUCAUUUUCCGAACCCGAGUUUAACGCUCUUAAUUUGGUGGACGCAUAUCUCGGAACCGCCCGACCAGAACUUGAGGGAGCCACCAUCCUUAUGUUGACUAGCUUAGCGGUGAGUGGUUAGUUUUGACAGCCGAAAACAAAUCUUAACCUAGUGGCCCCAAGCUUUAAUUUGGUUGGGACGACCAAGUUAAGAGUCUGAAUAAUCUUGUGACAUGAUGUAGGCCUCGAGGGAACAAAACAAAAAAUUGUCCGAGGACCUUGAGUCAAGCCGAACAGAAUUGACGGAUGUGAAAGCCGAACUAGAGGAGGUAAAAAAAAUACUUGGGAGGCACACGGUGAGUAAAAAGUUCUAAUUAUGAAGAAUUGCUUCGAGCACCUUUUCUAAUGAAACAUUUCCUUGUAGCACCCGAGUCCAUAGGUCAGCUGCAGAGAGAUCUCGAUGUGGCAACAUAAUCUCAAAGAUAUGUCGAAUCUCAGCAUGAAGCCGACCGCCAGGUACUGUCCGGGAGUUGUGAUGAAAAAGAACAAGCUCGAAGCAGAAAACAAGCAUCAGACCAAAGAAAUUGAGAGGUUGAAAACUCAAUUGGCACAAGCCCGCGAAGGGAACCAGAGAUUAAAAGGUGGCAUGUUUGGUGAGUAAAAUUUAACUUGUAAUUUUUUAAGAUAACCGUAUUAUGUCAAUCUAAGAGACAUGUCAUGUCUCAUGCUAGCUCUCCUAACUAGGCGCCCCGAACAAGAGGCCAGCUCGUUUGGAGGGAGCCUUCUAAAGGAACUAUAUAUCGUACAUGAGCGCGGGCAGAAAGCAAUGAAGAGCAUGGUCAAGGCUUUAUGGCCAACCAAUACGCCUUCGGAAGGAAUGGCCGAGCUAGUCGAUCGAUUUAAAGGAGCUCGACGUCACUUUGAGCUAUGGAAGGUAUCGGCUUGCCGAGAAGGAGCAUGGGAGGCGUGGGAAAUCGUGAAGACCUACUUUACCAAACUCAACCCAACGCAUUUAGCUCGUGUUGGACCGGUACAUCCAGAUGGUCAAGAGGCGCCACUCCACUUGGUGUAUGAUCAAAUGAUGCCCACCAUGCGUAUUUCGCAAGAAUACUGCCGCCUAGACACCAUAACAGAUAAUGUUGACUAGACAAUGCUUGUUUGAUUCUAUGUAACUAUGUACUUUACAUAAAAUAUUACCCUGUCCAUGUUGUAAACAUUGUCUUAACGGGCCAUUAGCUUCUACCUCCCCCGCAAGUGGAUGGGGAGUGUUCCAUACUAUGUGACAUGAGGGAACGGGAAAUCACUUUAGAGAACAAGGCAAUCCGGUCAUAUGGUGCUAACAGACAGAACAUGCUCAGGGAGUUAUGUUAUAUGACUCUUUAACAUAAGAAACAUCUUCCGAAGAAAAUAGUUCCUCUAUGGGUUCCUUUCUUUGGGUUGCUGGCUUGACCGUAGACGUUAUAACCGUAUACCCGCAGUAUGCGCGUAAUGGCUACUUCAGGAAAAUAACCCCGGGUUUUGGUGACAAUCACCGAUUAUUUUCACUUCCUUCGUGGCCAACCAAUUAUAUUCUUAAGAACAGUAGCUUUUGGGUUCACCGGUCUGAGGUACGUACCCGCGUGAUCCGAUCGUAACAAUCGUAGAGGUGCUCCCUUUUCCCCCUAGCCGAACAAUCGGGAACAUAGAGAAUAAGCAUAGGAGCCAGGCAACCUAGCUUGGCUAAAUCUUAAGUCAAAUUGAUGCAUAUGGUGGCUUUAAAAUGAUACAGGAAGGAUGCAUACACGAGAGAUAUGAAAUAGAUGCACAAAAUGUAUUGACCGGCUUCAUUAAGAAGCCCCCAGGUGUGACCCGAUAAUACAUUUGAAGAUGUAUGCCGAGGAAAACUUUAAAGUAGUUCGGGUUAGCCGAACAUAACCUGGGAAAUACUAACCAAUCCAAAGAAAGUAAAAAAGGAAAGGAAAACUAUUAAAUAAAUGGAAAGGAAAACUAUAAAAGAAAAGGAAAGGAAAAGUAAUCAAGGUGACGACACCGGUCUAGCCGUAGAAGCAUCGAGAUGAGUUGCGUUCCAUGGGUUCGGUCUGUUGGGGAAUGUCGCAUGGGAAACAAAAAGGUCCUAUGCUCACCAAGAUCAAUCUAUGGAGAUCAACAUCUACAAGAGGGGGAGUGCAUAUACAUACCCUUGUAGAUCGUUGAUACGUCUCCAACGUAUCUAUAAUUUUUGAAUGUUCAAUGCUAUUAUAUUAUCUAUUUUGCAUGUUUUAUAUGCAUUAAUAUGUUAUUUUCUAUUAUUUUUGGGACUAACCUAUUAAUCUAGAUCCUAGUGCCAGUUUCUGUUUUUUCGAUGUUUUGAGUAUUGCAGGUAAGGAAUAUUAAACGAAGUCCAAACGGAAUAAAAUCUCCGGAAUUAUUUUUCUUGGACCAGAAGAAACCCAGAAGACUUGGAGUAGGGGGCAGGGCACCUACCUGGAGGCCACACGCUUGCAGGGCGCGCCCUAGGGGGAGGGCGCCCCCUUGGCUUGUGGGUCCCCUACAGGCCUCCUAACCCUAUUGUUCGGCUUAUAAAUUCCCAAAUAUCCCCCCAUUUCAAGAGAGAGCCACAAAAAUACUUUUCCGCCACCAGGAGCCUCUGUUCCCGUGAGAUCCAAUCUAGGAGCAUUUUCCGGCAAUCUGGCGGGGAGGGAAUUGAUCAUGGAGGGCAUCUACAUCAACUCCAUUGCCCCUCCGAUGAUGCGUGAGUAGUUCACCACAAACCUACGGGUCCAUAACUAGUAGCUAGGUGGCUUCUUCUCUCUCUUUGAUCUUCAAUACCAUGUCCUUCAUGAUCUUCAUGGAUAUCUAUCCGACGUAAUACUCUUUUGCAGUGUGUUUGUCGAGAUCCAAUGAAUUGUGAGUUUAUGUUUAUAUUAUCUAUGAAUAUUAUUUGAAUCUAUUUUGUAUUCUUAUAUGCAUUAUUUCAUAUCUUAUAAAGUCUCUUUGAGUUAUUCGUUUGGUUUGGCCAACUAGAUUGGUAAUUGUUGCAAUGGGAUAAGUGCUUAGAUUUGGGUUCAAUCUUGCAGUAUCCUCACCCAGUGACAUAGUAGGGGAGGCAAGGCACGUAUUGUAUUGUUGCCAUUGAGGAUAAAAAGAUGUUUUUAUCAUAUUGCUUGAGUUUAUCCCUCUACAUCAUGUCAUCUUACUUAAUGCGUUACUCUGUUCUUCAUGAGUCGGUCGGUGUGUGGAGUAAUAGUAGUAGAUGCAGAAUCUUUUCGGUCUACUUGACACGGACGUGAUGCCUAUAUGCAUAAUCGUUGCCUUAGAUAUCUUCAUAAUUAUUUUCUUUUCUAUCAAUUGGUCGACAAUAAUUUGUUCACCCACCGCAUUAUUUUCCUUUAUGAGAGAAGCCUCUAGUGAAACCUAUGGAUCCCAGGUCUAUCUUCCAUAUUAUAUUUUAAGAUCUAUAAACCAAAAAUACCAGAAAUAUCUUGCUGCAAUUUAUUUACUUUUGUUUCCGCAAUCUUUUAUACCUAUCUCUAUCAGGUCUCAUCCUUGGAAAUAACUAUGAAGGGAAUGACAACCACUUUUAGCGUUGGGUUCAAGAGUUUGAUUAUUUGUGUAGGUACUACGAUUGGGGCCUUGCUUGUUCCUGCUACUGGAUUGAUACCUUGGUUCUCAACAAACUGAGGGAAAUACUUAUCUACUUCGAUGCAUCACCCUUUCCUCUUUAAGGGAAAACCAACUCAAGAUCAAGAGGUAGCAAGAAUGAUUUCUCGCGCCGUUGUCGGGGAGGAUACAUAGCAAGAUCAAGCCUACCAAGUACCCAUCACAAACUCAUCCAUUGAAUUUACAUUAUUUGCCUCUCGCUUUCCUCUCCCCCAUAGCAACACGAACAUCCUCGAAAUUCCAAUAGGCAAAGCCCUCGAUUUAUUAGCCAUUUGCAAAGAUAUCUUAGUGGGUGUAAGCUUAUUCAAAUCUAGUCUUUUAUAAAGAGAGAAAGGCAUCACAGUAACACCGGCUCCUCAAUCACAUAAAGCGGUUUUAACAUAGUUUCUUUUAAUAGAGCAAGGUAUAGUGGGUUUUCCACGAUCUCCCAACUUCUUAGACACUCCGCCAUCAAAAUAAUAAUUAGCAAGCAUAGUACCAAUAUUACAUUCAGGUAUUUUUCUUUUGUUGCUAAUAAUAUCCUUCAUAUACUUAGCACACAGAGGCAUUUUCAAUAUAUCACUCAAGCGAGUGCGCAGAAAAAUAGGUCUAAUCAUUUCAGAAAAGCGCUCAAAUUCUUCCUCGUACUUAUGUUUAGAAGGCUUAUGAGGGACGGGCACGGGUUUCUCAACCUAUGGCUCUCUUUAGUUUCCAUGCUUUCUAGCAACAAAGUCUCUUUUAUCAUAACGUUUAUUCUUAGUGUGUGGGCUAUCAAGAGGUUCUAUUUCCACAUCAUUAUUAGGUUCCUUAUCUCUAUGUGGUGUAUCUUCUACAUGAACAUCAUUAUUAUCAUUAUCAUUAUUGCUAAGUUCUGCUCACUACCACAUUGUGUCUCACCAUUAGAAAUAGAAACAUCAUUAUGAUUCUCAACAAUUUUCUCAAUAUCAGGUUCACUAGGAGCAUGCAAAGACCUAUCUUUUUCCUUUUCUUUUUUCUUCUGAGAAGGACUAGGUAUAUCAUCAUUAAUUCUAUGAGAAUUAUGUUCUAUUCUUUUAGGGUGACCCUCACGACAAAGAUCUUCCUAAGUCAUUCUACCUCCUCUAGUCAUUACUCUAACAACAAGAUCAUUCAUAUUAUUAUUCAUUUCAUCAAGAAAAUUAUUUUGCGACUUAGCGACUUGGUCUAGUUGCGUGUGAAUGAUGGAAGCAUGUUUACCUAGACCUUUCACAUCAUUAGCAAUUCUAAACAUCAAGUCACUUAAGCGGUCUAUCAUCAUGACACUACAUCUCAAUUUAUCUUUGACAUAAUUAUUGAAGUGCUUUUGCUUAACAAUGUAUUAUCAAAUUCAUUCAUGCAUUGACUAGGACUCUUAGUGUAUGGUAUAUCACUUUCAUUAAAGGAACAGAGAGAAUUUACCUCUACUUCCUAUGUCGGGAUAUCACGUCCAUUAAUUUCUUCAAUAAGUGGUAAAUUCUUAACAUCUUCAAUUUUAAUACCUUUUUAUUUCAUGGAUCUUUUUGCUUCUCGAAUAUCUUUAGGGAUGACGAAUAGAACACCUCUCUUCUUUUGAAUAGGUUUGGAGGUGAUUCAGGGAGAGUCCAAUCAUCGGCAUUUUGCAAUAUAUUAUUCAACAAUUCUUCUGCUUGCACAACAAUUCUUUCCCUAAAAACACAACCAACUUAACUAUCUAGGAAGUCCCUAGAAGCAUCGGUUAGCCCAUUAUACAAUAUAUCAAGAAUUUCCUUUUUCUUAACAGGAUGAUCACGCAAAGCUCUUAGUAACUGGAGAAGCCUCCCCCAAGCUUGAGGGAGAUUCUCUUCUUUAAAUUGCAUGAAGGUAAAUAUUUCCUGUAAGGCACCUUGUUUCUUAUGAGCAUGAAAAUAUUUUUCAGAAAAGUGAGAAAGCAUAUCCUCGGGGCUAGACAUACAACCAGGAGAAAGAGAAAGGAACCAUUCCUUGGCCUUGCCUUUCAGCGACAAAGGAAAAAAGCUUAAGGGUAUAAUAGUAGCGUAUCUUUUCAUCAUUAGUAAACACAUCAGCAAUAUCAUUCAGCUUCAUGAGAUGUUCAACAACAUUUUCAUUUUUGUAACCAUAGAAAGGAUCAGACUCAACUAUAGGAAUCACUUCACGGUCUAUAGAGAACUCAUAGUCCUUAUUAGUGAAAAAUAUAGGAGAAGUGGCAAAUUUAGGUUCAUGUUUAAUUUUCUCCAUCAUUUAUUUUUCAUUUAGUUUGCAUAGUAGUUUCUUCAAAUCAUUCCUAUCUUGACAAGCAGGAAAGCCCCUAGCUACUUCCUCAUCCAUAACAUAACCUUUAGGUACAUAAGGCAAUUCAUAUGUAUUAGGAGAGCGAUGUGUAGCAUGUGAUUCAAAAUCUUCAUCAGUUUCAGCACUUUCAAGUUCUCUAGCUUUAGCAAGAUGAGCAUCAAGUAAAUCAUUCAGUGGCAUAGUUUCAUUUUCAUCAAAAAUAGGAGUAGUAUCAUCAUUAAUUUCAUAAGUAGCAUCAUCAAGUUCAUGUGACAUAUCAGGACGAGCAAUAGGUGGUGAUGUUACAAGCUGAUUCAAAAUAGUAGGUGGAUCAAAAGCAGAGCUAGAUGACAGUUCCUUGCCUCCUCUUGUGCGAGAGGGGAUGAUAUUAGUUCGAGUAUCUUUCAGAUUCUUCAUGGUAGCAAUUGGACAUCCUCAAGUUAACACAAUACAUAUAGCUAUGCUCCCUGGCAACAAUGUGAGAGAAAGGUCUUGAUAACCCACAAGUAUAAGGGAUCACGAGAGUCUUCAUGGUUAGUAUUUCACCCUAAUUUAUUGAUUUGACACAAGGGAGCUAAAUAAUAUUUAGAGGCCUUGAAAGUUGAGUUGUCAAUUCAAUCGCACCUGGGAUAUCCCUCUGCAGCAAAAGAGUUAGUAGCACGGCGAAUAAUAGUAGUAGCGGUAAUAGUGAUAGCAACAAUUUUGGUAACAACGGUAACAGUAGCAAUUGAGUAACACGUGUUACAGUAGUAGCAGCAGUAGUAACUUAGCAAGAUUGAGUAUUUGUAAACCAUAAACACAUGGAUCGGCGAUCAAAAUAUGUGGAUGACAUCAAUCAUGUAAUAGUUACAAGCUCGAGCAACACAAAACUAGCUCCAUUUCAUCAAUAUAAUGUAAGCAUGUAUUCCGUAUAUAGUCAUACGUGCUUGCGAUAAGAACUUGCAUGACAUAUUUUGUCCUACCCCCCCCCCCCCCCNNNNNNNNNNNNNNNNNNNNNNNNNNNNNNNNNNNNNNNNNNNNNNNNNNNNNNNNNNNNNNNNNNNNNNNNNNNNNNNNNNNNNNNNNNNNNNNNNNNNNNNNNNNNNNNNNNNUUUUUUUUUUUUUCCCCCCCCCCCCCCCCCCGUGGUAGCGGGGUUAUAUUAGAAACUUAGGGAUAUUAAGGCAUCCUUUUAAUAGAGAAUUGGAACAAAGCAUUAACACAUAGUGAAUACAUGAACUCCUCAAACUGUGGCAAUCACCGGAAAGGAUCCCAAUUAUUGUCACCUUGGGGUAUGCGGAUCAAGACACGUAGUAGGUGAAUACAACUUGAAAGAUAGGAUCAAAAUACUUUUCAUAUUCCGAGAGAACAUAAUAAGUUUAGAUCAUAAAUCAUGGCACUUGGGCCCUAGUGACAAGCAUUAAGCAUAGCAAAGUAAUAGCAACAUCUAUCUCAAAACAUAGAGGAUACUAGGGAUCAACCCCUAUCAAACUUAACUCAAUUACAUGAUCACUCUCAUGCAAAACUCAUCACCAUCCAGGGAGCCUACUAAGGAAUUACUCACACCUGGUGGUGAGCAUCAUGGAGUUGUUAAUGGAGAAGGGUUGAUGAUGACGACGAUGAUGAAUCCCCCUCUCCGGAGCCCCAAACGGACUCCAGAUCAUCCCUCUCAAGGAAGAAUAGGAGGUGGCAGCGGCUCCAUCUCGAAAAACGUGAUGAAAUCUUCUCUCUAUUUUUUUCUCCGAGAAUAGGAAUUUAUUGGACCGGAAUUAGGGUUGGAGGAGUCAUGUGGGCCCCCAAGGCAUCAGGGCGCGGCCACGUGUUUCCUUGGAGCCCACGCGCAGUCCCCGUGUGGUGGUUCUUCUCUCCAAAAUCCUGAUUUAUUCCAGAAAUAAUUCACAAAAAGUUUCGUCCAAUUCUGAGAACUUUAAUUUCUGCACAAAAGUAACGCCAAGGUAGUUGUGCUGAAAACAAUGUAAGUUCGGGUUAGUUCCAUUCAAAUCAUGCAAAUUAGAGUCCAAAACCAUAGCAAAAGCGUUUGGAAAAGUAGAUACGUUGGAGACAUAUCACAUAGCUUCUCUCCAAGGAAGUGAACACCAGUAUACAUUCUCGUUUCUCGGAGUUGUGGUCAUCCCUAACCCUAACUCCCUACUUGUGGUUACUUGUGUUUUGUGUACUUAAUUGUAUUACAUUAAGCUUGCCUGUCUAAUUAAUUGUUGUUUUGUUAGUCUGCUUAGCACCGUUAGCAUCUUAGCAAUUUUUAGGCUCAUUUUCAUAUUCUGCAAUAUUGCCUAAAAUUGCUAAGUAACAAUUAAAAUUUGCAAUUGUACCUAUUCACCCCCCCCCCCUCUAGGUCCAUCUCAAUCCUUGCACCAACCCCUCUCCAAACAUCUAUGUUGUAAGGAGCCUAGUGCUCAGAUAUCAUAUUUUAGAGCUCUAAGAAUCGUCCAUGAGCUUGUUCACACAUGGGAGUGUGAAGUAACAAAGCAUGAUCUUAAGUGGAGAGCCAUUAAGUUUCUCAUAGCUUGUCAUUUUUAACAAAAGACCGGAACUCUAGGAAAAUUUUUGUCAGCGGCUCAACUAGCCAGUUCUCUUGCCAAAAAAUUAUGGAGAACCUUUCUCAUACUUCUUGUAUGGUCAAGAGAUGUUUGGUGUUGCUCGUCAUUUUUUCCCUUCACCUAGGCAUAGUUUUGGUCUUGCAUGACUUUGCUUUUGCUAGCAUGAUCGUUCGUGCGUGUGUCUUAGUAUUGUUGUGUCCAUCCUAAUUAUGCGGAGGUCAGACGUGUUCUCAUUUUGUUGGUAUCCACCUCAUGCUUCAUCAUGAGUUAAUAAAAAAUAUCAUAUAAAAACGUAUGUUUCUUUUUCUAAAAACAACAAUCCUCGUCUUCAAUUUUUGUUAGAGGAACCAUUACACAAAGAGCUCUAUACAAAGCAGAAACAAAAUAAGCAGUCUUAACAUGUACUUAUUACUUUCUAUAAGAAAAGACAUAAGCUCAUUACGCGUAGCAACCACAAUCCGUGAUUCUCAAAGCACAACUAUCACCAACUUGUGAUUGGAUGGUUAGGAGGACACUGGUAUCCCUAGUCUAAUAGGGUUCAAGUUCUAGACUUGACACCAGUGCUUGCCUUUUUCUAGAUUUAUGUCAGUCCUUCCCGCAAUGUGAGUUCACUUGGAGGAGCGUUCUCGUCGAUUACAAUGGUGUAUGUAGGGACUUCGAUUAUCUCAAAAUCAUGUGUUGCAUGUGGCUCUCUGAGGUACUUAUAGGGUAGAUUGUGUGUGCAGCGUUCAUAGGAACGAGUGUAUGUAUGAGCGUCUACAUCUUGUACCGUGUUAAAAUAAACUAUAACCAGUUGCUAAUGCUAAAAUCCUUCAUUUUAUAUACUACCUACCAUUGGCACCUAGCCAUGACUCUCCGCAUACACCUCCCUCCAAGUGGCGUACCAAAAUGUUUUAAAGCCCAGAAACAGUAAAAGUCUAAGUUCUCAAGAUGCUAAUUUUUGUUCAGAGCACCGUGAAAACAAUCAAAGUAAGGCAAGGUUCCACCGGCAAGUCUAGGCAACUUCCCAAACUAGCGGGGCACAAAAUUUGUCCAAGCAUGGCAUCCCAAAUCGUCAUCUUUAUCAUUAGCACUCCUUGUUCAUGGCUUCCUUGACUUUGUUACACAAAACAUUCCACGUGUAAAAGGGUGAUGCAAAAUGAAGAUCACAUCAACAUGACCACUCAUAUUUAAAAUCCAAGACCAGAGGGGCAAGCACCCCUCUCAUAUUUUAAUAGAAGAACAAGAAACAUGGUUGCAAUAUGAUCACUCGUAUUACGUUGUUCGAAGAAAGCCGUUUUCCUAAUCUUCUAAACCGUCCAACAAACAAAUGCUCCACCACAAAAGACUAGUUCGCCUCGGGUGAUGGAAAAGCUGUCAGUCCCAUCUAAAGAUAUCAUCAAGUAUGUCACGAGGUGAACUUAGACCAAAAGCACGAAAGAUUCACCUGCCAAACUAGCUUAUCUAGUGCAUAAUCAAAUAUAAAAUUAUCCUUUCCAAUAAAACAUUUCUUCAAAAGAUUAUCCUCAGUAAGAUACCUUAAGCAUCGACUAGAGGACUAUCGCUAUCCCUCAUAUACCACAUAAGACCUGUAACCAACCAUAUCAAGUAAAGCUGCCAAUAUAGAUCUCUCAUAUUAAACUUGUUCUAAUCCAAUUCUCAAUCUCACCUUGUUCUCAAUCCACAUGAGUGUACACCGGAUGUUCGAUUAUCCUUCAUGACACGGCAAUCACCAAUGAGGCCGAUAACCCUAUCCCGCUAGUUGUUCCUCUCCAAUUGCCCAAUGAGAGUAUGGCCCUGGAGCAUUGGGCCCAUUAUCAUGACAAAGUCCUCAAGGGUGACUACCGUCACACCACAUGGGAGAUGGAAAGUGUGCAUCUCUGGCCACCAACGGUCCACCAAGGUUGUGAGAGCUGAGUGGACAAGCGUCGGCGUCACACGCUUGAACUUAAGCACAAAAGGAAGCAGCCCGGCUCCCCUGAAGUACUGCUCGUAGCGGCGGUCAUAUGUCAUCUGAACGACCCUAGUGUGACUCCUCAUACACAACGAUGGUAGCAUAUGCCAAAAUGUAGAUGAAAUGGUUAGUAGCUUACUUUCGCAAAGCCAAAAUUUUGGUGCAAGAACUUGUUCAUAGUUAGUACAACUCCAUUUUUGAUCAAAUGGGCGCGAUGACCGGUGUCGAAUGCAGGGUUAAACAUGGUGUACUUAGUGCCGAUCAAGUGGGGGGCCUCCUAGAACAAUUGCAAAUUCAAGUUAAUUUUUUGACAACAACAUUUAUUUAUCAACAUAUAAUGAACAACAUUCAUUCAAUGACAUUCAAAUAUGCAUAUAUGCAUGUGAAUUAUUUAUCAACAUUCAUAUUCAACCAACAUCUAUCAUAUUUAUCCAUCAUAUCAAAGAUUCUAAAUAAAUAUAUUAUAUAUAUAAUCAAUCAUGUUCAACCAACAUAAAUCAUAUAAUAUUCAACUUUUGUAAACAAAUAAACAAUAUAGAUAUAAUCAACAAUAUUGGAAUAUGCAUAUGAUUAUAUGAAUAAUUUACCAAAAUCCAUCAUAUUCAACCAUUCUACGAUAUGCAUAUGAGUCAUUUACCAACAUCCAUCAUAUUUAUCCAACAUCAAUCAUAUUCAACCACAUCAAUCAUAUUAAUCACACAGGAUGAACCAUUCAAAAUAAAAUUCUAGAACUAGGGUUCAUCUUAAAAUAGACAGAAUCGAUAAAGUAGUUUUAUACUACAAUAUGAACUACGGUUCAUCUUCAAGGCAACCAUCAUAUUGAAUCAAGCUAAAUAAAUUAAUUAAAUCAACAAAAAUCAAGACUACUAGAUAAACUAGGGUUCACCUUAUGCCAAAUAAUGCAUCAAAACGAUUUUUUUACUAAAACUACUUGGAGGGAUGAAAGAGAUUACUUAUCCCGCCGUGGAGCCAUCUCGAUCCGCAAAAAUGUUGAAGAAAUAGAGGAGAUUGAAGGGGGUGGAGGGGAUGAGAGAGGCGCACCUCACUGUUCUUCUCGGGCGAUAGAAGGAAGAUGGGGGCUUGCUGCGUGGGUGGGUCCCUCCAGCCGCCCCCUACGGCUUAUAAUUCUUAUGCAUCUACCGCCAUGGACUCUGAUGGGGUCAUAGUCCUAGGGUAGGGUCAUAGGCCUGCCCUGUAGGUCCUACCCAGGGACUACCCCUCACAAAGGACAAGGCCCUUAGUCAGUCCCGACUGAAUUAAGGAGUCUCCAUCAUCUAGUCGGUAACAGGUCCUCAACCAUCCAGUCGGAGACUAGCAUUCGGAGGAUACCAAGCUAACCGACUGGCUACACUCGGUACAUCGUAACCUCUCUGUAGGGAAACAGCCGUACGUUUCCGGGUGCAUUUGUUGGCAUUUAGAGCAUACGUUACCUGUAACGUACGCAUUCAAUCCCCACUACUCCACCCCUAUACCGGAACCGUUGUGGAGGGCAGCGCACUCUAUAUAAGCCGCCCCCCCCCCCCCACUGGUAGAGGGGUUAGCAAAUCAUUGUAUUCCAUAUUCCACUCGACAACAAGCUCCGAGAGCACUGAGACGUAGGGCUAUUACCUCCACCGCAGAGGGGCCCAAACUCAUACAUCCUCGCCGUAGCUGGGACUCUGCCCAUCUCAUUCGUACCCUACACAUCUACUGUCAGGCUUAUACCCACGACAGUUGGCGCCCACCGUGGGGCACAUGUCUAAGCGACUUCCGGCGAGUUUGCGACUACUUCCUUUCGUCAUGUCGUCCGGUGGAGAUUCGAGAAUGGGUCACCAGAUCUUCUUCGGCGCUCUCUCCUUCAUCGCCGACGAUUCGGCAUGGCUUCGGGAUGCGCCCCUCGACGUCGAGGCGCUUCCCCGUCGCGGGGCUACACACUUCUGUGCUGGCGCCCGUGGCAUUCUUCUUCUCCAGCAGUCGGCUCUGGUGUCAACCUACACCGCCGUCACGCGCCGCGUCAAGCGGUCCCGCCGUCCGCGGCUCCAGCGUUGAGUGCAACACGCCCAGGCGCGCCAGAACGCAUCUUCACAAGUGGCGGUUCUUGAGUCCGUUGUGGUUGCCCCGCCGUCCCAGCACUCGGACUCGGUUCCGACUGAGUUUCCUUCCGAGUAUGCGGGUCGCGGGCCCGCAGCAGAAGUACACAUGGCCAACUCCCAUGAAGAUCCCCGUCAAGCUGGCCGAAGCGAGCCCGAGGUCGGUGAAGCAUCCGAUGCGCGUCGUCCACCUCGCCGUUCUGCUAGUCGGCACACUCGGCGGAGCAACGUGGAGCUGUUCCGCACACCCCUCCUCAAUUUAGCUGCAGCUGCGAAGAUAGCCGAUUCCCUCCAGCCGACUGAUUCAGAGGCAGGAAGGGGGAUCGAGCAGAUCCGAGCCCUGUUGCACACGGCGCAGCAGCAGAAUUCGGCGGUCUCCCAGUCACACAACCGGAUCUAUAAUAGUUCCGUCCACGCGAAUACGCAUCGGUUGGUUCACAGCCCAGGUUCCCAUCAGCGGCACAGGGAACGUAGUCGUUCCAUGAUUCAUGAAGAUCGCCGCCGUUCACGCACCCCUCCGCGGGGUGGGCCCUACGGGCCCCGACAUCAUGAUGAUCGGCGUUCAUUCGGUGACACUUACGACCCAAGGCCCGACGCAAGAGGGCAUAUCGCCCAGCGGAGGGUCGACAGGGGUCGGGCCCACCGCGAUGGUCGCGAUAUCGACCGUCCGAGUGGAAGCAGGGCCACCGUUUCUGGUCCCGAGUGUUUCAGUCGAGCCAUCCGUUCGGCUAACAUCCCUCCCAACUUCCGAUUGGCGACGGGAAUUAGCAAGUUCACAGGAGAGUCCAAGCCAGAAACGUGGCUGGAUGACUACCGAGUGGCAGUCCAGAUCGGAGGAGGGGACGACCAUGUCGCCAUGAAACACCUCCCUCUGAUGCUCGACGGCUCGGCGCGAGCGUGGCUGAACCAGUUGGCCCCCUCAAGCAUCUACAGUUGGGCAGAUCUGGCCCGAGUGUUCAUCAGGACCUUCGAAGGGACGUGCAAGCGCCCUGCUGGCCUUGUGGAGCUCCAACACUGCGUCCAGAAGCAGAAUGAGCCCCUGCGUGACUUCAUCCAGCGCUGGACAACUCUCUAUCACACGGUGGAGAACGUCACCGAGCAUCAAGCAGUCUACGCCUUCAUGGCAGGCGUGCGGUACAGGGAUCUGUACCUGAAGUUCGGCCGAACAGGCGACAUCUCCAUGAGCAAGAUGAUGGAGAUAGCAACACGCUAUGCAAAUGGUGAAGAAGAGGACCGCAUCCGAAGCGGCAAGCACAAAACAGUCGCUGAUGGCAAUGGGGACAACACUCGAAAGUAGAAGCAGAAAGCUCCGACCGCUCCGCAAGCAGAAGCUGCAGCCGUAACCAAUGCCAAGUUCAAGGGCAAAGGGAAGGCUCAGUUCACCCCCAAGAAGAAGCAGUUCAAUAACCCCAUCCUGGACCAGCCAUGUCCGGUUCAUACGAAGAUGGAUGAAGAAGGCAACCCCAUAUAUGCGAAGCAUACCACUCGACAGUGUCGCCUCCUGAUCCAGGGGUUCAGCGAAGGGCAACCGAGUGAGAAGGACCAUGAACAGGAUGAGGAGGAUAAGGAGGAUCCGUUCCCCCAAGUCCAUGCAACCCUGAUGAUCUUUGCUGAUGUCGAGAGCAAGAGCCGACUGAAGCUGGUGAACAGAGAGGUGAACAUGGCCACCCCUACCAACCCCAAGUUCCUCAAAUGGUCUCAGACUGCGAUCACCUUCGACCAGUCGGAUCAUCCGGCACAUGUACCCACCCCGGGGAGACAGGCCCUGGUCGUCGACCCGGUGGUAGGAGUCCGGCUGCGCAAAGUCCUCAUGGAUGGCGACAGCGGCUUGAACAUCAUGUACGCCGACACCCUCAAGGGGAUGGGCAUCCUGAUGUCCAAACUCAGCGAGAGCAGCAUGCAGUUCCACGGAGUCGUCCCUGGACGGAAGGCCAAAUCACUCGGCCAGAUCGCGUUGGACGUCGUUUUCGGCUCCGACAAGAACUUCCGCAAGGAAAAGCUGACGUUCGAAGUGGUUGACUUCCAGAGCGCUUAUCACGCAAUUCUGGGUCGCCCAGCGUAUGCGCACUUCAUGGCCCGUCCAUGUUACGUAUACCUGAAGCUGAAGAUGCCAGGCCCGAAGGGUGUGAUCACCAUCACACGCAAUCGGCAGCGGGCUGAAGAGUGUCUACAGCAGGGAUCAAGAACCUCUACUGACUGACUUGGCAGAAACAUUCGCCAACCUUCGUAGGUACAAUAUCAAGCUCAACCCCGCCAAAUGUUCAUUCGGCGUUCCCAGCGGAAAAUUACUCGGUUUCUUCGUUUCUGAACGAGGGAUCGAUGUCAACCCCGAAAAGAUCGGGACCAUCGUCUGAAUGGAGAGGCCGGUCAGAAUACACGAUGUUCAACGGCUCACAGGUUGCCUAGCGGCUUUGAGCAGGUUCAUCAGUCGACUCGGCGAAAAAGCACUUCCUCUGUACCGACUCAUGAAGAGAUCAGAUACUUUCGAGUGGACAGAUGAAGCCCAAGUCCCAUUCGACGACCUCAAAGUCCUACUUUCCACCCAGCCGGUUCUUACUGCUCCGCUCAGUAAAGAGCCCCUUCUUCUGUAUAUCGCGGCUACAAAUCAAGUCAUCGGUACUGUUCUUACAGUCGAACGAGAAGAAGAAGGCAAAGCAUACAAAGUUUAGCGGCCAGUGUACUACAUCUCCGAAGUCCUGACACCUUCCAAGCAGAGGUAUCCCCACUAUCAAAAACUUAUCUACGGGAUUUACAUGACUGCGAAGAAGGUGGCCCAUUAUUUCCAAGAGCACUCGGUGUCUGUUGUUUCUGAUGCACCAUUGUCGGAAAUUCUCCACAAUCGAGAUGCGUCAGGCCGAGUGGCGAAGUGGGCGAUGGAGAUGUUGUACUGCGAUAUCAAGUUCGAGGCCAAGAAAGCUAUUAAGUCUCAAGCUCUGGCUGACUUCAUAGCAGAAUGGGUAGAACAACAGCAACCGACCCACAUCUGCUCGGCCCAUUGGACAAUGUUCUUCGAUGGGUCCAAGAUGUUGAAUGGCUCCGGCGCUGGCGUUGUGAUCAUAUCACCAAAGGGCGACAAGCUCAAGUACGUGCUACAGAUACACUUCGAUUCCUCCAACAACGAGGCAGAGUAUGAAGCUCUCCUCUACGGGUUGCGUAUGGUCAUCUCACUCGGCGUCCGUCGCCUGAUGGUCUACGGCGAUUCGAAUUUGGUGGUCAAUCAAGUGAUGAAAGAGUGGGACGUUAGAAACCCCACCAUGACUACAUACUGCAAUGCAGUGAGGAAGCUUGAGAAGAAGUUUGAAGGUCUAGAACUUCACCAUGUUCCAAGACUGAAGAACCAAGCAGCUGAUGAGUUAGCAAAACUCGGAUCCACUCGGAGACCAGUCCCGAGUGACGUCUGCCUCAAGCACCUCCACCUCCCCUCAGUCAAAGAAGAUCCUUUCACAGAGGAGCCGGUACAACCAAAGAAUUCUACAGAUCCGACUGAAGUCGAUGUUCCUGCUGUGGUUGAUUUGGUCAUGGAGAUUCUUGCCGUCAUACCCGAUUGGACUGUGCCGAUCAUUGCAUAUAUUCUGAGGCACGAACUACCAGAAGACGAAGUCCAGGCCAGGCAGAUAGUCCGCAGGUCGAAGUCAUUCACUGUCAUUGAUGGCCAAUUGUACAAAGAAAGUAUCUCAGGCGUUCUUCAACGAUGCAUCUCCCCAGAGGAGGGGCCGCUGAUUCUGGAGGAUAUUCACUCGGGGACCUGCGGUCAUCAUGCUUCUUCGAGAGCAAUCGUCGCCAAGGCAUUCAGGGCUGGUUUCUUCUGGCUGCAGGCUAACAAGAUGGCUAAAGAUAUGGUUGACCGAUGUGAGGGCUGCCAGUUCUACUCCAACAAGUCCCACAAGCCGAUGUCUACGUUGAAGACGAUCCCUCUUGUGUGGCCGUUUGUAGUGUGGGGAUUAGAUACACUCGGCCCAUUCAAGACAGGCCAAGGUGGAUACACACAUCUGCUGGUGGCAGUCGACAAGUUCACGAAAUGGAUCGAAGCAAAGCCCAUCAAGAAGCUCGACGCCUCAACAGCCGUCAAGUUUGUCAGGGACAUCAUAUUCAGGUUCGGUGUACCUCACAGCAUAAUCACGGACAAUGGGACAAACUUUGACUCGGACAGAUUCAAAGGUUUCUGUACAAGCCAAGGCAUCCGAGUGGAUUUUGCUUCCGUAGCGCAUCCUCAGUCCAAUGGACAAGCAGAGCGGGCAAAGGGACUUAUUUUGCAAGGUUUGAAGCCCCGACUCCUGCGAGAGAUAGGACAUGCCGCUGGCGCUUGGGUUACCGAGCUACCUUCAGUGCUUUGGGGACUUCGCACAACCCCGAACAGAUCUACAGGGCUAUCACCAUUCUUCCUCGUUUAUGGAGCAGAAGCGGUUCUUCCGAGUGACUUGCUCACAAUGCGCCACGAGUCGAACUCUUCUCCGAAGCCGAAGCAGAACAAGCAAGGCAAGACGGAGUGGAUCUUCUGGAGGAGGAGCGCGAGAUGGCACUAGCUCGCUCGACCAUUUAUCAACAAAAUUUGCGGCGUUUUCACGCACGCCACGUCAGAAGUCGCACGUUCCAAGCAGGCGACCUGGUGCUCCGAGUGGAUCAGCAAAGACCUCACAAGUUGGCUCCGGCCUAGGAAGGACCCUUCAUCAUCUCCAAGGUGCUGAACAACGGAGCAUACAGACUCUACAACAUCGAGAGGGAGACAGACGAGCCGCGUGCAUGGAACGGAGAUCUCUUGAAGCGCUUCUACACAUGACCGUCGACUAAAGCAAUGUAAAGAACAAGUAUUGGUGAAAUAAUACAAAUCAGAUUGAGUUUUUUGCAGGUUCAAAGUUCUUCCGCGGUCGCAGACUCCGGUCUCAAAAAAAAAAGCUUAGCUGCGAUCCAGAAUCGUCUAAGUAUUAACCUUCUCCGAGUAUGCGCUACACGUCACACNNNNNNNNNNNNNNNNNNNNNNNNNNNNNNNNNNNNNNNNNNNNNNNNNNNNNNNNNNNNNNNNNNNNNNNNNNNNNNNNNNNNNNNNNNNNNNNNNNNNNNNNNNNNNNNNNNNNNNNNNNNNNNNNNNNNNNNNNNNNNNNNNNNNNNNNNNNNNNNNNNNNNNNNNNNNNNNNNNNNNNNNNNNNNNNNNNNNNNNNNNNNNNNNNNNNNNNNNNNNNNNNNNNNNNNNNNNNNNNNNNNNNNNNNNNNNNNNNNNNNNNNNGUCACACUCGGGGGCUUGGUUCCGAUCCAGAAUCGCCUAAGUAUUAACCUUCUCCGAGUGUGCACUUCAUGUCACACUCGGAAGCUUAGCUGCGAUCAAGAAUCGCCUAAGUAUUAAACUUCUCUGAGUGUACUCUUAACGUCACACUCGGGGACUUAGGGAAUUCCACGGACCCUCAAUGAGGCUCACACAGAUGUCAAAACAACUGACAUGUUCCGAAUGUUUGCCUUUGGCUUCACCAAGAAACGCCAAACAAAAACUCGAAUCAACAUUGCAACAGAAGAGCAAAAAUUCGAUUCAAAGCUCUAGCAAAGAUAGUUCACUCGGUGCGGAUCAAGCUUACCCGCACCGAUCUAAGAAUGUGACGGCCAACAGCAGUGGCCACAGUACCUUACAGAUAAACACUCGGCAUACCGAGGAUAAAGUUUUCUUAUGCGUCAGCUGGGUCGGCGCCAGGACUGGAGGGCUCCACGAAGGUGUCCAAGUCGAUUCCGUCGGCGAUGCGGGUAGCACCCUCAAGGAACGUCUCCAUGAAGUCUUCGAAUCAAAGUUUCUUCGUGUUGGCGACCUUUAGUGUCUUCAGCUUCUCCUCACGCACCUCCUUGCAAUGGACUCGGACCAAGGGCAGAGCAACAUCUGCACCGCAACGAGCUGCAGAUUUCUUCCACGACUGCACUCGGUUGGGAAUCUCCUCCAGUCGGGUCAUCAGGUUCUCCAUCUCCUGCCGCGACUCAUCUUUUGGCCAAAGCUCCUUGUCGAUUCGGCCGACGACUUCUCUCAGUCGACCGAUGAAAGGACCCACUUUGCCUACGCGGAUAUGCGCCCGGAGCAGAUCCCGAUUGGCGUCCUCGCCGAGUGGCACGUUGUCGCGAAUGGACCGCUCCACGUCCGCUGCUUCAGCUUCAGCAUCAACGCAAAAAUCUGCAACAAAAGGGCAAGCAUACAAUAAACGCCGAGUGUCACGCACACAGUACAAGCACUCGGCAAAACAUAAGACUUACCAGCCAGACGCGUCAUCAUCUGCCCAGCCCAGUCGGUGACAUAAUUCUCCUGAGAUGUGCAUCAUUUAUUCAGGACGACCAUCUGAUUCGUGAGAGUAGUCCUCUGUUUCUUCAUUUUUUCCACUUCCUCAGUCAACACCUUGUUCGCUUCACGCGCCUCCUCCAAGGACUUCUAUCGUCCCUCCAGAGCAUCCUUCAUGCCGGCCAUUGGGACCAUAGCCGCAUCAAGCUCACCAGCGAACUGGUUCCUCUCCGCUUUGAGAGCCUCAUAGGCCGUCCCCAUUUCACAAGUUUUCUGCCACCAAGCACCAAGGGACAAUCAGAAAGUUCAACAGUUAAAGGUCUAAGUUCUUCAGACCCCUGCCGACGCAAGCAGUCGACAGCGGUCUCGGGGACUACACCCAGUGGGUUCACUGAGAGUGACCCCACUGGCAUGCAUCUCAAGCAGGCCUGCCCUAUUGAGAUGCAUGUUAUCACCUACGCCUACGAGGCAAAUACUACCCGACCUGAGUGCAACUUACUCUCGGAGAUUCUUAGAGUAAGUGCACUCCGAGUGCCACAACUGCUAGCAGUUGGUCAUAUUAUUUACACACACGACCAAAGCACAGACAAUAUGUAUAAAGACAACUGUCGGUGCAAGCACUCGACAGAAGUCUCGGGGACUACACCCACUGGGUUCACUCAGAGUGAACCCAUUGCAAACGACAGCUGCUAUUCAAGAACACCGAGUGGGUUACAGGAGAAAAGUAAAUACUUACUAGACCACUUACUCGGAUAUCAUCCGGCAGCUCCAAGCUCCGCUGGUACAAGGCCGCAACGGAGUCGUAGGCCCUCUUGGCUUCUCCAGCCAUCAGCUCCGCCUGCACCAUAGCCCCCUUGGCCGCUCCCACCUGCUCCUCCGGAAGACGCUGGAUGCUGAAUUCAGCAUUCGACGAGCCUGGAAUCGUCGGAGGUUCCUGAGGCAUCCCAAGGCCCGCCCCAGUCGGCUCCUCAUCCACCAGCACUGGUUCAGUCUGUGGCAGCGCCUCAGUCGGCAGCACGUCGGCGGCGAGAGCGGCAGCAGGAGGGGCAGCCUCAAGAACAGGCUCCACAGCUGGGUCGGCUCUCCCCUGGUCGCCCUCGUCCAGGCAAAUCGCCCCUGACAGGCCGAACGACACGAGGUCUCGGAAAAAGAAAGAGGCAGAACCUAUGAUAGAAUAAAACACUCGGAGUCACUACAACGCACCUGGUUGGGACGAGACGACGUUGUCCGUGUCCAUGGGGUCAUCUUCUUGGUGCGCCGGAGAGGUGGCAGAAGUAGCGACUCUGUCGAGUGAAAUCCAUUCGACCAAUGCACAAGAAUUCACUCGGAUAUCAGAAGAAAUUAGAAGAUCGAUACACUUACGUGGAGGUGAUGGGGACAGCAACCCUCAUCCGCGGCAGAGCCUUCCGAGGUUUGGACCCACUCGGUUUGGCCACCUUGGAAGACUGACCCGCAGGCUCAGCGGCAGCAUCCCUGGCCCUUUUGGUGCUCCGAGCACUCAGGACCACCAGGGUAGUGGGCGGAGCACUCGAAGAUGCUGGAGGGGCCGAGGGAACGGCAGGCUCGUGUCGACGCUUGGUCCGAUGCUCUGUUUGCGGAGGCGGUGAGUCCUGCUCUUCGUCUUCCUCCUCUUCCUCGCUGGUCUCUUCCUCCGACUCCCCACUGUCGGAGACAUAUUCAGCGCUCUCCACACUGCCCUCCUGGCUGCCUUCCUCCUCCUCGGCCGGGUUCCCGUUCGAGACGGGAGAAAACCAGUUGGUCCACUCCUGCAUAAAAUUCAGUCGGCGACAUCAGACGUCACACAGAGAUUCAAGCAAACGACAAGAUUAAGACAGUUAGGAGCACUCGACAAGUGCCACUCACCUAAUUCGGGGGAGGGUUAUCCGCGCAGAAGGGCUUCACUCGCCGAGAUCCUUUGGGAUUCUCGCAGGGGCCUGUGAUCUGGAGCACCCACGAGGUCACCCUCUCCUCAGUCACGCCCAUGACGUUGGUCCGAGUGGAAUCCUCGGGCCCCGUAUAAUGCCACAUGGCGUGGUCGCGAGCCUGCAGGGGCUGGAUAUGCCGACCGAGGAAGACCUCCAUCAAGUCUAUGCCAGUGACCCCCUCCUGACGACAUCUACGAGCGCCCCGACCAGAGGCUGGAUGUCGUUCUUCUCCGCCCUUGUGAGCGCGAGUUGCUUAGGUGGGACGGGCCGAUCUAAACUAAAAGGAGGCAGCCCAGUCGACGCAUUCGGACAGGCGAUAUCCUGGCAGUAGAACCACGUCGACUGCCAGUUCCUGACCGACUCACUUAACUGAAGAGCAGGAUAACUACUCCGACUCUUUUUCUGGAAACCUAAGCCCCCGCAGAGCUGGAGGAGAUGCGUCUUAUCAUCCGACUGGCUAAGUCGUUUGAUGGUUUGGGAUCUGGCGGAAAAGAUGUGUUUGAACAAACCCCAAUGGGGAGGGCAGCCGAUGAAACACUCGAACAAAACUAUAAAGGCAGAAAGAUGGGCGAUGGCAUUCGGAGGAAAAUGGUGAAGUUGGGCCCCGAAGUGAUUCAUGAUGCCCUUGAAGAAAGGAUGCGGGGGCAAAGAAAAACCUCGAUAGACGUGGCUGAGAAGCAAGACGCGCUCCCCCUCCCGAGGCGCCGGCUCGACCUCGUUCUCCACCGACAGCCUCCAGGACUUAUGCACGAUCAUUCCGUGCUCCACCAGCUGCAGCAGAUCCCCCUCCAUCACCGUGGAGGGGAGGAAGUCGCCCUGAAUCCACCCCGCCGGCAGCGGCCGCUGCCUCCGCUGAGCAGGCGCCGCCGCCUUGCCCUUCUUCUUCCUCGCCUCCAUCUUGUUGGUCUGACCCUUGGUCAUGGAGGCGACGGCGAACCCUCGGAAGGAAGGAGAAGGAAGGAGUGUAGGAGCGCUGGAGGCGGCGAGGAAGACGGAGCAGGCGAGAGCGAAAGAUUCGGCGAGCGUAACGAAGAAGCCUCGCUGCCGAGAUUUAAAUAGGGUUCCGACUGGGUCACUGGUGGGUGGCCCCGAAACCUUAUCCGCCCGACCGGCCGCGGCGAUAUCAGUGGAGGAGUUGAAGGCGCGAGAAUCGAGGCGUCAGGCGCUACUCGAGCGCGUCGGCGUCUUCCCCGUUGGACGCGCGGAAACCGAAAUUUGAAGAUCCCGGAAAAUCCGCCGCUGUGAGUUGACCGGUCGCGUCAAAAGAUGUCGCAGAAGCACUCGGCUUCCGAUAGUCUGUUUCGCGAGUACUUCCACUCGGAUCGUUGGUCAGAAAAGAUAAAAUGGAUCGAGGCAGGCAACGCCCAAGCCAAAUCUGUUCCAGUCGGAUCCAAACUUCAAGCACCGCUUCGUCGUUUCAACCCCAAUCCAUUCGGGGACUAAUGAUGGGGUCAUAGUCCUAGGGUAGGGUCAUAGGCCUGCCCUGUAGGUCCUACCCAAGGACUACCCCUCACAAAGGACAAGGCCCUUAGUCAGUCCCGACUGAAUUAAGGAGUCUCCAUCAUCCAGUCGGUAACAUGUCCUCAACCAUCCAGUCGGAGACUAGCAUUCGAAGGAUACCAAGCUAACCGACUGGCUACACUCGGUACAUCGUAACCUCUCUGUAGGGAAACGGCCGUACGUUUCCAGGUGCAUUUAUUGGCAUUUAGAGCAUACGUUAUCUGUAACAUACGCAUUCAAUCCCCACUACUCCACCCCUGUACCGAAACCGUUGUGGAGGGCAGCGCACUCUAUAUAAGCCUCCCCCCCCACUGGUAGAGGGGUUAGCAAAUCAUUGUAUUCCAUAUUCCACUCGACAACAAGCUCCGAGAGCACUGAGACGUAGGGCUAUUACCUCCACCGCAGAGGGGCCCGAACUAAUACAUGCUCGCCGUAGCUGGGACUCUGCCCAUCUCAUUCGUACCCUACACAUCUACUGUCAGGCUUAUACCCACGACAGACUCCAACGGUACGUAUAACAACUUACCUCCAAUGGCCUUGACGGUAGGGUCGGCGGCGGGCCUUGACGAUAGGGUCGACGGCGGAGGCUGAAGGCCGUUAGGUUGUGCUGAUGUGGAUAAGUGGUCUAUCGUCAGAGGCUAGGCGAUAGGUUGUUAUAUCCUACCGUCAUCUACCUGGUGAUAGGAGAAGGGCCGAGAUACCUACAUUUUUACAAACCAGGGCCACAUCGUGCUGAAUUUGUCCUCUGUAGGAUAGGGUGUGCGUGAGCACGUUUUGCGAGGGUAUGUAUGUGUUUAGAAAAAAUAAUUAAUUUUUAAUCUAGGCAACAAAUUUCCCUCUCGUGCACAAAAAUUAGUGGUCCGGCCGUGAAGAUGCGCGUUGAAUAGUUCCACAGUCAAAAAGGCCUCGUUGAAUAAGCCUGCCUUUUAACCAGACGGCGAAGCGUGGAAGAAAAAUAAUUAGCUGGGACGGCGACACGGCGGCUGCUGACAUUUCUUCCCCUGGAAAGGCCAAGAGAAGAAGGCAACCGAAGCUUCGGGCAGCCCGUGCGCCUCACACGAUGUCACAACGAGAUGGGAUGACGCUGGCUGGCAGGGGCCGGAGGUAGCUCGGAGUUGGCAGCCCCCCAGUUCGGCGACAGCGACGCGCCCACGAACCAGCCAAACUUUGAUUUCUUUUCUCCUUUCCUCCAUUCCGCUGGCCGAACAAUCAACCAACACAUCGAUCAGCUGACGAAAUCGAUCCACGGCUUCGCGGCAGCUGACGACGAUCCAGACAAUCCUAUCAAUCGGCUACUAGCUGACACGGAGCAGGAGCUGGCCAAGUCGCAGGCGCCUCCUCCUCUCCCCCCAUGACCAAGAAAUUUCUCCGGUGCAAAUCCAUGGAUUCUGACAUGCCAUUGCCAAUGGAGUUGGACCAAGGGAGGAAAUAGCUGCGAUAUGUUCUUGGCAUGGAUUCAUGGAUCGACAAAACGGAGAAGAAGGCCGACUGCCAUAUGUUCUUGGCAUCUUUCUUGUAAAUUAAUUAAUAGAUAUAAGAAACAAAUAAUCACAAAAGGGUAUGAAGCAACAUGUUGUGUAACCACAUGUUCUUGCUCGCCGUCAAUGGGAUCUUACCACAAGAAGAGCAAGAGGAAGAGGAGGAAGAAGAAGAAGAAAUCAAGAAUCAAGUCAAGCAAAACGAGGCAGGCACGGAGCAGAGCAGAGCAGAUAGAUAUACACGGACCUAUAUCUACCGAAUCAGGGACGGGCGUGGUCGAGCAGGGCAGGCUCAGGCCGCCGGCGGCAGCCGGCUGAGCGCGUCCCGGAGCGUGGCCCUGAACUUGUCCAGAUCCAGCCGGACGUUCUGCUUGUCCAGGUACGCCGCCUUGAGCGCGUCCCACCCCUGCUUGUGCACGGCGUAGGGGUCGGUGAGCACCUGGUGGUUCCGCGGGUACUGCUCCAGCAGCGAGCUCUCCUCCAGCUGCACGUUGUAGUCCAUGUACGUCACCUCCAUGUCCGCCGCCGGGUUCUUGAAGGUCACGCCGGUGAGCCACUCCAGCCCUCCGAACGGCACCACCUGGAUCAGCACGGCCCCCGCGGGGAGGAACACCAUGUUGGUCAGCCCCGCGCCGUGCACGCCCACCAUCACGUCCGCGGAGUUCACCAGCCGCGCGAAGGUGGACAUGUCGGUGUGCUGGUCGGGCUCCGCGAUGCGCACGUCGAAGCCCAUGGCGGUGGCGGCGGCCGCCAUCUCCCGCUCGUUGAGGAACCGGCGCGAGUUCUUGCGGGAGAUGAUGAGGAGCCGGGGCUUACCGGCGCCCGUGGCGCCGCCGCGGGACGCGGCCGCGCGCUCCAGCCCGAAGGCGUCGCGGAGGGUGCGCUUGAAGUCGACGAUGGAGACGUGGCCGGCGGCCUUGGACGGGAUGAUGCCCAUGUCCUUGUGGAAGUCGGAGCCGACGACGAUGCGGGGCACGCAGUGCACCUCCAGGUCGUUGUUGACGUCGACGACUUCGUAGUUGCUGAGCUGCCGGAACAGCGGCCGGAACUUGGCCACCCACCACGGCUUGAGGUCGCUGAGCAGGAACUGCACCUCGCCCUUGAACUUGCGGGUGCUGAGGAAGAGCGGCACCAGCACGUCCGUGUAGUCGUGGUACAGGUUGCCGGAGAAGCCGCGGUUGGAGAACACGAACCCGGGGACGGAGUGGUUCUUGGUGCACGCCGGCGGCGGGGCGUCGGCGGGGAAGGGCUUGAGUACGAACUCCCGGACGUGGGUCAUGGCGACGGGGUCGUGGUACCGCGCGUACGGCUUGGUCCUCCAUUCCCUGUCCAGCGAGUCGAUGUAGAUGGUGGAGGCGUUGCCGACCACCCGGAUGUCCCCCGCCGCCUCGCACCGCUCCGAACGCUUGCUCGUCAUGAAGCAGGUCGGCUUCUUCUUCUUCCCCUUCCCCUUAUCCUUAUCCUUCCUCCCCGCGCCGGCGCCGGAGACGACGGCAGUCUUCUCCGCCCUCUCCGUGGUGACCUUGGGCACCGGGGCGGCGCUGUCCUCCUCCACAUCCUCCUCCGCGUCCUCCUCUGAAACUGGCCAGGGAAAAAGAAACAGUCUUGAGCAACAUACAUUUCGUCCCCAAAUCAGCAAUCGGCCGGUUCUAGCUAGCUGAGCCGAACAAGUCAAUCGAUCCGGAAGACAGCUUGCUUACCUCCGACCGUGGUGGCGGCGGGGGCCGGCUCGUCGUCGUCGGUCUCCAUCCGGAUGCUGGAGUUCAUCUGCUCCUUGAGCUGGUCGUCCGGCUUGCCUGCAGACAUCCAAGCUCUCAUCCACCCGUCCAUCCAAGAACCAGCAAGCUCGACAGCAAACAGAAGGGGAAAGAGGAGGAGGAAGAAGAAGAAGAAGAUAGUAGACAUACCGAAGGGGGUGGAGCAGUAUCUGGCCUUGACGAUGCUGAGGACGCAGAGGGAGAGGAGCAUGGCGGCGAUGAUGACGCCGUUGCUGACCCGCCGCGGCUCCUGCCGGCUCCGCAGCGAGGCCUUCAUCUCCGACGCCGACCCCAGCGCGCCCUCCCCCGACCCCGGCUAGAUCUGGGGCAGCAGGCGGCACGGAGUCAGCUCCCUUGCUUGCUUGCUGGGCUUUGCUUGCUGCCUGCCUGCCUCCUCCCAAGGAGGAAGACUCUUCUCGAGACGGAGAGAGAGAGAGGAGAGAGGAGAGAUGCUUUGAAACUUUCUCGUGCCGAGCUGGAUCUGGAUGGGCCUCAGCUGCUCUGCUCUGCUCGCUGAUGAUUAAACGAGGGUGGUAAUAAAGAAUCGGAAUGCUCUCUCCUUGGCAACUCAUAAGUGAGGGAUUAUUGCAGCAAAAUGGAGGAUGAUUAGCAGACUGGCCCCUGGGAUUAGCCGGCCGGCCGUCGUCGUGUGGAGAGACUGGCAGGCACGACGUAGGACGUGGUGGACCGUUGACCAGACCGGGCUGGGCCGGGCCCGACCCGCAGUGUUGUUGAGCCACCUCCCCCACCUUAUUUCUAUGGUGGGAUUAUUGUUACUUCCAUUUUCGGCCGCGGGAAGAGAUGUAUGUAUGUUCGGACCGGCCGACCGAGAGCAUGAAUGUGGGCAUGUACCGGCGAGCGUCACGGGUUUUCCUACGUACCGAUGUGCCAACACGCGUGAGUUUGUGUACAGCUGGAGCCAAAGGAGGAGUAACGCUUCCCUUUUUUUCUUUCUACUAGCACAAUUACACACGUGCGUUGCAACAGGAGAAAAAUGAAUAAUAAAAAAGUAUAGUUCAUUGGUAAAAACGCGCGUGGAUACUAUAAAAAAAGGUGCGCACGUAAGGUCUUAGAUUAUAAAAUAUGUACAAAAAAGAACCGAGUGCAAGUACAUCAUGUCCAAAAAUUAUAACAUUUUCCAAAUAUUGAUGCUUAAGUUAACAUGUUACAAUAUAAAUAGUCGGUACGAAAUAAAGACAAAUAUUAAUUAGCAUUGUAUCCUAUAUAGUAUUUGUAAAAAUAUUUAACAUGUAAAAUAACAACAUAUUCAAACUCUACACAUUUUUCUAAUCAAGUUUCAUAUAUAACACGUUUAAAUUGAAUUUACGGUUUAAAAGAUAUUAUUAUUUGAAAAUACAUAUUUAUUCUGAAUGAACUUCGAGGUUAUUAACGCAUAUGUGAGGGGUUUAGGUAAAAAAAAAUGAUUCGCUCUGAGUACAAUUUGGACCGCGGGUUAUUUAGCACGAAAGUAAGGGGGUUUUGUGUAAAAUGUGAAACAAAACGGUUCGGCCUCACUUAUAAACGGACUGCAGGUUAAUUAGAGGAAACUAUAGGGGUCUUUCUGCAAAAAUGCCACGACGGACGACAGAAGCCACCGGUGCUUUAUUAUUAGGGAGAGAAGAGCAACUUGAACGAAACGAUCCACACGGACAUGAAUUUUGUCUGUUUGGGUUGUCCAUCCGCCUAGCGGACAUGAGGUGAACACGGGUGAUCGAUGGGCGAACCCAAUGCACGAGAUGCAAAAAAGCGGACAAGUGAGGCUGCUGGCGUGGAAGACGCAUCUUUCCUUCGCUCCCCGCGCCGCCUAGCGCACGACCUCGCCACCGCCGACCCGCCAGCGUUGUUCCUCAGGGCGGUCUUCGCGUCCUUGUCCCAUCGGCUCCUCCGUCGAGGCACGCCGACAACAUCGGCACCUCCAUGCUCUACUGCAUCCCCAUCAUCCUCGGGCUCUUUGCCUUCGUCGUCGUCGCCUCCCUCUCCAUCAGCGCCUGCCUCCGCGACCGCUUCAGCCGCUCGCGCCCGUCUCCCCCACCCUCGCCGUUGCCCGGGCCGCACGGGAAGGACGAGGGUAAGAAGGAUCGGAUCGAGUCACUGCCCCGGUUCACCAUACCUUCUGCGCUGGCGGCGCUGCCUAGGAGCUCCCCGGACUGCGUCGUCUGCCUCUCGCAUUUAGGUCGAAGACCAAGCUGCGGUUGCUCCCGGCAUGCCGCCACGCGUUCCACGCCGCGUGUGUCGCCGCCUGGCUCCGGACCACCCCGACCAUCCCGCUCUAUCCCGCCAUCGUCGCGCCCCGCACCCCUCCAUCGCGACCCUCCUCGCCACCGAACAGCCGCUGCCGACACCGGAGCCUGCUGCCGCGAGGAGCAGGGAUCGCUCCAGGAGGUUUCGCGUCGAGAUGGGAAACGUCAGCACUCGCGGUGGGUCAUCGGCCACUUCCACAGGCAGCGGCCUUGAGGAGGGACGGACCGCUGAUAGGUGGGACAAGGGUGGACACAAGAGGGGAAGAGCGGACGACGGGAGCACCCAGUUUUGUCUGUCACGGACCCAUUUGUGGCCCAGUUUUGCGCCUAGUUUGGGUUGGGAUGGACAACAAGCGGACAUCAGGCGGACAAACGCGUCCGUUUGGGUCGCCCGGUCGGGUCAAUUUUUCUUUUGGAUGACCCAAACGGACAAUAUGGGUCACCCCAUUGGAGUUGCUCUAACGCAGGGCGAAAGCCUUCCAUUGGAAGAAGCAAGAUGUUAAAGGCCAAACUAGCAGCGAACGAUACAACUGAAGGCUCCGAGCUGGCCCGACCCACUCCCGUGAGCAGAAAAGGCGAACCCUCGUCGCGCCACCCCCAGUCCCUCCGCUCCAUCCCUCUCCCACGCCGUCUCCAGCGCACACUGCUACGGCGACAGAAAUCCUUUUGUCGUCUCUUGAGCUUGCGUUGGUUUUUCCCUUGAAGAGGAAAGGGCGAUGCAGCAUAGGAGCAGUAAGUAUUUCCCUCAGUUUGAAAACCAAGAUAUCAAUCCAGUAAGAGGAUCGCGCCAAGUCCAGAGUACCUGUGCAAACACAAAAGAGCUUGCACCCAACGCUAUAAAGGGGUUGUCAAUCCCUUCAAGAUUGAUUGCAAAGUAAGAUCUGAAGUUGGAAAGUGCAAUGAAGAAAAAGUGUAAGGCUGAAAAUAUGGUGUGGAGUAGACCCGGGGGCCAUAGUGUUCACUAAAGGCUUCUCUCAAAAUAGCAAAUAUUACGGUGGGUGAACAAAUUACUGUCGACCAAUUGAUAGAACCGCGAAAAGUCAUGACGAUAUCUAAGGCAAUGAUCAUACAUAUAGGCAUCACUUCCGAGACAAGUAGACCGAUAUUUUCUUCAUCUACUACUAUUACUCCACACAUCGACCGCUAUCCAGCAUGCAUCUAGUGUAUUGAGUUCAUGACGAACAAAGUAACGCUUUAAGCAAGAUGACAUGAUGUAGAGGGAUAAACUCAAACCAAUGAUGAAAACCCCAUUUUUUUACCCUUGAUGGCAACAACACGAUGAAUGCCUCGCUACCCCUUCUGUCACUGGGUGAGGUCACCGCACGGUAUGAACCCAAAACCAAGCACUUCUCCCAUUGCAAGAAUCAUAGAUCUAGUUGGCCAAACAACACCCACAACUCGAAGAGAAUUACAAGGAUAUGAAAUCAUGCAUAUAAGAGAUCAAAAGAAACUCAAAUAAGAUUCAUAGAUAAUCUGAUGAUAAAUCCACAAUUCAUCGGAUCUCGACAAACACACCACAAAAGAACAUUACAUCGGAUAGAUCUCCAUGAAGAUCAUGGAGAACUUUGUAUUGAAGAUCCAAGAGAGAAGAAGCCAUCUAGCUACUAGCUAUGGACCCGUAGGUCUAUGGUGAACUACUCACGCAUCAUCGGAGAGGUCAUGGUGUUGAUGAAGAAGCCCUCCGUAUCCGAAUCCCCCCUCCAACAGGGCACCAGAACGUGCCCCAGAUGGGAUCUUGCGGAGACAGAAGCUUGCGGCGGCGAAAAAGUACUUUCGAUGAUCUCGUGAUCUUUUUCUGGGAUUUUAGGGAAUAUAUAGGCGAAAGACCUAGGGCAGAGGUGGCCCAAGGAGCCCACAAGCCUGGGAGGCGCGGGCCCCCCUGGCCGCGGCUAGGGGGCUUGUGGGGUCCCUGCAGGCCCCCUGUCGUGAUUCUCAGGCUUCCCGAUCUUUUUCUGUUUCGGAAAAAAUAUGUUUGGCAGUUUCGUUCCGUUUGGACUCCCUUCAAAAUCCUCCUCUGAAAGGGGUCAAAAACAUGGAAAAAACAGGAACUGCCACUUGGCACUGAGUUAAUAAGUUAGUCCCAAAAAAUAUAUAAAAGGCAUACAAAACAUCCAAAGUUUGACAAGAUAGUAGCAUGAAACCAUCAAAAAUUAUAGAUACGUUGGAGACGUAUCAAGCAUCCCCAAGCUUAACUCCUGCUCGUCCUCGAGUACGGAAGUGAUAAAGACUAAAUUUUUGAUGUGGAAUACUACCUAGCAUAGUUGUCCUUUGCAACUUCUUUCGUGUGACAUGAAUGUUCAGAUCCGUGAGAUUCAAAACAAUAGUUUGCUAUUGACAUGAAAACAAUAAUACUUCAAGCAAACUAGCAAGGUAAUCAUGAACUUUCAAAAUAACAAGGUCAAGGAAAGUUAUCCCUACAAAAUCAUAUAGUCUGGCUAUGCUCCAUUCAUACGUCCAUUUUGCAUCAUGUUUUCAUGUUGAUAUUUAUUGCUUCUUUGGCUGUUAUUUCACUUCGCGGUACUAUUCUUAUGCCUUUUCUCUCUUAUUUUUGCAAGGUUUACAUGAAGAGGGAGAAUGCCGACAACUGGAAUUCUGUCCUGAAAGUGGAGCAAAGUUGAGAUACCUAUUCUGCGCAACUCCAAACGCCAUAAAAAUCAACGAGGAUUUUUUCCCGAUUUAUCAAAAAUACUGGCCCGAAGAAGUGCUAGAGGGGGGCGUGUAGGUGGCCACAAGCCUGCACGGCGCGGCCACCCCCCAAGGCCGCACCAUGAGGGCUUGUGGGCACCUUGCAGGCCCACUUGCCCCCCUCUUUUGCUAUAUGAAGGGUUUCGUCCAGGAAAAAAAAUCAAGGAGGAGCUUUUCUGUGGAUUCGCCGCAGCCACGAGGCGGAACUUGAGCAGAACCAAUCUAGAGCUCCGGCAGGACGAUCCUGCCGGGGAAACUACCCUCCCGGGGGGGGGGAAAUCGUCGCCAUCGUCAUCACCAACACUCCUCUCAUCGGAGGGGACUCAUCACCAUCAAUAUCUUCAUCAGCACCAUCUCAUCUCCAAACCCUAGUUCAUCACUGUAACCAAUCUCCUUCUCGCGACUCCGAUUGGUACUUGUAAGGUUGCUAGUAGUGUUGAUUACUCUUUGUAGUUGAUGCUAGUUGGAUUACUUGGUGGAAGAGUUUAUGUUCAGAUCCUUGAUGCUACUCAUUACUUCUCUGGUCAUGGAUAUGAUUAUGCUUUCUGAGUAGUUACUUUUGUUCCUGAGGACAUGGGAUAAGUCAUGCUAAUAAUAGUCAUGUGAAUUUGGUAUUCGUUCGGCAAUUUGAUAUGUUGUAUGUUUUUUCCUCUAGUGGUGUUAUGUGAACGUCGACUACAUAACACUUCACCAUUAUUUGGGCCUAGAGGAAGGCAUUGGGAAGUAGUAAGUAGAUGAUGGGUUGCUAGAGUGACAGAAGCUUAAACCCUAGUUUAUGCGUUGCUUCGUAAGGGGCUGAUUUGGAUCCACUACUUUAAUGUUAUGGUUAGACUUUGUCUUAAUUCUUCUUUUGUAGUUGUGGAUGCUUGCGAGAGGGGUUAAUCAUAAGUGGGAUGAUUGUCCAAGUAAGGGCAUUACCCAAGCGCCGGUCCACCCACAUAUCAAACUAUCAAUGUAACAAACGCGAAUCAUAUGAACAUGAUGAAAACAAGCAUGACAGAAAUCCCCGUGUGUCCUCGGGAGCGUUUUUCCUGCUAUAAGACUUUGUCCAGGCUUGUCCGUUGCUACAAAAGGGAUUGGGCCACUUUGCUGCACCAUUGCUACUUUUGUUACUUGUUGCUUGCUACGAAUCAUCUCACUACACAACCACUUGUUACCGACAAUUUUAGUGCUUGCUGAUUUUCCUUGCUGAAAAUCACUUGUCAGAACCUUCUGCUCCUUGUUUGGUUCGACACUCUUACUUAUCGAAAGGACUACGAUUGAUCCCCUGUACUUGUGGGUCAUCAAGACUCUUUUCUGGCCCCGUUGCCAUGGAGUGAAGCGCCUUUGGUAAGUGGAACUUGGUAAGGAAACAUUCAUAUAGUGUGCUGAAAUUUGUUGUCACUUGUUAGUAUGGAUACUAAUCCUUUGAGGGGCUUGUUCGGGGUAUCUUCACCUCGAACGAAAGCACAAAGAGUUUCUCCUCAACCUGCUGCACCUACUGAAAAUAUUUGCUUUGAAUUUCCCUCGGGUAUGCUUGAGAAACUGCUGGCUAAUCCUUUUUACAGGAGAUGGAACAUCACAUCCAGACUUGCAUCUAACCUAUGUAGAUGAGGUUUGUGGUUUAUUUAAGCUUGCAGGUGAGCCCGAGGAUGAGGUCAAGAAGAAGGUAUUUCCUUUAUCUUUUAAGGAUAAGGCGUUGACAUGGUAUAGGCUAUGUGAUGAUACUAGAUCAUGGAAUUUCAUCAAAAGUUUUAUCCUAUGCAUUUAGCACAUCGUGAUCGGAAUUAUAUUUAUAAUUUUUGGCCUCGUGACAGAGAAAGCAUCGCUCAAGCUUGGGGGAGGCUUAAAUCAAUGUUAUAUUCAUGCCCCAAUCAUGAGCUCUCGAGAGAAAUUAUCGUUCAGAACUUUUAUGCUCGGCUUUCUCAUGAUGAUCGCACCAUGCUUGACACUUCUUGUACCGGUUCUUUUAUGAAGAGUGAUAUUGACUUCAAAUGGAAUUUAUUGGAGAGAAUUAAACGCAACUCUAAAGAUUGGGAUCUUGAAGAAGGUAAGGAGUCAGGUAUGAAUUUCACUUUUGAUUGCGUUAAAUCCUUUGUUGAGACAAAUACUUUUUGUGACUUUAGCGCUAAGUAUGGACUUGACUAUGAGAUAGUAGCUUCAUUGUGUGAAUCCUUUGCUGCUCAUAUUGAUCUCCCCAAAGAGAAGUGGUUUAAAUUUCAUCCUCCUUUAGAAGUCAAUGUAGUUAAACCCACUCCAGUUGAAGAGAAAGUCAUUGCCUAUAAUGAUCCUGUUGUUCCCAGUGCUUACAUUGAGAAACCACCUUUCCCUGUUAGGAUAAAGGAUCAUUGUAAAGCUUUAACUGUGAUACGUAGAGGCUAUAUUAGAACACCUACACCCCCUGAGAAAAUUAGAGUUGAACCUAGCAUUGCUAUCAUCAAAGAUCUUCUGUCUGAAGAAGUUGAGGGACAUAAUAUUCACUUCUGUGAAGAUGCUGCUAGAAUUGCUAAACCUCCCGCUAGAGACAAAGAUAGGCUUCUUGUUGGCAUGCCUGUCGUUUCUGUUAAGAUAGGAGAUCAUUGUUAUCAUGGUUUAUGUGACAUGGGUGCUAGUGUUAGUGCAAUACCUCAAUCCUUAUAAGAUGAAAUCAAAGUUGAGAUUGCACCUGUUGAGAUAGAGCCUAUUGAUGUCACUAUUCAGCUUGCCAAUAGAGAUACUAUCUGCCCUAUGGGAAUUGUUAGGGAUGUUGAAGUCUUGUACUGUGGUAAAACGAAGUAUCCUGCUGAUUUCUUCGUUCUUGCUACCACACAAGAUAGCUUUUGUCCCAUCAUAUUUGGCAGACCCUUCCUCAAUGCCGUCAAUGCUCAUAUUGACUGUGAGAAGCAAACUGUCACUGUUGGCUUUGAAGGUGUGCCACAUGAGUUCAAUUUCUCUAAGUUUGGUAGAGAACCUCAUGAAAAGGAGUUGCCUAGUAAGGAUGAAACUAUUGCCUUAGCUUCUAUUGUCGUGCCUCCUACGGAUCCCUUAGAGCAAUACUUGCUUGAGCAUGAAAAUGAUAUGCAUAUGGAUGAAAGGGAUGAGAUAGAUAGAGUUGUCUUAGAACAAUGUCCUAUUCUUAAGAAUAAUCUGUCUAUUGAACUGCUUGGGAUCCACCUCCAACAAAGGGUGAUCCUGUGUUCGAGCUUAAACAGUUUCCUGAUACUCUUAAGUAUGCCUAUCUUGAUGAAAAGGAGAUAUAUCAUGUCAUUAUUAGUGCUAGCCUCUCAGAGCAAGAAGAAAAGAAGUUACUAAAAACUCGGAGGAAGCACCGUGCUGCUAUUGGAUAUACUCUUGAUGAUCUAAAGCGCAUUAGUCCCACUCUAUGCUAGCACAAGAUUAAAACUGAUCCUGACAUCAAACCAGUUGAUGAUCAUCAAAGGAGAUUGAAUCCUAAGAUGAAAGAAGUAGUAAGAAAAGAAAUACUAAAGCUCCUAGAAGCGGGUAUUAUCUACCCUGUUGCUCAUAGCGAUUGGGUGAGUCUGGUGCACUGCAUCCCUAAGAAGGGAGGCAUUACCGUUGUCCCUAAUGAUAAGGAUGGAUUGAUCCCACAGAGGAUUAUUACUGGCUAUAGGAUGGUGAUCGAUUUUAGGAAAUUGAAUAAAGCCACUAGGAAAGAUCAUUACCCUUUGCCUUUUAUCGACCAAAUGCUAGAAAGGUUGUCAAAACACACACACUUAUGCAUUCUAAACGGUUAUUCUGGUUUCUCCCAAAUACCAGUUGCACAAUCUGAUCAGGAGAAAACCACUUUCACCUGUCCUUUCGGUACCUUCGCUUAUAGACGUAUGCCUUUUGGCUUAUGUAAUGCACCUGCCACCUUUCAAAGAUGUAUGAUGGCUAUAUUCUCUGACUUUUGUGAAAAGGUUGCUGAGGUUUUCAUGGAUGACUUCUCCGCUUAUGGGUCUUCCUUUGAUGAUUGCCUCAGCAACCUUGAUCGAGUCUUGCAGAGAUGUAAAGACACCAAUCUUGUCUUGAACUCGGAAAAGUGCCACUUUAUGGUUAAUGAAGGCAUCGUCUUAGGACAUAAAAUUUCUGAAAGAGGUAUUGAAGUCGAUAAGGCUAAGGUUGAUGCAAUCGAGAAAAUGCCAUACCCCACAGAUAUCAAAUGUAUAAGAAGUUUCCUUGGUCAUGCUGGUUUGUAUAGAAGGUUCAUCAAAGACUUCUCUAAGAUUUCUAGGCCUCUUACCAAUCUCUUACAAAAGGAUAUUCCUUUUGUUUUUGACGAUGAUUGUGAGGAAGCAUUUGAAAUACUUAAGAGGGCUUUGAUAACUGCACCUAUUGUUCAACCACCUGAUUGGAACUUGCCUUUUGAGAUCAUGUGUGACGCUAGUGAUUAUGUUGUUGGUGCUGUUCUAGGGCAAAGAGUCGAUAAGAAGUUGAAUAUUAUUCACUACACUAGUAAAACUCUUGACAGUGCCCAAAGAAACUAUGCUACUACGGAGAAGGAAUUUUUAGCAAUCGUGUUUGCAUGUGAAAAGUUCAUGUCUUACAUAGUUGACUCCAAAGUCACUAUUCACACUGAUCAUGCUGCUAUUAAGUACCUCAUGGAGAAGAAGGACUCUAAACCUAGACUUAUCAGAUGAGUUCUCUUGCUACAAGAGUUUGAUUUGCACGUUGUUGAAAAAAAGGGUGCUGAUAACCUAGUAGCAGAUAACUUGUCUAGGUUGGAGAACGUUCUUAAUGACCCACAACCUAUUGACGAUAGCUUUCCCAAUGAGAAACUGAAUGUCAUCAAUGCUUCAUGUAGUGCACAGUAGUAUGCUGAUUAUGCAAACUAUAUCAUUGCCACAUACAUACCACCUAGUUUCACGUACCAGCAAAAGAAGAAAUUAUUCUUUGACUUGAGACAUUACUUUUGGGAUGAUCCUCACCUUUAUAAGGAAGGAGUAGAUGGUGUUAUUAGACGUUGUGUACCUGAACAUGAACAGGGACAGAUCCUACAUAAGUGUCACUCUGAGGCCUACGGAGGACACCAUGUGGGAGAUAGAACUGCACACAAGGUAUUGCAAUCAGGUUUCUAUUGGCCCACUCUCUUCAAGGAUGCCCGUAAGUUUGUCUUGUCUUGUGACGAAUGUCAAAGAAUAGGUAAUAUCAGCAAACGUCGGGAAAUGCCUAUGAACUAUUCACUUGUCAUUGAAUCAUUUGAUGUCUGGGGCUUUGAUUAUAUGGGACCUUUUCCAAAAUCCAACGGGAUACUCAUAUCCUAGUUGCUGUUGAUUACGUCACUAAGUGGGUAGAGGCUAUCCCCACUAGUAGUGCUGAUCAAAACACCUCUAUCAGGAUGCUGAAAGAAGUUAUCUUCCCUAGAUUUGGAGUCCCUAGAUAUCUAAUGACCGAUGGUGGUUCACACUUCAUUCAUGGUGCUUUCCGUAAAACGCUUGCUAAGUACGAUGUCAACCAUAGAAUUGCGUCUCCCUAUCACCCUCAGUCCAGUGGUCAAGUAGAGCUAAGUAAUAGAGAGAUUAAACUGAUUCUGCAAAAGACUGUCAACAGGUCUAGAAAGAAUUGGUCUAAGAAGCUCGAUGAUGCACCGUGGGCUUAUAGAACUGCCUAUAAGAAUCCCAUGGGCAUGUCUCCGUACAAAAUGGUGUACGGUAAAGCAUGCCAUUUACCUCUUGAUCUAGAGCAUAAAGCUUACUGGGCAAUCAAAGAGCUCAACUUUGACUUCAAACUUGCCGGCGACAAGAGGUUAUUUGAUAUUAGAUCGCUUCAUGAGUGGAGAACUCAGGCAUAUGAGAAUGCCAAGUUGUUCAAGGAAAAGGUUAAGAGGUGGCAUGAUAAGAGGAUACAAAAGCGUGAGUUAAAUGUAGGUGAUUAUGUCUUGCUAUAUAACUCUCGUAUAAGAUUCUUUGUAGGCAAGCUUCUCUCUAAAUGGGAAGGUCCCUAUGUUAUUGAGGAAGUAUAUCAUCCGAGUGCUAUCAAGAUCAACAACACGGAAGGUAAUUGUCCGAGAGUGGUAAAUGGGUAGAGAAUCUAGCAUUAUAUCUCAGGUACUCCCAUAAAUGUUGAAAGCAAUAUUAUCAAUACCAUAAUUCCAUGAAGCUCUUCAUCGUACGUGAGUAAUCUAUUCGUAGGCUCGCUGGGCGGUGAUGAGUAGGAUGAGAUCUAUCAUGUAAUCGAGUUAGUUUUGAUGGGGAUUGAUCCCUAGUAUCCACUAUGUUCUGAGAUUGAUGUUGCUACUACUUUGCCAUGCUUAAUGCUUGUCACUAGGGCCCGAGUGCCAUGAUUUCAGAUCUGAAAUUAUUAUGUUGUCACCAAUAUAUGUGUGUUUUAGAUCCGAUCUUGCAAGUUGUAGUUACCUACUAUGUGUUAUGAUCCGGCAACCCCGUAGUGACAAUAACCGGAACCACUCCCGGUGAUGACCAUAGUUUGAGGAGUUCAUGUGUUCACCAAGUGCUAAUGCGUGGUCCGGUUCUUUAUUAAAAGGAGAACCUUAAUAUCCCAUAGUUUCCUUUUGGACCCCGCUGCCACGGGAGGGAUGGACAAUAGAUGUCAUGCAAGUUCUUUUCCCUAAGCACGUAUGAAGACACACGGAAUGCAUGCCUACAUCACAUUGAUGAACGGGAGCUAGCCACAUAUCUCUCCGUGUUAUAACUGUUGCAUGAUGAAUAUCAUCCAAACAAAUCACCGACCCAUUGCCUACGAGUCUGUCCUACUGUUGCUGCUGCUGUUACUUGUCUUGCUGUGGUGUUACUAUUGUUGUUGCUGCUGUUACUUGUCUUGCUCUGUUGUUACUACUUUUGUUGUUGCUGUUACUUGUCUUGCUCUGCUACUACUGUUGCUACUACCGUCGCUUGCUACUGUUGCUACUUGCUACUGCUGUCACUACUGUUGUUCCUUGCCACUACCGUUACUCGCUACUUUCCUGUUACUACUUUGCUUGCAGAUACUAAUCUUUCAGGUGUGGUUGAAUCUGACACAUUCAGCUCCUAAUACUCGAGAGUAUUCUCUCACCACCUGUUUGGCGAUCAACAAAUUUGGGUCGAAAACUCUACCCUCGAAAACAGCUGCGAACCCACGCGCUGGUGGGCCGUCAACAACAUUCUUCUAGGUUCAUUACUGGGGAGUGCUAGUAGCAUUCUUCUGGUGCCGUUGCAAGGGAAGGUUUGUUGUCACGAAAUCAACAUUUGUCUAGCUAUUGCCAGAGAGUGCGAGUCAACAUUUUUCUGGCGCCGUUGCCGGGGAGGUAUUGCUAUAUUCUCUGAGUCACUUGGGAUUUAUAUCUGCUGAUCACUAUGAAGAAUCUGAAGGAUCCGAAAACCAAAGUCUAGCCCUCAACUACGAGGGGAGGUAAGGAAUUGCCAUCUAGCUCUGCACUUGAUUCACCUUCAGUUAUGAGUAAGUUUGCGACAUCACCUGCUGCUAGAAAUCUUGAUAUGUCGCAUGUGCUUGAUGAUGCUUAUGAUGAUACUGCUAGAGAUGCUAUGCCUGAUGAUACUAUGCUUGAUACUGCUAGAGAUGCUAUGCCUGAUACUGCUUUGCGUGAUGAUGCUAGAGAUGCUAUUUUGCCUAAUGAUACUAUGCUUGAUACUGCUAGAGAUGCUAUGCAUGAUGAUGCUAUGCUUGAUAUUGCUAGAGAGGCUACUUUGCCUGAUGUUCCACUAGGUGUAUUCCUUGAUGCUCAUAAUGCUAGAGUUACUGCCAAUGCUCGUGAUGCUUCUGAACCUGCCGAUACUAUUGAGAUAGAACCUGCUUUUGCUCCUGUUAGAUCUAGCUCUCCUAGAUAUGAAUUGCCUGAUAUACCUGAGGGUUACGUUAUGGAGGGAGAGAUAGCUGAGGAUUUUCUUGCGUGUAAGGAUGCAUAUGACGCUGAGAAAUUACUUCUCAAGUGGAAGGAAAAAUCUCUGAAAGCUAGGAUGAAAUACGACCCGGAGUUUGCCACUUAACCUAUCUUUAUCACCGAUAAGGAUUAUGAAUUCUUUGUCGAUCCUGAGAUAAUCUCUCUAGUCGAAUCUGAUCCUUUUCACGGUUAUGAGUCUGAGACGGUCGUAGCCCAUCUUGCCAAAUUUCACGAUAUAGCCACCCUUUUCACUAAUGAGGAGAAGAUCUGCCACUACUAUAUCCUUAAGCUGUUUCCUUUCUCUCUAAAGGAUGACGCUAAAGCCUGGUUCACCUCUCUUGCUCCUGGAUGUGUGAGUAGUCCCCAGGAUAUGGUCUAUUACUUCUGUGAGAAAUAUUUCCCUGCCCAUAAGAAGCAAGCUGCCUUGCAGGAAAUAUACAACUUUGCUCAACUCCAAGAAGAGAGUCUCCCACAAGCUUGGGGAGGCUCGUCCAGCUGCAUAAUGCUUUGCCUGAUCACCCUCUUAAGAAGAACGAGAUACUUGAUAUCCUCUAUAACGGACUUACCGAUGCCUCUAGAGACCACCUAGAUAGUUGUGCCGGUUAUGUUUUUAGGGAACGAACUGUAGAACAAGCUGAGACCCUACUGAAUAACAUCUUGAUCAACGAUAAUGCUUGGACUAUUCCCGAACCACCUCCUAAGCCAACUCCGAAGAAAAGAGGUAUUCUAUUCCUCAGUCCCGAAGAUAUGCAAGAAGCCAUGAAAUCUAUGCAAGAGAAAGGCAUUAGAUCUGAAGAUGUCAAAAAUCUACCACCUAUCAAAGAGAUCCAUGGUCUCGAUAACCCGAUACAGGUAGUAGAAAUAAAUUCUCUGCGUAGGUUUGAUGAGAGUGAUAUUCCUUUUGACAAACCUGCUAGCCUAUGCUUUGAUGAAUUUGACAACUUUGUUGCCAAACAACAGAGUUUCAAUGAUUAUGUUAGUAGACAUUUGGAACAAAGUACUCGUAUGCUUAGCCAUUUAAGUGCUUGUGUAGACAGAAAUGUCAAUGAUCUGAAGCUACUGAGUAAACAUGCCUCUAUGAUUACUACCCAGGUAGAACAAGUACUUAAAGCUCAGAAUGACAUGCUCAAUGAAUUAAAUGACAACUCUGUCAGAGUCAUUACUAGAGGAGGCAAAAUGACUCAGGAACCUUUGUAUCCUGAAGGUCAUCCUAAGAGAAUUGAUCAAGAUUCUCCAGGAAUCAAUGCUGAUACACCCAGUCAUCAUAAGGAGAAGAAGAAGGAUGAUAGAAACCUACACGCCAGUUCACCAAAUACUGUCACACUUGAAGAACCUAAUGAUAUUUCUGCGUCUGAGGCGGAAACACAAUCUGGUGAUGAACAUGAACCUGGUGAUAAUGUGGACAGUGAUGUUCAUAAUAAUGCUCGACCUAGCAAUGAUGAGGAUGUGGAGAUUGAACCUACGGUUAAUCCUGAUAAUCCACAACCUAAGAGAUACAAUAAGAAUAACUUCACUGCUAGGAAGCAUGGUAAAGAAAGGGAGACAUGGGUUCAGAGAUCUAUGCCCUUUCCUCCUAAGCCAUCCAAGAAAAAGGAUGAUGAGGAUUUUGAGCGCUUCGUUGAGAUGAUAAGACCCAUCUAUCUACAGAUGUGGUUAACUGAUAUCCUGCUCAAGAUGUCUCCGUAUGCCAAGUACAUGAAAGAUAUCGUGACUAAUAAACGGAAGAUACCAGAUCUUGAGAUCUCCACCAUGCUUGCCAAUUACACUUUCAAAGGUCGAACUCCUAAGAAACUUGGUGAUCCCGGAGUGCCCACUAUACCUUGCUCCAUUAAAGGAAACUACGUAAGAACUGCCUUAUGUGACCUUGGAGCCGGUGUUAGUGUUAUGCCGCUCCCUCUUUAUCAUAGACUUGAGUUGGAUAAGUUGACACCCACUGGAAUUUCUCUGCAAAUGGCCGACAAAUCAACUGCUUUCCCUAUCGGCAUUUGCGAGGAUGUGCCUGUUGUGGUUGCUAACACCACUAUCAUAAUAGACUUUGUUAUCUUGGAUAUUCCUGAGGACGAUGCCAUGGUUGCCAUCCUCGGAAGACCCUUUUUAAACACUGCAGGGGCUGUUAUAGAUUGCAAAAAAGGCAAUAUCACUUUCCAUGUCAACGGUAAUGAGCACACAGUGCACUUUCCGAAGAAACGAUAUCAAGUACAUUGCAUCAAUGCUAUCGAAAAGACUUCAUCGAUUCUUAUUGGGAGAUUUGAAUGCCCUAUUCCUCGUGUUAAGAUAAAGUAUGAUUUGCUUGUUGGGGAGAUACAUAUCCCCAUUGAGGUGACUUAGUGGCUAUUUGAAAAUUCUCCGUUCUCUCUUGCGAUUCGAGAAGGUUUUGUCAUGAGGACUUGAUCAACCCCAUUGACGGAUUUCUUUCGAUGACCAUGAAAUGGAUUAAUCAAAGAGUCACAUACCUCUCUUUUGAGCUUUCAUUUUCUGUUGCUUAGAAGAAAAAUGAUGGAAUUAGUUUAGUUUUUCCUGUUUUUUGUUUUAGCGUCCCGGAGAAAAUACCUCGAAAAUAAAAGUUCUCCGAUGGUCCUGAAAAUUUAGUAUGUUUUUUUCUGGAAUUUUUGAAAAUUACUAUGCCUGAGAGCUGGCCUGGGGGCCAGACUAGUGGGCCACAAGCCCUGCCACCGCCACCCCCCUGGUGGCGGAGGGCAAGCUUGUGGGGCCCACAGGGACCCCCUCCACUCAUUCCAGCUCCCAGCCUCUUCUUCCACCUCGAGAAAAAAAAAUUCGCAACUCAAACCCUUGUUCUUGCUCAUUUGGCUAUGAUUUCCGAUCUCCUUGCUCAAAGCACCAUUCUCCGAACCAUUUUGGGGAAAUUACUCCUUGGUAAGUGACUCCUCCAUUGGUCCAAUUAGUUUUUGCUCUAGUGCUUUAUCUUUCGCGUAUUCUUGCUACCUUGGUGACCCUGUUCUUGAGCUAGAAAUGUUGAUUUUAGCUGGUCCCAAGUAGUUUUAGCGCGUGAUACGGUCUCUAGGCACUAGUAGGAGUAGUUGCUACAAGGUGUGGUGGGUCUUCAUUCACUUUUCUCUUGAACUUCAAAAAUUUCAGCAAAAGGAAAUUAUGUUCAGGACGAAGUUUCAUGGUGGUUCCUCAAGUAAGAAGGGUCCCCGUCUUUCUUUUCGGGAGCCCGAACCUUUUCAACUAAGGGACGCACGAGUGCAACCAUGUGAAUGGCCUUCCGAUGAGUUUAUGAUCGAAGCAGGUUUCAAGGAUGAGUUUGAUACACUUGUCCGCAAUGCUGGGUUAGAAGAAUUCCUCUCAGAUAAAUGUGAAAAGUAUGCUAUGCUCACUACCUCUUUCGUGCGUAGAUUUAAAUUUUCAGUUGGCCGUGACUCAUCCAUACUGUUUGAUUUGUACGAUAAAUCCUAUACCAUGGAUUUGGAGGAUUUCAAUAGGAUUUGCAAGAUACCCGAUGGGGGUAGUAUUAAUGAUCCUUCUAAAUUUUCGGUCAGAGACUUUGUCUCGAGUAUAACUGUUGGAGAAACCAGAGAUAUCACACAAGCCACCAUAGGAAGCAUCCACUUCCCUGCCUUGCACUACUUUGCCCUCUUCAUAGGUAGGUGCAUUAACGGCAAGGGUGCACAUUGUCACCUAUGCGCUUCUGACCUUAGUAUCCUUAAGAGCGCAGUAACAGGUGACAUGAGCUUCAAUAUGGGAGCUAUAAUAGCAAGGAGGCUGAAUAAAAAUGUCAGUGAGGGGGAUUUCUUCGGUGGAGUUCAUACUACACGCUUAGCAAACUUUUUUUUGGAAUAUCCAUCCGUUCAGAAGACCCUCCUCUCCGUACAGCCUACCUUGAUCAUGUCGCUCUAACACGCUACCAGUUCCUUGAGAGAGAUCAUGGAUCCCUCCUUUACCGCUGGAUAUUUAACCGGUAGCGUGUUUUCCAUAUUACCCUUCCUGCUCCUGCUUUCUUUGACUUUCAGGUAAAACAAAGAUACUACAUAACCAUAGGAGAGGCAGAGGAGUAUGAGAGGGAGGCGACGCCUGCUCGACUUCGCGAGACAACUAUUCAGGCAGUGGCUGCAUCACUUCUGUAUAACACCCAUUAAGAUUUUGGGUUUCGCCAGGACCAUCCAUGGGAGUAGACCAAGCUGGGCCAAAAGCCUAAGCUUGGGUGAGUACGUGUUCUCACCGACUUUACAUUCAUGCUUAUGCUUUCACUUUGUUAGUCUGUAACAUCCCAAUUUUCUUAAAUUCGGAUGUUAAUAGAUCAUUCAUUUGCAUCUCAUAUUUUAUGCAUCAUUUCGUUCUUCUGAAAAUUCUAAUCGUUAUGUGACUGCGGGCAUUUUAUUGGAGUGGAGAUAAUAUGACAUCUCCCCCCCGUCGAAUUAAAGUGCAUAACGUUUCGAAUUUUAUUUUUGGAGUCACCAAUUUGGUUUUUUGCAAACUUUCUAAAUUCCGAAUUAUUUUUGUUGAGUUUUUCAAUCGCGUUGUGUGACCUAUUGCACAAAACUAUUUUUAAAAGUUGCAUUAGGUGGNNNNNNNNNNNNNNNNNNNNNNNNNNNNNNNNNNNNNNNNNNNNNNNNNNNNNNNNNNNNNNNNNNNNNNNNNNNNNNNNNNNNNNNNNNNNNNNNNNNNCUAUUUUCUAUUUUCAUCAUUAAUAAUUUUGACUAUCCAAACUAUUAUCUAUUUUGUUAUUUUCAAUUAAAAACUAUGUUUAUUAGAAAUUCUUUUUGCAUAUUUGAGAAUUUGACACAAAUAUGAUAAUGAAAAGUGUUUCAAAUUGAACAAAUAAUGCAAAAGUAUUUUCUAUUUUCAUANNNNNNNNNNNNNNNNNNNNNNNNNNNNNNNNNNNNNNNNNNNNNNNNNNNNNNNNNNNNNNNNNNNNNNNNNNNNNNNNNNNNNNNNNNNNNNNNNNNNNNNNNNNNNNNNNNNNNNNNNNNNNNNNNNNNNNNNNNNNNNNNNNNNNNNNNNNNNNNNNNNNNNNNNNNNNNNNNNNNNNNNNNNNNNNNNNNNNNNNNNNNNNNNNNNNNNNNNNNNNNNNNNNNNNNNNNNNNNNNNNNNNNNNNNNNNNNNNNNNNNNNNNNNNNNNNNNNNNNNNNNNNNNNNNNNNNNNNNNNNNNNNNNNNNNNNNNNNNNNNNNNNNNNNNNNNNNNNNNNNNNNNNNNNNNNNNNNNNNNNNNNNNNNNNNNNNNNNNNNNNNNNNNNNNNNNNNNNNNNNNNNNNNNNNNNNNNNNNNNNNNNNNNNNNNNNNNNNNNNNNNNNNNNNNNNNNNNNNNNUAAUGCAAAACUAUUUUUUAUUUUCAUAAUAAAUAAUUUUGAAUAAAUAAUACAAAACUAUUUUUGAACUUAUUUGAACUCCAUACUUUUUGUGUGUUCAAAAUGCACCAUUCAAAGGCACAUCACAAAAUUUCAACAAUUUCUGACUUCAUUUGGUAUUAUUCGUGCAUUUACUUAUUUUUUUUGAGCUAGUUGACUCUGAAAUUGAAAAGCACUACAAAUGAACUCUGAAAAUGUUGAAAGUUGGCAUGCUAUCAUCAUUUCACCCACAUAGCAUGUGUUAAAAAGUUGAGAGGGCUACGACAAAAACUGGAUGCAGUUCGUGUACAAAACUGACAAUCUCUCUCGAAGUAGUAGGGUUUCGAACGAGAACUCAUCUCUUACAAAGGGGUUUCAUUUUUUUGAACUUAUUUGAACUCCAUACUUUUUGUGUGUUCAAAAUGCACCAUUCAAAGGCACAUCACAAAAUGGACAAUCUUUCUCGAAGUAGAAGCGACCCCCACAAUAAGAGACGACAAUCUUCUUCUCUCAUAUAUGGUGGACACUAGCUCACCUGAUUUUUCAACCGUCGAUGAUGGUCGCUACUCCUACUUCCCCUAGUGCAUAACCAAUAUCUAGCACAAGGAGAAGAAGGAGAAGCCACCCCCACAACAAAAGUGGUUCCGCGGCACGCCACGUGGUUCCGCUGCACGCCACGUGGUUCCGCUGCACGCCACGUGGGACUAAUGGUCUUUCAUUUUUAAAUGAUUGUUUUAAUCAAAAACAGAUCUGUUACAAAAGGGAUUUCAUUUUUUGAACUUAUUUGAACUGAAGACUUUUUGUAUAUAUAUGUGGUAGAAAUGCAUGAUACCAUGAAGUUAGAAAGGGCUAAACCAUUCAAAAGUAGCAAAUGAAGUUAUAAAGGGCUAAACCAUUCAAAUUUGGAAACUAUAAUGGCACAAACAGAAACUAGACAUAUAUAAAUUGGUCCAAGAAGUACAUGAUACUAGUCCAAACAGUACAUAAUAAUAGCUACCAUAGAUAUAUAUACAAGUGUUCGACGUUAAGAACACUACUCGUCUGAAUCAUCUAAAUCAGAAUGUCCACGUUCCUCGAGGUGACGCUAGCCAUAGUUGACGACUCGAAUCUUGUGGUACAACUCGUAUGAAACGUAUGCAUCUUUUGCUGCAUACUCAAUGUUGAUAUCAUCAAGUGGGCCCUUCUCCCAAAGUCUGUGCUGAGACUUUGGGAAACUGGUCUUCAUAUCACCAUAUGACUCGUCGAUCAAGGCAACUGCCAUAUGAGCCAUCGAAGUCCUGUCAUGUCGAAGCCUGAAUAUCGUUUGGAGAUCAACGAGGCAACCAGCUGGUAUCUCAAUACCGAAGCUGUGCCUCAUCUUCAGCUUGUCGUUCCUUAUGUCAACGGAAGCAAAAGUGAUGCCGCUGCGAAGGAACUCCAUGAGUUCUGGACAAUGCUUGUCACUCCUGCAACAGAAAAAAAUUAAAAUGGAACAAAUGUUACAUACUGCUGCAAUAAGGAAACAUGUUUCACUACAACUAAAGAGAAACUUAUCUUUAGGAUUCAAAUAGAACAUAUGCAAUGGAACCUAGAGAGAUCACUAUAGCUAUCCAAUGGAACCUAGAGAGAUCACUAGCUAUAUGCAAUUUUCAUGACUAUGACAUAUCAUAUUGCUAUCCAAUGGAACCUAGAGAGAUCACUAGCUAUAUUCAAUUUUCAUAACCUUGGAUCAAAGAACACCGCAUAAAAUUGUAUCACUACAACUAUGAUUUCAAUGGAACAUAUUGAACCAAUCAGAUUUUUCAGAUUAUGGAACACUAUUCCAAUCAGAUUGUGUUUCCUUCAACUAAUCAAAAUUGUUUCACUACAACUAUUUGAAGCGAACCAACUAUGAUUCCAAUGGAACAUAUUAAACACUAGUUGAUUCUAAUACGAUUUUUCAGAUUAUCGAACACUAUUCCAAUGAGGUUGUGGUCCCCUUCAACUAAUCAAAAUUGUUUCACUACAACUAUUUGAAGGGAACCAACUAUGAUUCCAAUGGAACAUAUUAAACACUAGUUGAUUCUAAUACGAUUUUUCAGAUUAUGGAACACUAUUCCAAUUAGAUUGUGCUCCCCUUCAACUAAUCAAAAUUGUUUCACUACAACUAUUUGAAGGGAACCAACUAUGAUUGAAACAAAUAAACUUACAAUGUCAUUAUCUUGGAUCAAAGAAAGCCUCAAAACUUACCUCGCCCAUUGGAAGAUCAAGACAUGGCGUGCGAAGCAUAGUUGGAUGACGGCAACACCGCGUUGAUCGGCCGUGUACUCCAGAUCAAGCCCCAAGAACUUCUCAUGAUCUGCUGCGUGGUCAAACCAUUUUUCCUUCAACUGUUGAAGAAAAAACGGCACCUCGUUGCUCAGGUUCGUGUACACGACAUCGAGCAUCGUCGUGCCAUGUGCGAGCACCUUACGAAAGCUAGUUGGCAUGGUGGAAGAAGAGAAGGGAAGAAGAGAGGAGAAGAACAGAGGAGAAGAACAGAGAGGGCGACGCGAGAGAGAAGAAGAACGGAGAAAUGGCGACUGUACGCUUCGGUUCGUGCUUUUCAUCGCCCGAAACGACGCGGGAUGCAAACCGUUUGGGCCUUUAGUCCCGGGUUGAGCCACCAACCGGGACUAAAGAGGUAUACCAAACGGUUGCCACCACUACGGCAGGCCACCUGUUAGGCCUUUAGUCCCGGUUUGAGCCACCAACCGGGACUAAAGAGGUAUACCAACGGUCGCCACCACUACGGCAGGCCACGUGUUAGUCCUUUAGUCCCGGGUUGAGCCACAAACCGGGACUAAAGGGGGAUACGAACGGUUGCCACCACCACUGCCCGCCGCGUAGCCCUUUAGUCCCGGUUUGGGACAUGAACCGGGACUAAAGGCUCCUUACGGGCCGGGACUAAAGCCUCGAGGGAGGCAUUGAGAAUUGGGGCGACGUGGCCGGGCCUUUAGUCCCGGCCCAGAGGCAGGCCGGGACUAAAGGGUCCAGGCCAAAGGCCCGUUUUCCACUAGUGAUUCCGAGAUAUAUCGCCUUGCAACUCCCACCGUUCCGUCUCAUGACUUGUGCCGUCACUCUCAUAUUGCCAUUGCAUGAUCGUAAGAUAGCUAGCGUGAUGUUUCAACGUUAUACGCCAAGCUAGAUCGUUGGACAUCCCGGUACACUGCCGGAGGCAUUUCCUAUAGUCAUUUCAAAGCUUUGAGCUGUGAGUAAAUAAAAGUGUGAUGAUCAUCAUUAUUAGAGCAUUGUCCAUGUGAGGAAAUUAAAAAAAGAGGCCAAAGAGCCCAAAAAAAGAGAGAGAUAUGGAAAGAGGCCAAAGAUCCCAAACAAAAAAAAAAAAAAAAUAAAAAAUAGAGAAAAAGAGAGAAGGGACAAUGCUAUUAUCUUUUUCCACACUUGUACUUCAUAAUAGCACCAUGUUCUUCAAGAUUGAGAGCCUCUUGUUUCGUCACCACCAUAUACUAGUGGGAAUCUUUAUUAUAUAACUUGGCUUGUAUAUUCCAAUGAUGGGCUUCCUCAAACUUGCCCUAGGUCUUCGUGAGCAAGCAAGUUGGAUGCACACCCACUAGUUAUCCUUUUGAGCUUUCACAUACUUAUAGCUCUAGUGCAUCCUUUGUAUGGCAAUCCCUACUCAUUCACAUUGAUAUCUAUUAAUGGGCAUCUCCAUAGCCCUUUGAUACGUCGAGUCAAUGUGACCAUCUCCUCCUUUUUGUCUCACAACCACCACCACACUCUAUAUAUUCCACCUAUAGUGCUAUAUCCAUGGCUCACGCUCAUGUAUUGCGUGAUAGUUAUAAAAAGUUUGAGAAAGUAAGAGUGCGAAAACAAUUACUUGGCCAAUACCGGGGUUGUGCAUGAUUUUCAUUAGUUGUGUGAGGAUGAUGGACGAUGACACACAAGUAUAGGGGAUCAAUCGUAGUCCUUUCGAUAAGUAAGAGUGUCGAACCCAACGAGGAGUAGAAGGAUCUGACAAGUGGUUUUCAGCAAGGAAAAAUCUGCAAUCACUGAAAUUGUCGGUAACAAGUGAUUGUGUAGGGAGAUGAUUCGUAGAAAGCAACAAGUAACAAAAGUAGCAACGGUGCAGCAAAGUGGCCCAAUCCCUUUUGUAGCAAGGGACAAGCCUGGACAAAGCCUUAUAGGAGGAAAAACGCUCCCGAGGACACACGGGAAUUUCUGUCAUGCUAGUUUUCAUCAUGUUCAUAUGAUUCGCGUUCGUUACUUUGAUAGUUUGAUAUGUGGGUGGACCGGCGCUUGGGUAAUGACCUUACUUGGACAAGCAUCCCACUUAUGAUUAACCCCUCUCGCAAGCAUCCGCAACUAUGAAAGAAGAAUUAAGACAAAGUCUAACCAUAGCAUUAAACUAGUGGAUCCAAAUCACCCCUUCCGAAGCAACGCAUAAACUAGGGUUUAAGCUUUUGUCACUCUAGCAACCCAUCAUCUACUUACUACUUCCCAAUGCCUUCCUCUAGGCCCAAAUAAUGGUGAAGUGUUAUGUAGUCGACGUUCACAUAACACCACUAGAGGAAAAAACAUACAACAUAUCAAAUUGCCGAACGAAUACCAAAUUCACAUGACUAUUAUUAGCAUGACUUAUCCCAUGUCCUCAGGAACAAAAGUAACUACUCAGAAAGCAUAAUCAUAUCCAUGACCAGAGAAGUAAUGAGUAGCAUCAAGGAUCUGAACAUAAACUCUUCCACCAAGUAAUCCAACUAGCAUCAACUACAAAGAGUAAUCAACACUACUAGCAACCUUACAAGUACCAAUCGGAGUCGCGAGAUGGAGAUUGGUUACAAGUGAUGAACUAGGGUUUGGAGAUGAGAUGGUGCUGAUGAAGAUGUUGAUGGUGAUGAGUCCCCUCCGAUGAGAGGAGUGUUGGUGAUGACGAUGGCGACGAUUUCCCCCUCCGAGAGGGAAGUUUCCCCAACAGGAUCGUCCUGCCGGAGCUCUAGAUUGGUUCUGCUCAAGUUCCGCCUCGUGGCGGCGGUGAAUCCACGAAAAAGCUCCUCCUUAAUUUUUUCCUGGAUGAAACCCUUCAUAUAGCAAAAGAGGGGGGCAAGUGGGCCUGCAGGGUGCCCACAAGCCCUCAUGGCACAGCCUGGGGGGGUGGUCGCGCCGUGCAGGCUUGUUGCCACCUGCACGCCCCCCUCUGGCACUUCUUCGGCCCAGUAUUUUAGAUAAAUCGGGAAAAAAAUCCUCGUUGAUUUUUACGGCAUUUGGAGUUGCGCAGAACAGGUAUCUCAACUUUGCUCCACUUUCAGGCCAGAAUUCCAGUUGCCGCCAUUCUCCCUCUUCAUGUAAACCUUGCAAAAUAAGAUAGAAAAGGGAUCAGAAUAGUAUCGUGAAGUGAAAUAACAGCCAAAGAAGCUAUAAAUAUCAACUUGAAAACAUGAUGCAAAAUGGACGUAUCAACUCCCGCAAGCUUAGAACUCGCUUGUGCUCAAGCGAAAGCCGAGCUCAAUAAAUAUGUCCACAUGUUUAGGGAGAGAGGUGUCAACAAAACAAGAUACGAACAUGCAUGCAUCAUGAUCAAGAUCAGAACAGCAACACCAACAUAUAAUCUCUCAUGCUAAAGUGAUAAUUCCUUCACAAAGUAAAGCAUGGAUCAAGAACCUUACCGAGAAGUAACAACCGAUAGCCUUUAGUCAUUGAAACAAUUGCAAUUUAUCACAACAUCAGAAAGAGUCAAAUAAGAGCUUGUAAAGCAAAUCCACAUACUCAAUCAUUCUUUCAUUCUCUACAAUUGCUACAAAUCACGUGGUACUCAUGAGAUCAAAGUUUCAGCUGGACACAGAGAAAAAUAGGGGCUUACAGUUUUGCCUCCCAACUGCUUACCUCAAGGGUAAUGUCAACAAUAAUAAUUCAUGAAUACUUGCCUCCAAGUUGACAUAUGAAUAUAGAUCUUUCCCAAGCAUGUGACGGUAGCCAAGAUAAAGGCGAAGCAAGGAAUUGGUGAAGAUCACCAUGACUCUUUCAAGGGAAAAAAGUAAAGGUACAAGAUAGGCCCUUCGCAGAGGGAAGCAGAGGUUGUCAUGCGCUUUUUAGAUUUGGAUGCGUGUCCUCUUAGUGUAGAGGAACGUCACUUUAUAUUGCCUCCUGUGAUAAAGAACUUUAUUAUGCAGUCUGUCGCUUUUAUGUCUUCCUCAUCACAGGUUCAUAUAAAGCUUAUUUUCCACACACUAAUAGAUCAUACAUAUUAGAGAGCAAUUUUUGUUGCUUGCACCGAUGACAACUUACUUGAGGGAUCUUAUUCAACCCAUAGGUAGGUAUGGUGGACACUCAUGGCAAAACUGGGUUGAUGGUUUAUGGAUGCACAAGUAGUAUCUCUACUUAGGGCCGGAGGUUUGGCUAGUGUGAGUUGGAAGCAAACAUCACAUGCUAAGGGAUCUCUAAUCAUAUAACAUUGUUCGGAACCAAGCAAACACAAUUCAUUAUGUUGUCUUCCUUGUCCAACAUCUACUUCUAGGCAUGCAAUAGUUUAGUGAGUGUUCACAAUCAUAGAUGGUGUCAGAGAUGAUAUAUUUAUAUGUGAACCUCUCCUUCUUUAUUACUUCCUAUUAAUUGCAACAAUGACCAAGGUCUACGUUUGCCUACCCUCAACAAGUUUCAAUCCUCAUUCUUUUUAUAUGUGAAGCCAUUGAUACGUCUCCAAUGUAUCUAUGAUUUUUGAUGGUUUCAUGCUAUUAUCUUGUCAAACUUUAGAUGUUUUGCAUGCCUUUUAUUUAUUUUCUGGGACUAACUUAUUAACUUAGUGCCAAGUGCCAGUUCCUGUUUUUUCCAUGUUUUUGACCCCUUUCAUAGGAGAUUUUGAAAGGGAGUCCAAACGGAAGAAAAUCCCCGAAAAGAUUUUUUCUGGAACGGAAGACGAUCGGAGGACUUGGGAGCCAGGCCAGAAGAGCCCUAGGGGCCCCACAAGCCCCCACCCCGCGGCCAGGGGGCCGCGCCAUCCAGGCUUGUGGGCCCCCUGGAGGUCCCCUAACCUAGAUCUUGCGCCUAGAAAUUCCCAAAUAUUUCCAAAAAAAUCAAGAGACGAUCGUAAUUACUCUUCCGCCACCACAAGCUUCUGUCUCUACAAGAUCCCAUCUGAGGCAUGUCCUCGUGCCCUGUCGGAGGGGAGAUUCGGACACGGAGGGCUUCUUCAUCAACACCAUGACCUCUCCGAUGAUGCGUGAGUAGUUCACCAUAGACCUACGGGUCCAUAGCUAGUAACUAGAUGGCUUCUUCUCUCUCUUGGAUCUUCAAUACAAAGUUCUCCAUGAUCUUCAUGGAGAUCUAUCCGAUGUAAUCUUCUUUUGCGGUGUGUUUGUCGAGAUCCGAUGAAUUGUGGAUUUAUGAUCAGAUUAUCUAUGAAUCUUAUUUGAGUUUCUUUUGUUCUCUCUUAUGCAUGAUUUCAUAUCCUUGUAAUUCUCUUCGAGUUGUGGGUUUUGUUUGGCCAACUAGAUCUAUGAUUCUUGCAAUGGGAGAAGUGCUUGGUUCUGGGUUCAUACCGUGCGGUGACCUCACCCAGUGACAAAAGGGGUAGAGAGGCACGUAUCGUGUUGUUGCCAUCAAGGGUAAAAAGAUGGGGUUUUCAUCAUUGGUUUGAGAUUAUCCCUCUACAUCAUGUCAUCUUGCUUAAAGCGUUACUCUGUUCUUCAUGAACUCAAUACACUAGUUGCAUGCUGGAUAGCGGUCGAUGUGUGGAGUAAUAGUUGUAGAUGCAGAAAGUAUCGGUCUACUUGUCUCGGACGUGAUGCCUAUAUGCUAGAUCAUUGCCUUAGAUAUCGUCAUGACUUUGCGCGGUUCUAUCAAUUGCUUGACAGUAAUUUGUUCACCCACCGUGAUAUGUGUUAUUAUGAGAGAAUCCUCUAGUAAACACUAUGGCCCCGAGGGUCUACUCCACACUAUAUUUUCAGCCUUACACAUUUUACUUCGUUGCACUUUCCGCCUUCAAAUCUCACUUUGCAAACAAUCUUGAAGGGAUUGACAACCCCUUUGAAGCGUUGGGUGCAAGCUUGUUUGUGUUUGCACAGGUACUUUGGACUUUACGAGGCCCUCCUUCCGGAUCGAUACCUUGGUUCUCAAACUGAGGAAAAUACUUACUGCUCCUAUGCUGCAUCACCCUUUCCUCUUCAAGGGAAAAACCGACGCAAACCAGAGAAGUAACAAGAAGAAUUCCUACGCGCCAGGGAAGGACUAUUGUUGCUGCAGAAGAAGAAUUUCUAGCGCCGUUGCCGGGGAGGAAGAUCAAGUCAAGAACUCAUCCAAGUAGGUGUCGCAAACUCAUCUCUUGCAUUUACUUUGUUUGCCAGUUGCCUCUUGUUUUCCUCUCCCCCACUUCACCAAUUUGCCUUUUUCGUUCGCCCUUUUUCUCGCCCGCUUUUUGUUUGCUCGUGUGCCUGCUUGCUUGCUGAAGUCACCAUGAACGAAAACACCAAGCUUUGUGACUUCUCGAAUACUAAUAAUAAUGAUUUUAUUAGUACUCCGAUUGCUCCUGCCACUAGUACGGAGUCAUACGAAAUCAAUGCCGCUUUGCUGAAUCUUGUUAUGAAAGAGCAAUUCUCUAGCCUUCCUAGUGAAGAUGUCGCAUCCCAUCUCAAUACCUUCAUUGAGCUUUGCGAUAUGCAAAAUAAAAAAGAUGUGGAUAAUGACGUGAUUAAAUUGAAGCUUUUUCCAUUCUCGUUGCGAGGUCGCGCAAAAACUUGGUUUUCUUCUUUGGCCAAAAAUAGUAUCGAUUCUUGGGAUAAGUGCAAAGAUGCUUAUAUAUCCAAGUAUUUUCCGCCGGCUAAGAUCAUCUCUCUCCGUAAUGAUAUCAUGAAUUUCAAGCAACUUGAUCAUGAACAUGUUGCACAAGCUUGGGAGAGAAUGAAAUUAAUGAUUAGAAAUUGUCCCGCUCAUGCCUUGAGUCUUUGGAUGAUUAUUCAAAUCUUUUACGCUGGCUUGAAUUUCGCUUCUAGAAAUAUCUUGGACUCCGCGUCAGGUGGAACGUUCAUGGAAAUCACGUUAGGAGAAGCCACAAAGCUCUUAGACAACAUCAUGACGAACUACUCUCAGUGGCACACUGAAAGGUCACCUACUAGUAAGAAGGUACACGCUAUAGAAGAAAUUAACUCGUUGAGUGUUGCUACUGCAACAAAAGACCUUCCAACGGCGCGAGAAACAAGCGUGCGGAUGGGAGACUAUUCUUGUCUUGAUACUCCUCAGCAACGGCACCAGGAAUCUUUCUGCUACGGCUACGCCUUUAGGGACUUCCUUGGCAAAUAUGCAAAGCAUUCCCCCGUGGCCUUGUAGCCUUGCGUUGGUGUUCCCUCGAAGCGGAAAGGGUGAUGUAGCAUAGCGGCGGUAAGUAUUUCCCUAAGUUUUGAGAACCAAGGUAUCGAUCCAGUGAAGGAUUAUCACAAGUACCUGCACAAACACAAAGAGCUUGCACCUAACGCAAUGAAGGGGUUGUCGAUCCCUUAUAGAUUGUUUGCCAAGUGAGAACUGAAAGCAAAAGAAACAAAGCAAAGUAAAAGCGAAAGUGGGAACGAUAGGUGUGAAUAGACCCGGGGGCCGUAGAGUUCACUAGUGGCUUCUCUCAUGAAAGCAAGUAGACGGUGGGUGAACGAAUUACUGUCGAGCAAUUGAUAGAACCACGCAAAGUCGUGACGUUAUCUAAGGCAAUGAUUAUAUCUAUAGGCAUCACGUCCAAAACAAGUAGACCGAUACUUUCUUGAUCUACUACUAUUACUCCACACGUCGACCGCUAUCCAGCAUGCAUCUAGUGUAUUAAGUUCAUGAGAACAGAGUAACACCUUAAGCAAGAUGGCAUGAUGUAGAUGGACAAUCUCAUAUCUGUGAUAAAAGCCCAUCUUGUUACCCUUGAUGGCAACAACACGAUGCGUGCCUUGCUGCCCCUUCUGUCACUGGGAAAGGUCACCACACGGUAUGAACCCAAAACCAAGCACUUCUCCCAUUGCAAGAAUCAUAGAUCUAGUUGGCCAAACAAAACCCAAGACUCGGAGAGACUUACAAGGAUAUCGAAUCAUGCAUAUAAGAAAUCCGCAAAGACUCAAAUAUAUAUCAUAGAUAAUCUUAUCAGAAAUUCACAAUUCAUCGGAUCUCGACAAACACACCGCCAAAGAGGAUUACAUCGGAUAGAUCUCCAUGAAGAUCAUGGAGAACUUUGUAUUGAAGAUCUAAGAGAGAUAAGAAGCCAUCUAGCUACUAACUACGGACCCGUAGGUCUGAAGUGAACUACUCACGAGUCACUGGAGGGGCGAUGAUGUUGAUGUAGAAGCCCUCCAACUCCAAAGUCCCCUCCGGUAGGGCACCGGGAAGGGUCUCCAGAUGAGAUCUUGCGGAAACGGAAGCUUGCGGCGGCGGAAAAGUGUUUUCGUGGAUUCCCCCAUUUUUUCUGUAUUUUAGGGAACAUAUAGGUGAAGGAGCUAGGUCAGGGGGCCGCCAGGGAGGCCACAAGCCUGGUAGCCGCCGCCCCUGGUGGCGGCUACAGGGCUUGUGGGCCCCCUGUGGCUCUCCUGUCUUGGCCCUCAAGUCCCCUGAUCUUCUUUCGUUCUGGAAAAAUUUAUUUCGGGGAUUUUAUUCCGUUUGGACUCCGUUCCAAAAUCAGAUUUGAAAAGAGUCAAAAACACAGAAAAAACAGGAACUAGCACUUGGCACUGAAUUAAUAAGUUAGUCCCAAAAAAGAUAUAAAAGGUACAUAAAACAUCCAAAGUUGAUAAGAUAACAACAUGAAACCAUCAAAUAUUAUAGAUACGUUUGAGCCGUAUCAAAUGCUAAGAUGGAUGAGUUAAUGAAUUUGGUUGCUAGUAGAAGUGCUCCUUUGGAUCCUAAUGAUAUGCCUUUGUCUUCUUUGAUUGAGAGUAGCAACGCUAGCUUGGACGUUAAUUUUGUUGGUAGGAAUAACUUUGGCAACAACAAUGCUUUUAGAGGAAACUGUGUUCCUAGGCCUUUUCCUAGUAACCCCUCUAAUAACUUUGGCAACUCCUACAACAAUACCCAUGGAAAUUACAAUAGAUUACCCUCUCAUCUAGAGAGUAAUACUAAAGAGUUCAUCAACUCCCAAAAUAUUUUCAAUGCGUCCAUAGAGGAAAAACUACUCAAAAUUGACGAUUUGGCUAAGAGCGUUGAUAGGAUUUCUUGUGAUGUUGAUGCUUUGAAAGUUAGAUGUGCUCCUCCCAAAAUCAACAUGGAUGAAACUUUGAAAGCUAUGUGUGUUUCCAUGAUUGAGAGACAAGAAAGAACCGCCCAAAUUCGUGCUAGACAUGACUGGCUUAAAAAGGCGUGUUCUCGUGAUGAGAAUCACGAAGAUCUUAAAAUGCUUGGUGUGACUCCCAUUGAAUCUUUGUUUUCUUGUGUCAAACCUAAUGAUUAUGGGGCUGGAUGUGAACCCACUUUGGUUGAAAAGUGCCCCAAUGAUUCGGAGUCCAUCUAUCUUGAUGCUAAAAGCAUUAAAAGUGGAGUAGAAGACGUUAAAACUUUGAGUAGUAAUGAAAUUACCACCAUGGAUUUCAAGGAAUUCAAUUAUGAUAGUUGCUCCUGGAUUGAAUGCAUUUCUUUGAUGCAAUCCAUGUUGAACUCUCCACACGCUUAUAGCCAAAACAAAGCCUUUACCGAUUAUAUCGUCGAAGCUAUGAUAAAAGCUCUUGAAGAGAAACUUGAAUUGGAAGUCUCUAUCCCUAGAAAGCUUCAUGAUGAGUGGGAACCUACCAUCAAAAUCAAAAUCAAAAACUAUGAGUGAAAUGCUUUGUGUGAUUUGGGUGCUAGUGUUUCUGCGAUUCCAAAGUCUUUAUGUGAUAUUCUGGGUUUUAAUGAGAUUGAAGAGUGUUCUCUUAAUUUGGAUCUUGCUGAUUCUACUAUCAAGAAACCCAUGGGAAGGAUCAAUGAUGUUCUUAUUAUUGCAAAUAGGAACUAUGUACCCGUGGAUUUCAUUGUGCUUGACAUUGAUUGCAAUCCUACAUGCCCUAUUAUUCUUGGUAGACCUUUCCUAGGGACUAUUAGUGCUAUCAUUGAUAUGAAGGAAGGGAACAUUAGAUUUCCUUUAAGGAAGGGCAUGGAACACUUUUCUAGAAAGAAAAUAAGAUUGCCUUAUGAAUCCAUGAUGAUGGCUACUUAUGGUUUGAGCACCAAAGACGACGAUACGUGAUUCUAUCGCUAUUAUGCCUAGCUAAGGGCGUCAAACAAUGGCGCUUGUUGGGAGGCAACCCAAUGAAUUUAUCUUUUUCUUUCUGUUUCCUUGCAUCCAGACCUCCAUAAUUCUGUUGUGAUUGUGUUUUUUGUGUUUAUUUUUGUGUUUGAGCCAAGCAAAACCUUUAUGACUAGUCUUGGUAAUGGUUGUUUGAUCCUGCUGGAAAAAGACAGAAACUUUUCGCUCACGAGAUGAUUUUUAAUUUUUAUUCAGAAACUUCUUUUGAGUUGAUUCUUUUUGCUGCUAAUUUAUAUGCUUUUUCCCCAGACCUUCGUAAUUUUGCAGAUUUUUGGAGGUACCAUAAGUAUACAGAUUUCUACAUACUGUUCUGUUUUUGACAGAUUCUGUUUUUGUUGAGUUGGUUGCUUAUUUUGAUGAAACUAUGGUUAGUAUCGGGGGGUACUAGCCAUGGAAAAGUGAGAAUACAGUAGCCCAUCAUCAAUAUAGAUGGAAUUCAAGUUUUCUACAGUACCAAAAGAAGUGGUAGUUUGUUUUCUUGUACUAAUGUUAUCACAAGUUUCUGUUUAAGUUUUGUGUUGUGAAGUUUUCAAGUUUUGGGUGACGUUCUCAUGGACAAAGAGAUAAGGAGUGGAUAGAGCUCAAGCUUGGGGCUUCCCAAGGCACCCCAAGCCAAAUUCAAGGACACCAAAAAAUCCUAAGCUUGGGGAUGCCCCGGGAAGGCAUCCCCUCUUUCGUCUUCAAUCCAUCGGUAAGAUUACUUGGAGCUAUAUUUUUAUUCACCACAUGAUAUGUGUUUUGCUUGUUGCAUCUUGUAUCUUAGGAGUCUUUUAUUUUUGUUGUGUCACAAUCAUCCUUGCUGCACACCUUUUUGAGAGAGAUAGACAUGCACUCAUCAUGAUUUUGCUAGAAUGCUCAUAGUGCUUCACUUAUAUCUUUUGAGCUAGAUACUUUUGCUCAUAGUGCUUCACUUAUAUCUUUUGAGCUAGAUACUUUUGCUCUAGUGCUUCACUUAUAUCUUUUGAGCUAGAUACUUUUGCUCUUGUGCUUCACUUAUAUCUUUAGAGCAUGGCGGUGCGUGAUUUGGUAGUUGGCUUAUGCUAUGAAAGUAGUCCCAAAUGUGUUAGGUACCCAAAGAGGAUGCAAAAACCUCCAUCUUCAUGUGCAUUGAAUAGAAAGAGAAGUUUUGAUUCCUCUCAACUAGUUUUGAGAUGUGGAUUCAGCAAUAUUGAGAGUUAUGUUAGUAGGGUGUUGUGAAUCUAGAGAUACUUGUGUUGGAGUUAGUGAUUCCCGUAGCAUGCACGUAAGGUGAACCUCUAUGUUAGGAAGUCGGAGCAUAAUUGAUCUAUUGAUUGGUAUCCUUCAUGUUGAGGUCGGGAUCGCGCGAUGGUUAACACCUACCAACCCUUCCCCUUGGAGUAUGCAUUUAGCACUUUGUUUCGAUUACUAAUAAAAACUUUCGCAAUAAGUAUAUGAGUUCGUCAUGACUAAUGUGAGCCCAUGGUAUAGAUGCACUUUCACCUUCCACCAUUGCUAGCCUCUCUAGUACCGCGCAACUCUCGCCGGUGCACAAACCCACCAAAUUCCUUCCUCAAAACAGCCACCAUACCUACCUACUAUGGCAUUUUCAUAGCCAUUCCGAGAUAUAUUGCCAUGCAACUCCCACCGUUCAGUCUCAUGACUUGUGUUGUCACUCUCAUAUUGCCAUUGCAUGAUCAUACUAGAUCGUUGCACAUCCAGGUACACUGCCGGAGGCAUCUCCUAUGGAGUCAUCAUCAUUGUGAUCUUUGAGCUUUGAGUAACUAAAAAGUGUGAUGGUCAUCAUUAUUAGAGCAUUAUCCCAUGUGAGGAAAUAAAAAAUAAAUAAAUAAGAGGCCAAAGAGCCCAAAAAGAAAAAAAAAGAAAAGAUAAAAAGAGGCCUAAGAGCCCAAAUAAAAAAAGGGGGGAAAUGAGAGAAAAGAGAGAAGGGACAAUGCUACUAUCUUUUUCCACACUUGUGCUUCAUGUUAGCACCAUGUUCUUCAUGAUUGAGAGCUUCUUGCUUUGUCACUACCAUAUGCUAGUGGGAUUCUUCGUUUUAUAACUUGGCUUGUAUAUUCCAAUGAUGGGCUUCCUCAAAAGUGCCCUAGGUCUUCGUGAGCAAGUAAGUUGGAUGCACACCCACUAGUUUUCCUCUUGAGCUUUCACAUACUAAUGGCUCUAGUGCAUCUCUUGUAUGGCAAUCCCUACUCAUUCACAUUGAUAUAUAUUAAUGGGCAUCUUCAUAGCCAAUUGAUACGCCAAGUCAGUGUGACCAUCUCCUCCUUUUUGUCUCACAACCACCACCACACUCUAUUCCACCUAUAGUGCUAUAUCCAUGGCUCGCGCUCAUGUAUUGCGUGAUAGUUAUAAAAAGUUUGAGAAAGUAAGAGUGCGAAAACAAUUACUUGGCUAUUUCCGGGGUUGUGCAUGACUUACAUUCCUUGUGUGAGGAUGAUGGAGCAUAGCCAGACUAUAUGAUUUUGUAGGGAUAACUUUCUUUGGCCUUGUUAUUUUGAAAGUUCAUGAUUACUUUGCUAGUUUGCUUGAAGUAUUAUUGUUUUCAUGUCAAUAGCAAACUAUUGUUUUGAAUCUUACGCAUCUGAACGUUCAUGCCACGUGAAAUAAGUUGCAAAGGACAACUAUGCUAGGUAGCAUUCCACAUAAAAAAUUCAUUCUUUAUCACUUCCCUACUCGAGGACGAGCAUGAGUUAAUCUUGGGGAUGCUUGAUACGUCUCCAACGUAUCUAUAAUUUUUGAUGGUUUCAUGCUAUUAUCUUGUCAAACUUUGGAUGUUUUGCUUUCCUUUUAUUUAUUUUCUGGGACUAACUUAUUGACUCAGUGCCAAGUGCCAGUUCCUGUUUUUUCCAUGUUUUUGACCCCUUUCAGAGGAGAUUUUGAAACGGAGUCCAAACGGAAGAAAAUCCCCGAAAAGAUUUUUUCUGGAACGGAAGAAGAUCGGAGGACUUGGGAGCCAAGCCAGAAGAGCCCCGGGGGCCCCACAAGCCCCCACCCCGCGGCCAGGGGGCGCGCCGUCCAGGCUUGUGGGCCCCCUGGAGGUCCCCUUACCUAGAUCUUGCGCCUAUAAAUUCCCAAAUAUUCCCAAAAAAAUCAAGAGACGAUCGCAAUUACUUUUCCGCCGCCGCAAGCUUCUGUCUCCGCAAGAUCCCAUCUGGGGCACGUCCUGGUGCCCUGCCGGAGGGGAGAUUCGGACACGGGGGGCUUCUUCAUCAACACCAUGACCUCUCCGACGAUGCGUGAGUAGUGACUGGCACUCUCUGGCAAUAGCUAGAAGAAUGCUGAUUUUGUGACAACAAACCUUCCCUUGCAACGGCACCAGAAGAAUGCUACUAGCACUCCCCAGCAAUGAAACUAGAAGAAUGUUGUUGACGGCCCACCAACGCGUGGGUUCGCAGCAGUUUUCGAGGGUAGAGUAUUCGACCCAAAUUUGUUGAUCGCCAAACAGGAGGUGAGAGAAUACUCUCGAGUAUUAGCAACUGAAUGUGUCAGAUUCAACCACACCUGAAAGAUUAGUAUCUGCAAGCAAAGUAGUAACAGCAAAGUAGCGAGUAACGGCAGUGGCAAGGAACAUAAGUAGUGACAGUAGUAGCAAGUAGCAACAGUAGCAAGCGACAGUACUAGCAACAGUAGCAGUAGAGCAAGACAAGUAACAGCAGUAGCAGCAGUAGUAAUAGUAGAGCAAGACAAGUAACAGCAACAACAACAUUAGUAAUAGCAGAGCAAGACAAGUAACAGCAGAGCAAGACAAGUAACAGCAGCAACAAUAGUAGGACAAACUCGUAGGCAAUGGGUCGGUGAUUUGCUUGGAUGAUAUUCAUCAUGCAACAGUUAUAACACGGAGAGAUAUGAGGCUAGCUCUCGUUCUUCAAUGUGAUGUAGGCAUGCAUUCCGUGUGUCGUCAUACGUGCUAAGGCAAAAGAACUUGCAUGACAUCUAUUGUCCAUCCCUCCCGUGGCAGCGCGGUCCAAAAGGAAACUACGGGAUAUUAAGGUUCUCCUUUUAUUAAAGAACCGGACCAACGCAUUAGCACUUGGUGAACACAUGAACUCCUAAUACUAUGGUCUGUUGGGUAACGUAGCAUAAAUUCAAAAAAAAUCCUAUGCAUAUUCAGAUCUUCCUAUGGAGAGACCAGCAACGAGAGAGGGGUGAGUGCAUCUUCAUACCUUUGAAGAUUGCUAAGUGGAAGCGUUACUAGAACGCGGUUGAUGGAGUCGUACUCGCGGCGAUUCAGAUCGCGGUGUGAUUCCGAUCUACUGCCGAACUACGGCAUCUCCACGUUCAACACACGUGCAGCCCGGUGACGUCUCUCGCACCUUGAUCCAACAAGGAGGAGGGAGAAGUUGGGGAAGAACUCCAGCAGCACGACGGCGUGGUGUCGAUGGAGAGACGAAGUCUCCCGGCAGGGCUUCGCCAAGCACCGGCAGAGAGGAGGAGAAAGAAGGGCAGGGCUGCGCCCAGGGAGAGGGCAAAGUGUGUCUCCAACAGCCCCAAGACCCCCACUCGCCACCCCUAGGGUUCCCCCCCCCUAGGUGGUGCAGCAGCCCGAGAUGGGAGAGGGGGGCGGCGGCCAGGGCAGGGAAAGGGGGGGCGCGCCCUAGGUGGGCCUUGGGCCUCCCCUGCGCCUAGGGUUUCCCCUCCCUUCCUCUCUGGUGGGCAUGGGCUGGGUGUGGGGGGCGCACCAGCCCACCUAGGGGCUGGUUCCCUCCUACAGUUGGCCCAUGUAGCCCUCCGGGGCUUGUGGCCCCUCCCGGUGGUCCUCCGGAACCCUUCCGGUGGUCCCGGCACUUUGUCGGUGGUGCCCGAAACAUUUCCUACGUCCAAAUCCAUCCAUCCUAUAUAUCAAUCUUUACCUCCGGACCAUUCCGAAGCUCCUUGUGACGUCUGGGAUCUCAUUCGACACUCCGAACAACUUUCGGUAACCUCGUAUAACAAUUCCCUAUAACCCUAGCAUCAUCGAACCUUAAGUGUGUAGACCCUAUGGAUUCGGGAGACAGGCACACAUGACCGAGACACCUCUCCGGCCAAUAACCAUCAGCGGCGUCUGGAUACUCAUGGUGGCUCCCACUUGCUCCACGAUGAUCUCAUCGGAUGAACCACGAUGUCAAGGAUUCAAUCAAUCCCGUAUACAAUUCCCUUUGUGUGUUGGUAUAGAACUUGCCCGAGAUUCGAUCGUUAGUAUACCUAUACCUUGUUCAAUCUCGUUACCGGUAAGUCUCUUUACUCGUUCCGUAGCACGUCAUCGUGUGACUAACUUCUUAGUCACAUUGAGCUCAUGAUGAUGUUCUACCGAGUGGGCCCAGAGAUACAUCUCCCUCACAUGGAGUGACAAAUCCCGAUCUCGAUUCGUACCAACCUAACAGACACUUUCAGAGGUACCUGUAGUGCACCUUUAUAGACACCCAGUUACGUUGUGACGUUUGAUACACCCAAAGCACUCCUACGGUAUCCAAGAGUUGCACAAUCUCACGGUCGAAGGAAAAUACACUUGACAUUAGAAAAGCUUUAGCAUACGAACAAUACGAUCUAGUGCUAUGCUUAGGAUUGGUCUUGUCCAUUACAUGAUUCUCCCAAUGAUGUGAUCCCGUUAUCAAUGACAUCUAAUGCCCAUGACCAGGAAACCAUGAUCAUCUAUUGACUAACGAGCUAGCCAACUAGAGGCUUGCUAGGGACACAUUGUGAUCUAUUUAUUCACACAUGUAUUAUUAUUUCCUGUUAAUACAAUUAUAGCAUGACCAAUAGACGAUUAUCAUGAACAAGGAAAUCUGAUAAUAACCAUUUUAUUAUUGCCUCUAGGGCAUAUUUCCAAUAGUCUCCCACUUGCACUAGAGUCAAUAAUCUAGUUACAUUGUGAUGUAUCGAACACCCAUAGCAUUAUGGUGUUGAUCAUGUUUUUCUCGUGGAAGAGGUUUAGUCAACGGGUCUGCAACAUUCAGAUUCGUGUGUACGUUACAAAUCUCUAUUACUCCACUCUACACAUGGUCCUGGAUGGAGUUGUAGCGGCGUUUGAUGUGCUUCGUCUUCCAGUGAAACCUGAGCUCCUUGGCUAUGGCAAUGGCCCUAGUGUUAUCGCAGAAGAGUGUCAUUGGACCCGACGAGCUUGGAACCACUCCAAGGUCGGUGAUGAGCUCCUUCAUCAAAAUUCCUUCAUGAGCUGCUUAAGAAGCAGCUAUGUACUACGCUUCACAUGUAGAUGCUGCCACGACUUCUUGCUUGCUGCUGCACCAGCUCACUGCCCCAACAUUCAAAACAUAUACGUAUCCGGUUUGUGCCUUAGAGUCAUCCGGAUCUGUGUCAAAGCUAGCGUCGACGUAACCCUUUACGACGAGCUCUUCCUCACCUCCAUAAACGAGAAACAUUUCCUUAGUCCUUUUCAGGUACUUAAGGAUAUUCUUGACCGCUGUCCAGUGUUCCAUACCGGGAUCACUUUGGUACCUCCCUACCAAACUUAUGGCAAGGUUUAUAUUAGGUCUGGUACACAACAUGGCAUACAUAAGAGAGCCUACGGCUGAAGCGUAGGGGACAGAACUCAUCUUCUCUCUAUCUGCUGCCGUGGUCGGCGACUGAGUCUUACUCAAUCUCAUACCUUGCAAAACUGGCAAGAACCCUUUCUUUGAGUUUUCCAUAUUGAACUUCUUCAAUAUCUUGUCAAGGUAUGUACUUUGCGAAAGACCUAUGAGGCGUCUCGAUCUAUCUCUAUAGAUCUUGGUGCCUAAUAUGUAUGCAGCUUCUCCAAGGUCCUUCAUUGAAAAACUCUUGUUCAAAUAGGCCUUUAUGCUUUCCAACAUCUCUAUAUUGUUCCCCAUCAAUAAUCUGUCAUCCACAUAUAGUAUGAGGAAAGCUACAGAGCUCCCACUCACUUUCUUGUACAGACAGGCUUCUCCGUAAAACUGUAUGAACCCAAACGCUUUAAUCACCUCAUUAAAGCGAAUGUUCCAACUCCGAGAUGCUUGCACCAGCCCAUAGAUGGAGCGCUGGAGCUUGCACACUUUGUUAGCACCCUUAGGGUCGACAAAACCUUCUGGUUGCAUCAUAUACAACUCUUUCUUAAGAUUCUCGUUAAGGAACGCUGUUUUGACGUCCAUUUGCCAAAUUUCAUAAUCAUAAAAGGCGGCAAUUGCUAACAUGAUUCAGACUGAUUUCAGCUUCGCUACGGGAGAGAAAGUCUCUUCGUAGUCAACUCCUUGAAUUUGUCUAAAACCCUUUGCGACAAGUCGAGCUUUAUAAAUGGUUACAUUACCGUUUGCAUCAGUCUUCUUCUUGAAGAUCCAUUUAUUUUCUAUGGCUCGCCGGUCAUCGGGCAAGGCCACCAAAGUCCAUACUUUGUUCUCAUACAUGGAUCCUAUCUCGGAUUUCAUAGCUUCAAGCCAUUUGUUGGAAUCCGGGCCCGCCAUCGCCUCUUCAUAGUUCGAAGGAUCACCGUUGUCUAACAACAUGAUUUCCAUCACAGGGUUGCCGUACCACUCUGGUGCGGAGCGUGCCCUCGUGGACCUUCGCGGUUCUGUAGUAACUUGAUCCGAAGCUUCAUGAUCAUUAUCAUUAACUUCCUCUUCAGUUGGUGUAGGCGCCACAGGAACAACUUCCCGCGCUGCGCUACUAUCCUGUUUGAGAGAGGGUGUAAUUACCUCAUCAAGUUCUACCUUCCUCCCACUUACUUCUUUCGAGAGAAACUCUUUCUCUAGAAAGGAUCCUAUCUUGGCAACAAAGGUUUUACCUUCGGAUCUAUGAUAGAAGGUAUACCCAAUAGUUUCCUUAGGGUAUCCUAUGAAUACGCAUUUCUCUGCUUUGGGUUCGAGCUUUUCUGGUUGAAGUUUCUUCACAUAAGCAUCGCAGCCCCAAACUAUAAGAAACGACAACUUAGGUUUCUUAACAAACCAUAGUUCAUACGUUGUCGUCUCAACGGAUUUAGACGGUGCCCUAUUUAAAGUGAACGUUGCAGUUUCUAAUGCGUAUCCCCAAAAUGAUAGCGGUAAGUCGGUAAGAGACAUCAUAGAUCGUACCAUAUCUAAUAAAGUGUGAUUACGACGUUCAGACACUCCGUUGUGUUGCGGUGUACCAGGCGGCGUCAGUUGUGAAACAAUUCCACACUUCCUUAGGUGUGUGCCAAACUCGUGACUCAAAUAUUCUCCUCCACGAUCAGAUCAUAGACACUUAAUUUUUCUGUCACGCUGAUUCUCGACCUCGCUCCGAAAUUCCUUGAACUUUUCAAAUGUCUCAGAUUUGUGCUUGAUCAAGUAGAUAUACCCAUACCUACUCAAAUCAUUGGUGAGAGUGAGAACAUAACGAUAGCCACCGCGAGCUUCAACGUUCAUUGGACCACACACAUCAGUAUGUAUUAUUUCCAAUAAGUCGGUUGCUCUCUCCAUUAUUCCUAAGAAUGGAGUCUUAGUCAUCUUGCCCAUGAGGCAGGGUUUGCAUGUGUCAAAUGAUUCAAAAUCAAGAGACUCUAAUAGUCCAUCAGUAUGGAGCUUCUUCAUGCGCUUAACGCCGAUAUGACCAAGGCGGCAGUGCCACAAGUAUGUGGGACUAUCAUUAUCAACUUUACAUCUUUUGGUACUCACACUAUGAAUAUGUGUAACAUCACGAUCGAGAUUCAUCAAGAAUAAACCAUUCACCAGCGGAGCAUGACCAUAAAACAUAUCACUCAUAUAAAUAGAACAACCAUUAUUCUCUGACUUAAAUGAGUAGCCGUCUCACAUUAAGCAAGACCCUGAUACAAUGUUCAUGCUUAAAGCUGGUACUAAAUAACAAUUAUUAAGGUUUAAAACUAAUCCCGAUGGUAGAUGUAGAGGUAGCGUGGCGACGACGAUCACAUCAACCUUGGAGCCAUUCCCGACGUGCAUCGUCACCUCGUCCUUUGCCAGUCUCCGCUUAUUCCGCAGUUCCUGCUUUGAGUUGAAAUUGUGAGCAACAGCACUGGUAUCAAAUACCCAGGAGCUACUACGAGCGCUAGUAAGGUACACAUCAAUAACAUGUAUAUCACAUAUACCUUUAACGUUGCCGGCCUUCUUGUCCGCUAAGUAUUUGGGGCAAUUCCGUUUCCAGUGACCCUUUCCCUUGCAAUAGAAGCACCCAAUCUCAGGCUUGGGUCCAUUCUUUUUCUUCUUCCCAGCAUCUGGCUUACCGGGCGCGGCAACGGCUUGCCGUCUUUCUUGAAGUUUUUCUUACCCUUGCCCUUCUUGAAACUAGUGGUCUUGUUGACCAUCAACACUUGAUGCUCUUUCUUGAUUUCUACUUGUGCAGACUUGAGCAUCGAGUACAACUCGGGAAUGGUCUUCUCCAUCCCUUGCAUGUUGUAGUUCAGCACAAAACCUUUGUAGCUUGGUGGGAGAGAUUGGAGGAUUCUGUCAAUUAUAGCAUCAUCUGGAAGUUCGACUCCAAAUGAAGUCAGACGACCGUGUAACCCAGACAUUUUGAGUAUGUCCUCACUGACAGAACUGUUCUCCUCCAUCUUACGGCUAAAGAACUUGUCGGAGACUUCAUAUCUCUCGACACGGGCAUGAUCUUGAAAAACUAGCUUCAGCUCUUGGAACAUCUCAUAUGCACCGUGUUGCUCAAAACGCCUUUGGAGCCCCGUUUCUAAACUGUAUAACAUGCCACACCUAACCAGAGAGUAGUCAUCACUCCGCGUUUGCCAGACGUUCAAAAUGUCCUGGGCUGCUGCGGGAGUGGGAGGGUCACCGAGCGGCGCAUCAAGGACAUAAGCCUUUUUAGUUGUUUCCAGGAUGAGCUUCAAGUUGCGAACCCAGUCCGCAUAGUUGCUACCAUCAUCUUUCAGCUUGUUUUUCUCUAGGAAUGCGUUGAAAUUGAGGUUGACGUUGGCCAUCUACAAUAUUUAUAAAGACAACUUUCAGACUAAGUUCAUGACAAUUAAGUUCAUUUAAUCAAAUUAAGUAUGAACUCCCACUUAAAUCGACAUCCCUCUAGUCAUCUAAGUGAUACAUGAUCCAUGUUGACUAACCCGUGUCCGAUCAUCACGUGAGACGGACUAGUCACCAUGGUGAGCAACUUCAUGCUGACCGUAUUCAACCAUACGACUCAUGUUCGACCUUUCGGUCUCUUGUAUUCGAGGUCAUGUCUGUACAUGCUAAGAUCGUCGAGUCAACCUAGGUGUUUCGCGUGUGUAAAUCUAGCUUACACCCGUUGUAUGCGAACGUUGGAAUCUAUCACACCCGAUCAUCACGUGGUGCUUCGAGACAACGAUCCUUCGCAACGGUGCACACUUAGGGGAAUACGUUCUCGAAAUUUUAAGAGGGAUCAUCUUAUUUUGCUACCGUCAUUCUAAGCAAUAAGAUAAAAACAUCACAAUGCAAUCAUAUAGUGACAUGAUAUGGCCAUUAUCAUGUUUGCUCUUUCGAUCUCCAUCUUGAGGCAUCGCAUGAUCAUCAUCGUCACCGGUAUGACACCAUGAUCUCCAUCAUCGUGUCUCCGUGAAGUCAUCACGCCAACUACUACUAUCACUACUACUAUAGCUAACCGUUAGCAAUGAAGUAAAAGUAGUAUGCACAUGGCGUUGCAUCUCAUACAACAAAUUAAGACAAAUCCUAUGGCUCCUGCCGGUUGUCAUACUCAUCGACAUGCAAGUCGUGAAACCUAAUACGAUAACGUGAUCAUCUCAUACAUCAUACAUGCAACUUUGGCCAUAUCACAUCAAAUGUCAAACCCUGCAAAAACAAGUUAGACGUCCUCUAAUUGUUGUUGCAAGUUUUACGUGGCUGAUUUGGGUUUCUAGCAAGAACGCUUUCUUACCUACGUGACAGCCACAACGAUGAUAUGCCAAAGCUAUUUACCCUUCAUAAGGACCCUUUUCAUCAAAUCCAAUCCGACUAGAGUAGGAGAGACAGACACCCGCUAGCCACCUUUAUGCACGGUGUGCAUGUCUGUCGGUGGAACCAGUCUCACGUAAGCAUACGUGUAAGGUCGGUCCUGGCCGCUUCAUCCCACAAUACUGCCGGAAAAGAAUAAGACUAGUAGCGGCAAGCAAUUGACAAAUCAUCACCCACAACCUUCUGUGUUCUACUCGUGCAUAGAAUCUACGCAUAGAAAACCUGGCUCGGAUGCCACUGUUGGGUAACGUAGCAUAAAUUCAAAAAAAUUCCUAUGCAUAUUCAGAUCUUCCUAUGGAGAGGCUAGCAACGAGAGAGGGGUGAGUGCAUCUUCAUACCUUUGAAGAUCGCUAAGCGGAAGCAUUACUAGAACGCGGUUGAUGGAGUCGUACUCGUGACGAUUCAGAUCGCGGUGUGAUUCCGAUGUAGUGCCGAACUACGGCACCUCCGCGUUCAACACACGUGCAGCCCGGUGACGUCUCCCACACCUUGAUCCAGCAAGGAGGAGGGAGAGGUUGGGGAAGAACUCCAGCAGCACGACGGUGUGGUGUUGAUGGAGAGACGAGGUCUCCCGGCAGGGCUUCGCCAAGCACCGGCAGAGAGGAGGAGAAAGAAGGGCAAGGCUGCGCCGAGGGAGAGGGAAAAGUGUGUCUCCAACAGCCCCAAAACCCCCACUAUUUAUAGGAGGAGGGGAGGGGGUGCGCCACCCCUAGGGUUCCCCCCUAAGUGGUGCAGCAGCCCCAGAUGGGAGAGGGGGGCGGCGGCCAGGGCAUGGGAAGGGGGGCGCGCCCUAGGUGGGCCUUGGGCAUCCCCUGCGCCUAGGGUUUCCCCUCCCUCCCUCUCUGGUGUGCAUGGGCUGGGUGUGGGGGGCGCACCAGCCCACCUAGGGGCUGGUUCCCUCCCACACUUGACCCAUGUAGCCCUCCGGGGCUUGUGUCCCCUCCCGGUGAUCCUCCGGAACCCUUCCGGUGGUCCCGGCAUUUUGCCGGUGGUGCCCGAAACAUUUCCGGCGUCCAAAUCCAUCCAUCCUAUAUAUCAAUCUUUACCUCCGGACCAUUCCGGAGCUCCUCGUGAUGUCCGGGAUCUCAUCCGGUACUCCGAACAACUUUUGGUAACCUCGUAUAACAAUUCCCUAUAACCCUAGCGUCAUCGAACCUUAAGUGUGUAGACCCUACGGGUUCGGGAGACAGACAGACAUGACCGAGACACCUCUCCGGACAAUAACCAUCAGCGGGGUCUGGAUAUCCAUGGUGGCUCCCACUUGCUCCACUAUGAUCUCAUCGGAUGAACCAUGAUGUCAAGGAUUCAAUCAAUCCCAUAUACAAUUCCCUUUGUCUGUCGGUAUAGAACUUGCCCGAGAUUCGAUCGUCGGUAUACCUAUACCUUGUUCAAUCUCGUUACCGGUAAGUCUCUUUACUCGUUCCGUAGCACGUCAUCAUGUGACUAACUCCUUAGUCACAUUGAGCUCAUGAUGAUGUUCUACCGAGUGGGCCCACAGAUACCUCUUCGUCACACGGAGUGACAAAUCCCGAUCUCGAUUCGUACCAACCCAACAGACACUUUCGGAGGUACCCGUAGUGCGCCUUUAUAGUCAUCCAGUUACGUUGUGACGUUUGAUACACGCAAAGCACUCCUACGGUAUCCGGGAGUUGCACAAUCCCACGGUCAAAGAAAAAGACACUUGACACUAGAAAAGCUUUAGCAUACGAACAAUACGAUCUAGUGCUAUGCUUAGGAUUGGGCCUUGUCCAUUACAACAUUCUCCCAAUGAUGUGAUCCCGUUAUCAAUGACAUCUAAUGCCCAUGACCAUGAAACCAUGAUCAUCUAUUGACUAACGAGCUAGCCAACUAGAGGCUUGCUAGGGACACAUUGUGAUCUAUUUAUUCACACAUGUAUUACUAUUUCCUGUUAAUACAAUUAUAGCAUGAACAAUAGACGAUUAUCAUGAACAAGGAAAUAUGAUAAUAACCAUUUUAUUAUUGCCUCUAGGGCAUAUUUCCAACAUGGUCAUCACUGGGAGUGGUUCCGGUUAUUGUCACUCCGGGGUUGUCGGAUCAUAACACAUAGUAGGUAACUACAACUUGCAAGAUCGGAUCUAAAACACACAUAUAUUGGUGACAACAUAAUAAUUUCAGAUCUGAAAUCAUGGCACUCGGGCCCUAGUGACUAGCAUUAAGCGUGGCAAAGUAGUAGCAACAUCAAUCUCAGAACACAGUGGAUACUAGGGAUCAAUCCCCAUCAAAACUAACUCGAUUACAUGAUAGAUCUCAUCCUACUAAUCACCGCCCACCGAGCCUACGAAUAGAUUUCUCACAAACGACGAAGAGCUUCAUGGAAUUGGAGAGGAAAGAAGAUUGAUGAUGACGAUGGCGAUGAUUUCCCCUCUCCAGAGCCCAAGACGGACUCCAGAUCUGCCCUCCAAAUGAAGAACAGGUUGUGGCGGCGCCUCCGUAUCGCAAACGCGACGAAAUCUUCUCCUAUUAUUUUUUCUGGGACGAAAGUGAACUUAUAGACCUGAGAUUGGGGGCGGCAAAGCUGUGUGGGCCCCACAAGCUUGCCCACCGCCACCAGGGGGUGGCGGAGCCAGGGCUUGUGGCCCACUGGCCCACCCCCUCAGGUGGAUCUUGGAGCAGAUAUUUUUCAUAUUUUCCAAAAAUGCUCCCCGUAAAUUUUCGGGGCGUUUGGAGAACUUUGAUUUCUGCACAAAAAUAACACCAAGGCAAUUCUGUUGAAAACAAUGUCACUGCAGGUUAGUUCCAUUCAAAUCUUGCAAAUUAGAGUCCAAAACAAGGGCAAAAGAGUUUGGAAAAGUAGAUACGAUGGAGACGUAUCAACUCCCCCAAUUUUAAAACCUUGCUUGUCCUCAAGCAACUCAGUUGAAAAACUGAGAGAGAAAGAAAAACAUUGACAAACUCUGUUGGAUCUUGUUGUUGCAACUAUGUCUAACUCAUAACCAGAAUUUCAGGAAUAUCACAAGUUAACCACAUAAGCAAAUGACACAAAGGUCUCACGGUAAACUAAUAUCAAUGGCAUAAUCAGCUAACGAGCAAAUAAUAAUUAGUUUCAAAUACCAACACUUCAAUCAAAACAAGCAUGAAGCAAUAUGAAUAGGUGGUAUCUCGCUAGCUCUUUCGGAGACCGCAAAACAUAAAUGCAGAGCACUUUCAAAGAUCAAUGGCUGACUAAACAUUGUAAUUCAUAGCAACGAAGAUCCAGUCAUAGUCAUACUCAAUAUCAAUCAAAAGCAAAGCAUAAAAAUGACAAAGGUGCUCUCUAAUUGGUGCUUAUAAAAGAGGAGGAUGACUCGACAGGAAAAUAAAUAGACAGGCCCUUCGCAGAGGGAAGCAUUGAUUUGCAGAGGUGCCAGAGCUCAAGCUUUGAAAACAGAGAUAAUAAUUUUGGGUGGCAACCUUUCAUUGUCAACGCAAUGACCAAGAGUUCUCAAUAUCUUCCAUGCUACUCAUGCUAUAGGCGGUUCCCAAACAGAAAAGUAAAGUUUUAACUCCCCCACCACCAAUCAAUCACACUCCACGGCGAGCCGAAUCCUCGGGUACCGUCCAUACUAACAUCAAUCCGGGGGGAGUCUUGUUUUACAGUUAUGUUUUCGAUUUAAGCGUGGAACUGGGCAUUCCAAUUACCGGCCCCUUUCUCGUGAAUGACAGUGAAUAAACACAUGUCGAGGAUAACACUCCUAGCAUGGAAGAUACCAAUAGCCCCCUGUCACCACAUGAGCGGUUCGGGCAUGCAAAACAGAUUAUUUCUUGAAGGUUUAGAGAGUGGCACAUGCAAAUUUACUUGGAACGGCAGGUAGAUACCGCAAAUAGGUAGGUAUGGUGGACUCUCAUGGAAAAACUUUUGGGUUUAUGGAAGUGGAUGCACAAGCAGUAUUCCGCUUAGUACAAGUGAAGGCUAGCAAAAGACUCGGAAGCGACCAACUAGAGAGCGACAACAGUCAUCAAGAUGCAAUGAGUUUGACUAACAUUGAAUGCAAGCAUGAACAGGAUAUAAAUCACCAUGAACACGAACAUCAUAGAGGCUAUGUUGAUUUUGUUUCAACUACAUGCAUGAACAUGCGCCAAGUCAAGCCACUUGAAACAUUCAAAGGAGAAUACCAUCCUAUCAUACUACAUCAUAGUCAUCUCAAAAUCUAUGUUGGCAAUCAAGACAAACCAUUAUAAGCUCUCAGCUAAAUAAGCAUGGCAUCAGAAACUAUGUUCUCUAAGAUGUAAUUGCAAACAUGGUUCUCUCACAACAAAGCUAAAUCUGGGUCGACAAGCUAGUCAUAUUUACAAAAACAAAAUAGAUAGAGUUCAUACCAGCUUUUCAGUCUCAGUCACUUCAUCAUAUAUCAUCAUUAUUGCCUUUCACUUGCACGAUCGAACGAUGUGAACAAUAAUAAGAGCGCUCGUGCAUUGGACUAAGCUGAAUCUGCACGCAAACACAAAGGAGAAUACAAAGUAAUAUGGCUCUUUGAAAGCUAAACAGGUAUGCAUGCAAGAACCACUAAACAUUGAAAUCAAUAUCUUCUACCUUGACCCAAAGAAAAAGAAAACUAUUUACACGGGAAAGCUCCCGACAAGCAAAAGAAGAAAGAAAAAUCUUUUUGGGUUUUCUCAAAAGGACACAAAACAAGAAAACAAGAAAACAAAAAUAAAAUAGCAUGGAUAAUACAGUGGCAAAGUGUGAACACCGACUAUGUAGCGACCCGACUCAAGACGAGUCAAGCCUCUGGUGUUUCCGUACCAUCCCAAGAUCAUGUUGGUACACACACAGUACAUAAUGUAUAUAUUCAAGAGUGCAAUCACACAGCUUUAUUUAUCGAAAUCUCAUAAAGAGUANNNNNNNNNNNNNNNNNNNNNNNNNNNNNNNNNNNNNNNNNNNNNNNNNNNNNNNNNNNNNNNNNNNNNNNNNNNNNNNNNNNNNNNNNNNNNNNNNNNNACAAUGUUUAGUCAGCCCUUGAUCUUUGAAAGUGCUCUGCAUUUAUGUUUUGCGGUCUCAGAUAGAGCUAGCGAGAUACCACGUAUUCUUAUUGCUUCAUGCUUGUCUUGAUUGAAUUGUUGGUAUUUGAAACUCAUUAUUAUUUGCUCGUUAGCUGAUUAUGCCAUUGACAUCAGUUUACCGUGAGACCUUUGUGUCACUUGCUUAUGUGGUUAACUUACGAUCUUGCUGAAAUUCUGGUUAUGAGUUAGACAUAGUUGCAACAACAAGAUCAAAUAGAGUUUGUCAAAGUUUUUCUUUCUCUUUCAGUUUGUCAACUGAGUUGCUUGAGGACAUGCAAGGUUUUAAGCUUGGGGGAGUUGUUACGUCUCCAACGUAUCUACUUUUCCAAACUCUUUUGCCUUUGUUUUGGACUCUAAUUUGCAUGAUUUGAAUGGAACUAACCUGGACUGACGUUGUUUUCAGCAGAAUUGCCUUGGUGUUGUUUUUGUGCAGAAAUGAAAGUUCUCGGAACAUCCUGAAAAUUUACGGAUAAUAUUUCUGGAAAAUAUGAAAAAUACCUGCGCAAAGAUCCACCGGAGGGGAUGGGCCAGUGGGCCACAAGCCGUGUAGCCGCCACCCCCCUGGUGGCGGCUAGCAAGCUUGUGGGGCCCACGUGGCCCUGCUGCCCCCAAACAUAGCUCUAUAAAUUCACCUUCGUCCCAGAAAAAAUAAAAAGAGAAGAUUUCGUCGCGUUUGCGAUACGGUGGCGCCGCCACAUCCCGUUCUUCAUCUGGAGGGCAGAUCUGGAGUCCGUUUUGGGCUCCGGAGAGGGGAAAUUAUCGCCAUCGUCAUCAUCAACCUUCUUCCCUCUCCAAUUCCAUGAAGUUCUUCAUUGUUCGUGAGUAAUCUAUUCGUAGGCUCACUGGGAGGUGAUGAGUAGGAUGAGAUCUAUCAUGUAAUCGAGUUAGUUUUGACGGGAAUUGAUCCCUAGUAUCCACUAUGUUCUGAGAUUGAUGUUGCUACCACUUUGCCAUGCUUAAUGCUUGUCACUAGGGCCCGAGUGCCAUGAUUUCAGAUCUGAAAUUAUUAUGUUGUCACCAAUAUAUGUGUGUUCUAGAUCCGAUCUUGCAAGUUGUAGUUACCUACUAUGUGUCAUGACCCGGCAACCCCGGAGUGACAAUAACCGGAACCACUCCCGAUGAUGACCAUAGUUUGAGGAGUUCAUGUGUUCACCAAGUGCUAAUGCGUUGGUCCGGUUCUUUAUUAAAAGGAGAACCUUAAUAUCCCGUAGUUUCCUUUUGGACCCCGCUGCCACGGGAGGGAUGGACAAUAGAUGUCAUCAAGUUCUUUUCCCUAAGCACGUAUGACGACACACGGAAUGCAUGCCUACAUCACAUUGACGAAAGGGAGCUAGCCACAUAUCUCUCCGUGUUAUAAUUGUUGCAUGAUGAAUAUCGUCCAAACGAAUCACCGACCCAUUGCAUAUGAGUUUGUUGCACUGUUGCUGUUACUUGUUUUGCUCUGCUGCUGUUACUACUGUUGCUGCUGCUGUUACUUGCUCUGCUGUUACUUGCUACUGUUGCUACUUGGUACUGUUGCUACUUGCUACUGCUGUCACUACUACUGUUCCUUGCCACUGCUGCUACUCGCUACACUACUGCUACCUGCUACAAUACUUUUCUGGCGCCAUUGAUACAAUCGUUAGGAAUAGUCUACUGUCAACAGAUCGUUUCUGACAUCGUUGUUAUCAUAUUACUUUGUUGUUGAUACUUUGCUUGCAGAUAUUAAUCUUUCAGGUGUGGUUGAAUCUGACACAUUCAGCUGCUAAUACUUGAGAGUAUCCUCUCACUUCCUACUCGGGAAUCAACAAAUUUGGGUCGAAUACUCUACCCUCGAAAACUGCCUCGAUCCCACGCACUGGUGGGUCAUUGCAAGACGAUUUAUAACUGUUGAUCAAUCGAGAAUAUCAUUUGUCUAGCCAUUGCCAGGGAUCUGCUAAACAAAAUUUUUCUGGCGCCGUUGCCGGGGAAGCGAUUGCUAUAUUCUCUGAGUCACUUGGGAUUUAUAUCUGCUGAUCACUAUGAAGAAUCUGAAGGAUCCAAAAACCAAAGUCUUGCCCUUAACUACGAGGGGAGGUAAGGAAUUGCCAUCUAGCUCUGCACUUGAUUCACCUUCAGUUAUGAGUAAGUUUGCGACACCACCUCCUGCUAGAGAUCUUGAUAUGUCGCCUGUGCCUGAUACUGCUAGAGAUGCUAUGCCUGAUACUGCUUUGCCUCAUACUGCUAGAGAUGCUAUUUUUCCUGAUGAUGAUAUGCUUGAUACUGCUAGAGAUACUAAUUUGCCUGAUGUGCCACUAGGGGUGUUCCUUGAUGCUCAUAUUGCUAGAGUUACUUCCAAUGCUCGUGAUGCUUCUGAAACUGCCGAUACUAUUGAGAUAGAACCUGCUUUUGCUCCUGCUAGAUCUAGCUCUCCUAGAUAUGAAUUGCCUGAUAUACCUGAGGGUUAUGUUAUGGAGGGAGAGAUAGCUGAGGAUUUUCUUGCGUGUAAGGAUGCCUAUGACGCCGAGAAAUUACUUCUCAAGUGGAAGGAAAAAUCUCUGAAAGCUAGGAUGAAAUACGACCCGAAGUUUGCCACUUCAUCUAUCUUUAUCACCGAUAAGGAUUAUGAAUUCUUUGUCGACCCUGAGAUAAUCUCUCUAGUCGAAUCUGAUACUUUCCACGGUUAUGAGUGUGAGACGGUCGUAACCCAUCUUACCAAACUACACGAUAUAGCCACCCUUUUCACUAGUGAGGAGAAGAUCCGCUACUACUAUAUCCUUAAGCUGUUUCCUUUCUCUCUAAAGGAUGAUGGUAAAGCCUGGUUCACUUCUCUUGCUCCUGGAUGUGUGAGUGGUCCCCAGGAUAUGGUCUAUUAAUUCUGUGAGAAAUAUUUCCCUACCCACAAGAAGCAAGUUGCCUUGCAGGAAAUAUACAACUUUGCUCAACUCCAAGAAGAGAGUCUCCCACAAGCUUGGGGGAGGCUCAUGCAGCUACAGAAUGCUUUGCCUGAUCACCCUCUUAAGAAGAACGAGAUACUUGAUAUCUUCUAUAACGGACUUACCGAUGCUUCUAGAGACUACCUAGAUAGUUGUGCCGGUUGUGUUUUUAGGGAAUGAACUAUAGAACAAGCUGAGACUGUACUGAAUAACUUCUUGAUCAACGAUAAUGCUUGGACUAUUCCCGAACCACCUCCUAUGCCAACUCCUAAGAAAAGAGGUAUUCUAUUCCUCUGUCCCGAAGAUAUGCAAGAAGCCAAGAAAUCUAUGCAAGAGAAAGGCAUUAGAUAUGAAGAUGCCAAAAAUCUACCACCUAUCGAAGAGAUCCAUGGUCUCGGUAACCCGAUACAAGUAGUGAAGUGAAUUCUCUGCAUAGGUUUGAUGAGAGUGAUAUUCCUUUUGACAAACCUGCUAGCCUAUGCUUUGAUGACUUUGACAACUUUGUUGCCAAACAACAGAGUUUCAAUGAUUAUGUUAGCAGACAUUUGGAACAAAGUACUCAUAUGCUUAGCCAUUUAAGUGCUUGUGUAGACAGAAAUGUUAAUGAUCUGAAGCUUCUGAGUAAACAUGCCUCUAUGAUUACUACUCAUGUAGAACAAGUACUUAAAUCUCAGAAUGGCUUGCUCAAUGAAUUAAAUGACAACUCUGUCAGAGUCAUUACUUGAGGAGGCAAAAUGACUCAGGAACCUUUGUAUCCUGAAGGCCAUCCUAAGAGAAUUGAUCAAGAUUCUCAAGGAAUUAAUGCUGAAACACCCAGUCAUCCUAAGGAGAAGAAGAAGGAUGAUAGAAACCUACAUGCCAGUUCACCAAAUACGGUCACACCGGAAGAACCUAAUGAUAUUUCUGCGUCUGAUGCAGAAACAAAAUCUGGUGAUGAACAUGAACCUGGUGACAAUAUGGACAGUGAUGUUAAUAAUAAUGCUCAACCUAGCAAUGAUGAGGAUGUGGAGAUUGAACCUACGGUUAAUCCUGAUAACCCACAACCUAAGAGAUACGAUAAGAAUGACUUCGCUGCUAGGAAGCAUGGUAAAGAAAGGGAGCCAUGGGUUCAGAGACCUAUGCCCUUUCCUCCUAAACCAUCCAAGAACAAGGAUGAUGAGGAUUUUGAGCGCUUCGUUGAGAUGAUAAGACCCAUCUUUCUGCAGAUGCGGUUAACUGAUAUGCUCAAAAUGUCUCCGUAUGCCAAGUACAUGAAAGAUAUCGUGACCUAUAAACGGAAGAUACCAGAUCUUGAGAUCUCCACCAUGCUUGCCAAUUACACUUUCAAAGGUGGAACCCCUAAGAAACUUGGUGAUCCCGGAGUGCCCACUAUACCUUGCUCCAUUAAAGGAAACUACGUAAGAACUGCCUUAUGUGACCUUGGAGCCGGUGUUAGUGUUAUGCCGCUCUCUCUUUAUCGUAGACUUGAAUUGGAUAAGUUGACACCCACUGAAAUUUCUCUGCAAAUGGCUGACAAAUCAACUGCUUUCCCUAUCGGCAUUUGCGAGGAUGUGCCUGUUGUGGUUGCUAACACGACUAUCUUAACAGACUUUGUUAUCUUGGAUAUUCCCGAGGACGAUGCCAUGGUUGUCAUCCUCGGAAGACCCUUUUUAAACACUUCAGGGGCUGUUAUAGAUUGCAACAAAGGCAAUGUCACUUUCCAUGUCAACGGUAAUGAGCAUACAAUGCACUUUCCGAAGAAACGAUAUCAAGUACAUUGCACCAAUGCUAUCGAAAAGACUUCAUCGAUUCUUAUUGGGAGCUUUGAAUGCCCUAUUCCUCGUGUCAAGAUGAAGUAUGAUUUGCUUGUUGGGGAGAUACAUAUCCCCAUUGAGGUGACUUAGUGGCUAUUCGACAAUUCUCCGUUUCUUCUUGCGAUUCGAAAAGGUUUUGUCAUGAUGGUUUGAUCAACCCCAUUGACGGAUUUCUUUCGAUAACCAUGAAAUGGAUGAAUCAAAGAGUCACAAACCUCUGUUUUAAGCUUUCACUUUAUGUUGCUUAGAAGAAAAAUGAUAGAUUUAGUUUAGUUUUUCCUGUUUUCCGUUUUAGCUCCCGGGGAAGAAUACCCCGAAAAUAAAAGUUCUCCGACGGUCCUGAAAAUCUAGUAUGAUUUUUUCUGGAAUAUUUGAAAAAUACUGGGCCUGAGAGCUGGCCCGGGGGCCAAACCAGUGGGCCACAAGCCCUGCAGCCGCCGCCCCCUGGUGGCGGCUAGCAACCUUUUGGGGCCCACAGUGACCCCCUCCACUCAUUCCAGCUCCCAUCCUCUACUUCUACCUCCAGAAAAAAUUGUUUCGCAGCUCAAACACGUGUUCUUGCUCAUUUGGCUGUGAUUUUCGAUCUCCUUGCUCAAAGCACCAUUCUCCAAACCAUUUUGGGGAAAUUACUCCUUGGUAAGUGACUCCUCCAUUGGUCCAAUUAGUUUUUGCUCUAGUGCUUUAUCCUUCGCGUAUUCUUGCUACCUUGGUGACCAUGUUCUUGAGCUAGAAAUGUUGAUUUAGCUAGUCCGAAGUAGUUUUAGCGCAUGAUACGGUCUCUAGGCACUAGUAGGAGUAGUUUCUACGAGUUGGGUUAAUCUUUAUUCACUUUUCUUUCGAAGUCUCUAAAAAUUUCAGAAUUUUUCAGAGCUAGAAAAAGGAAAAGAUGAGGAGGUUCUUGAGAGGAUCUUCAAGCCGUAACCCCAAGGAGGAUGAGAAGAACCACCCCAAGUAUGUGGUUCCUUGAGUCACAGAAGUUCGAGCGUGCGAGUGGCCAAGUGAUGAAUUUUUACGCGCCGCUGGGCUUUAUGAAGACUUUUAUUACUUGGUGGAGAACACAGGUCUUAUUGCGUUCGUUGAAGAUAAGUGUUUGCAAUACCUCCUCCUCACCAAUAUUUUCGUUCAAAGCUUCAACUUUUAACCGAGGAAGAAUCCUCCCAUGGUUGAGUUCAUGAUAUACGGCAUCCCCUAGUGCAUGACACUACAGGAUUUUUGCAAUGUAUGCAAAUUACCUUAUGUUGGGGAUAUCCGUGACCCUCGUCCACGGGACUUGGAGGAUUUCAUUGGUACUAUUGCUGUUGGAGAGGAGAGAGGAGUGUCUCGCGCCAGGAUCGCUAGCAUACAUUUUCCUGUGCUUCAGUACUUCUCAUUAUUUGUUGGAAAAUGUUUGAUUGGCCGUGGGGAGGCUGGAUCACUUAGCUCUCCAGACCUUGCUGUUCUGCGCAAAGGCCUUUAUAAUGAUAAGACUUAUAGCCUAGGUUUUAUAGUAGCCCAGCGGUUGAACACCAACCAUUCCAACGGUGUCGUCUAUGGAGGUAUCUAUGCUACCCGUCUUGCCAGACACUUUGAGAUACCCGUUAGACUGGGAGAGGAAGGAGAGAUCCUUCUCCCUGAGAAAUAUCUGGAUUGUGACAGCAUGGUUCGCCAUGAUUUUCUGGAUAGAGAUGCUAGUAGACGGAUGAUUUAUAACUUGGUAUUUAGUCAGGGUACUCGAGAGACUAUUACUUUGCCUGCUUCUUCUUUGUUUGAUCUUCAUGCAGCUAGGUACACUAUUAUGCCCUCGGACAUCUACGCAUAUUGGGGCUUGGCCCAACCACAGGUGCCCGUGCCCGAGCCGCCAGUCGAGUACCAUAUGCCAGUUUAUCAGUGGGAGCCAGAGGAGCUCACAUAGCAGUGGCAUCCACAGUCUGCUCCGGAGUAUCCUGGAGCUCGUUAUUUCCUGCCUUGGGAGUAGACCAAGCUAGGCCAAAAUCCUAAGCUUGGGGGAGUACGUGUUCUCAUCGACCUUACAUUCAUGCUUAUGCUUUCACUUUGUUAGUCGGUGUUUACACUUUGCCACUGUAUUAUCCAUGCUAGUUUAUUUUCGUUUUCUUGUUUUCUUGUUUUGUGUCCUUUUGAGAAAACCCAAAAAGAUUUUUCUUUCUUCUUUUGCUUGUUGGGAGCUUUCCCGUGUAAAUAGUUUUGUUUUUCUUUGGGUCAAGGUAGAAGAUAUUGGUUACAAUGUUUAGUGGCUCUUGCAUGCAUACAUCUUUAGCUUUCAAUGAGCCAUAUUACUUUGUCUUCUCCUUUUGGUUUGCCUACAGAUUCAGCUUAGUCCAUUGCACGAGCACUCUUAUUAUUGUUCACAUAGUUCGAUCAUGCAAAAUGAAAGGCAAUAAUGAUGAUAUAUGAUGAAGUGACUGAGACUGGAAAAGCUGGUAUGAACUCUAUCUAUUUUGUUUUUGUAAAUAUGACUAGAUUGUCAUGCCUGAUUCAGCUUUGUUGUGAGAGAACCAUGUUUGCAAUGACAACUUAGAGAUCAUAGUUUCUGAUGCCAUGCUUAACUAGCUGAGAGCUUAUAAUGGUUUCUCUUGAAUGCCAACAUUGAUUUUGAGGUGACUAUGAUGUAGUAUGAUAGGAUGGUAUUCUCCUUUGAAUGAUUCAAGUGGCUUGACUUGACGCAUGUUCAUGCAUGUAGUUGAAACAAAAUCAACAUAGCCUCUAUGAUGUUCGUGUUCAUGGUGAUUUAUGUCCUGUUCAUGCUUGCAUUGAAUGUUAGUCAAACUCAUUGCAUCUUGAUGACUGUUGUCGCUCUCUAGUUGGUCGCUUUCCAGUCUUUUGCUAGCUUUCACUUGUACUAAGCGGAGUACUGCUUGUGCAUCCACUUCCAUAAAACCAAAUUAUUUUCCAUGAGAGUCCACGAUACCUACCUAUUUGCGGUAUCUACGUGCCAUUCCAAGUAAAUUUGCAUGCCACUCUCUAAACCUUCAAGAAAUAAUCUGUUCUGCAUGCCCGAACCGCUCAUGUGGUGACAGGGGGCUAUUGGUAUCUUCCAUGUUAGGCAUGUUAUCCUCGACAUGUGUUUAUUCACUAUCAUUCACGAGAAAGGGGCCGGUAAUUGGAAUGCCCAGUUCCACGCUUAAAUAGAAAACAUAACUGUAAANNNNNNNNNNNNNNNNNNNNNNNNNNNNNNNNNNNNNNNNNNNNNNNNNNNNNUUACAAUGUUUAGUCAGUCCUUGAUCUUUGAAAGUGCUCUGCAUUUAUGUUUUGCGGUCUCAGAUAGAGCUAGCGAGAUACCACGUAUUCAUAUUGCUUCAUGCUUGUUUUGAUUGAAUUGUUGGUAUUUGAAACUCAGUAUUAUUUGCUCGUUAGCUGAUUAUGCCAUUGACAUUAGUUUACCGUGAGACCUUUGUGUCACUUGCUUAUGUGGUUAACUUGUGAUCUUGCUGAAAUUCUGGUUAUGAGUUAGACAUAGUUGCAACAACAGGAUCAAACAGAGUUUGUCAAAGUUUUUCUUUCUCUUUCAGUUUGUCAACUGAGUUGCUUGAGGACAAGCAAGGUUUUAAGCUUGGGGGAGUUGAUACGUCUCCAUCGUAUCUACUUUUCCAAACUCUUUUGCCCUUGGUUUGGACUCUAAUUUGCAUGAUUUGAAUGGAACUAAACUGGACUGACGCUGUUUUGAGCAGAAUUGCCUUGGUGUUGUUUUUGUGCAAAAUUGAAAGUUCUCGGAACGUCCUGAAAAUUUACGGAGAAUAUUUCUGGAAAAUAUGAAAAAUACCUGCGCAAAGAUCCACCGGAGGGGAUGGGCUAGUGGGCCACAAACCCUAUAGCCGCCACCCCCUCGUGGCGGCUAGCAAGCUUGUGGGGCCCACGUCGCCCUUCCGCCCUCAAACUUAGCUCUAUAAAUUCACUUUCGUCCCAGAAAAAAUAAAAAGAGAAGAUUUCGUCGCGUUUGCGAUACGGAGGCGCCGCCACAUCCCGAUCUUCAUGUGGAGGGCAGAUCUGGAGUCUGUUUUGGGCUCCGGAGAGGGGAAAUCUUCGCCAUCGUCAUCAUCAACCUUCUUCCCUCUCCAAUUCCAUGAAGCUCUUCAUCGUUCGUGAGUAAUCUAUUCGUAGGCUCGCUGGGCGGUGAUGAGUAGGAUGAGAUCUAUCAUGUAAUCGAGUUAGUUUUGACGGAGAUUGAUCUCUAGUAUCCACUAUGUUGUGAGAUUGAUGUUGCUACCACUUUGCCAUGCUUAAUGCUUGUCACUAGGGCCUGAGUGCCAUGAUUUCAGAUCUGAAAUUAUUAUGUUGUCACCAAUAUAUGUGUGUUUUAGAUCCGACCUUGCAAGUUGUAGUUACCUACUAUGUGUCAUGACCCGGCAACCCCGGAGUGACAAUAACCGGAACCACUCCCGAUGAUGACCAUAGUUUGAGGAGUUCAUGUGUUCACCAAGUGCUAAUGCGUUGGUCCGGUUCUUUAUUAAAAGGAGAACCUUAAUAUCCCGUAGUUUCCUUUUGGACCCCGCUGCCACGGGAGGGAUGGACAAUAGAUGUCAUGCAAGUUCUUUUCCCUAAGCACGUAUGACGACACACGGAAUGCAUGCCUACAUCACAUUGACGAACGGGAGCUAGCCACAUAUCUCUCCGUGUUAUAACUGUUGCAUGAUGAAUAUCAUCCAAACAAAUCACCGACCCAUUGCCUACGAGUUUGUCCUACUCUUGAUGUUACUUGUUUUGCUCUGCUGCUGUUACUACUGUUGCUGCUGCUGUUACUUGCUCUGUCGUUACUUGCUACUGUUUCUACUUGCUACUGUUGCUACUUGCUACUGCUGUCACUACUGCUGUUCCUUGCCACUGUUGCUACUUGCUACACUGCUGCUACCUGCUACAAUACUUUUCUGGCGCCAUUGAUACAAUCGUUAAGAAUAGUCUGCAGUCAACAGAUCGUUUCUGACACCGUUGUUAUUAUAUUACUUUGUUGUUGAUACUUUGCUUGCAGAUAUUAAUCUUUCAGGUGUGGUUGAAUCUGACACAUUCAGCUGCUAAUACUUUAGAAUAUUUUUUUGCUUCCCUUGUGUGAACCAACAAAUUUGGGUUGAAUACUCUACCCUCGAAAACUGUUGCGAUCCCAUACGCUUGUGGGUUGUCAAUAGACUGUUCGGAAAGUUGAACAUGACAUCACUAUAGACUGUUCGGAAAGUUCAAAGAUUCGAUCAGUAUAGACGAACAUGACAUCUGGAUUAUGAAAGUAUAGCUGGACUCACCCACUCGAUGUGAUUAUGACUUGAGUAGUCGUCCCUGGUGCUCAGGUGGGCAAACUCUUCCUAUUCUCCUUUAAAGAGAUCAGCCAGAAUGACAACCAUUUCUGCCUGGUCGGCGGGAUCCUUCCGUUUGUAGCGGGUCGCGUCACUUAUGACAUUAUAAUGUCAUAAGGGAUGCAUCCUUUGUUAGAGAGGUUGGACGCAUCGAGCAAUAGUAGUGGCCAUCACAUCAAUGAUGGUUAACUUACUGUGAUCUAGCAACCUCACCUUGCUGGUGAGAUUCUUCACUUCGGCGCUCUCCUCUUGGGAAGGAUUUUUUGGACGCCAGAUAAACCGUUUCUUUAAAGGAGCAGUUGAGUAUUCGGGUAGACCCCUCCGAGCUGGAUCGAAUAGGGGGGCGUCCUCGAUAUAAAACAACUCUGGGUCCACUCUUUGGAAUCCUUCUUUAGAGUCCCAAUAGGAUACCCCGUUAUAGCUAUGCACCAUUCUUUGGCUCCGCCAACUUUAAUGACAGUCUCUCAUUGGGUGCGGGGGACAAGGCGGAAUUUUUUUCUACACAAUUCAAAAUGGGCCUCACAGCCCAAGAACAUCUCACAAAGGGGUCCCGAGAUAUGGCGAAUAGAUCCAAGCGUAAUAUGAUGAAGCUGGAUUUCGUAAAACCCCUUAGGAAGGGGUGAAUGGGGAAGCCUAAACCUCGUAAGAGGAAGUGGACGAAGCGUACCCUCUCUUCCUUGCGUGGGAUUGGGAAGUUCUCUGCAAAGGCCUCGCCGUUCUCGGAAGUUAAUUCGGGGAGGGUGGACGCUAGAUCUGAAGUAGGAAGGUAUCCUUGCGCUUCAAGACCGCUUAAUUGCAGACGGGAUACAGAGCAGCUCGCACGGUCCCCUCGGAGGGGGCCAUGAGGGCAUGACGAAGAGCUUGGAACGCUUGACAUGUGUCCAAGUUCCUUGGUUUGUUUCUCUCGAUGGUUGGGGAAUAAGAUCUGUUGUUUGUGGCACGCCCAACCUUUUUAGUAGGUGUUUUUCCCCUAACCCACGAAGGGUAUUUCUAUAAGAGACUGUUGGACCGUUCGCCUCUUAUCGACGCACAGGAAUCGAGGGGUGUCAUUAAUUUUGUGCAGCGAAGUCAAUAUUAUGGAUCCCGCAACGCUUUGACAUUCAGGAACACAACGAUGGCCGAAUUGACCUCAUCCGAACAUAAAAGUGGAGAAGAACUCGCCCAGCAAGCCGAAGACUUUGGGUACGAGAAGCUGCUAGGGAAUCAGGGCUACGACAUUGAAGGCCAAUUCGGGGGCUACUAAAGGAGUCCGAGACUAAGGGGUCCUCGGGCCGCCGGCCUAUCUCUACGGGUCAGACUCAUGGGUCGCUCUAUGACUAUCAUUGAAGGGCUGGACUAUAAGACGAUGUUGUGUUCAAGAUGGGAACUUCCGAAGCCUUGGUGUGUGCUCCAAGUUAAGAUUAUAAUAUCGGCAUGUUUAUUCCCUGAGUUAACCGAUCAUAUAACCCUAGGUACCCAUGGUGUCUAUAUUAACCAGAGGGUUUUAGUUCGUAGAUAACAUCGACGUAACCAUCAUCUAGGGUUUAGUUCAUCUCAUCUCGUGGUAGAUCGACUCUGUAAUUGUCAUAACUCAUCAAUAUAAUCAAGCGGGGCGUAGGGUUUUACCUAUUCGAGAGGGCCUGAACAUGGGUAAAUUAUGUCCAUGUGUCCCCCGUUACCCAUCAAUCCAAGAUCUACAGCUCGGGACCCCCUACCCGAGAUCCGCCAGUUUUGACACCGACACUAACCCUAUCGAUUCCCUCUUAACAGUGCGGGAUCACUUUACUCAAGAACAAAAGAAAGCGAGAGCUGAAAACCUCUUUGUUCCUUCUUCUUUAAGUCAUAUAAAUUCCAUGCGUCCGUGAUCCGCACCUAUUGUCACUUGAGGCCUAAUACAUGAGAUUUACUUGAUAAACAUAGUUAGUCCUCUACAUGUACAUUGUCAUCAAUAUUGAAAUAUCGAAAUAUGAUAUAAGGGCAUGAUUGCACUACGAGUUGGACAGACUAGCAAAUACUCCUCUUUUAGGAUAUACCACUACAUUCGUCACAAGAAAGAUAUAUAACAAUCCUAUGUUCUAACAUGUGUGGAAGGCUUCCAAUAAAUUGAGGCAUAAGAUAUUUUUCUGGCUGAUGCUCGAUGACAGGGUGAAUACCAAGAAUCUACUCAAGAGGAAGAAUAUGUAUCUAGAGUGUUAUGAUUGUGUUUUUUCCAAUGCAAAUGCAGAAGAAACACCCAUACACUCUUUUGGGGACUUUGAUUUCUCUCAAGGCUGUUAAUAUGACAAGUCAUAAUGUGUUUAUGACAAGUCAGAAUGCCGAUCCUUGUUCUCAGUAGUAUCCUUUCUCUCUUCUUGUGUUUUGUCUUGUGUACGUAGCUAUAACUGGUUGGCGAGUGAAUCGGAUGACAACACAGUCCGCAGGUACCACCGUACCAGUAGCAUCACCGCAUCAAAGAUCAGAACUGACGUGGACAUGGGAGCUACCGGACCUGUUCUAGCUAGCUAGCCCUCUUUGUAGGUCGAGUGUAGGCUGCCACUAGAAAUGGCACAUGAUCCUAGUGGGUGUCGGGGUGUGCAUAACUGCAUACUAUUGUCAAGAAACGGAUGAUGGACUGAUGAGUGAUGACCGUGUCAGAGUAGUUCGAUCCGGCUAGUGAUGUGUGACGGUGAAGCCGAUGAUCAACCGCUCACCUAAUAACCGAGGGACGCAACCAUGGUCUCGUCGCCGUUAGCUGACUCGUGCCCCGAAGAACAACCUUGAGAGUUCGUUGUCACCAGAAGCCCUCGUGCUCAGGCUUGAAGGAGGCUCAAGCUCAAGCCGCAAUUUCUUCUUGGAGAGCGACUCGCGUUAGUACGGACCCAUCUCACAUUUCAGAGGCUCAAGGGCAACGCUUGGCAUCCGAAGAUCGAGGAUGAUGUGACUACGUUCGAGAAAAUAAUACCAUUUCCAAUCCAUGUUAAAUCUAUGUUAAUUGUCGUUGAUUUUUAGAAAUUUUAAUACAGACCAUAUAAAAAUGUAUAUAGAUAUAUUUGAAAGUCUAAAUUCAUCCAUUAUGUUUCGUACAAAGUUUAUAUUAAGAAAAUAAAAUGUUUGUCGCAUGAACAUUUUUUAGAACCGGGCUUCUCCCCUUUCCAUUAAAUACAUAACGGAAAUACACAGUUUCGUUCCGAGAUCAGAAAGAGAAAAGGGAAAGAGAGAGAGAGAAGCGAGCUCAGAGCAAUACUAGGAAACCCACCACCUUGCGCCUGUCAUCAGGAACACAAGGCUAUGGGGCGAAAACCUAGCAUCACCCAAAACCUCACCACACCCCUAAGGAGGAUAGAUCAACAUCCAGUACCACGUUUGAGCACGACCAGAAUACGAACCAGAAAUGCAACAUGCCUCACAGGGCCAAAACAGAGUAAAACACCACAUCACCAGGACCAUCAUACUCCGAGCGCAUCACCAUUCGUCCCAGUUAUCACCCUCCUCAUCCUGCUUGCUGUUAUCUGGCAUUGGAGGUCCACAGAGUAGCAGCAUCUGCGAAGCGUCUGCUUUCAACACCUCCGCACCUUUUUUCAUCACCUCAGCCAUCUCUGGCUUCUGCAACCCUGUCCAGUAUAAUAUAAAAGCACAAGUUGUGAACACAAUUUCAAACGGAUUAUUAAUCCAUUUCUUUUUAAAAGUAGCACGGUUACGUGCAAGCCAUAUUGCCCAGCAUAUAGCAGCUAGACCAAUGGUAUAAACCUCUGGGCAGGAAGGUAAGAAAGAGUUGAUCCAAACAUAAUAUUGCCACAUGGAAUUAGGGAUAUAUUCAGUACCCAGCAUCGAGCCCACUGUUCUGCAGACAACUCUAGCAACAGGACAAAGAAACAUAAUAUGUUGGGCAGAUUCCUUCUGAUCACAGAAAGAACAUGUAGGAUCCCCUUGCCAUUUUCUUUUUUUGAGAUUGUCUCUCGUUAGGAUAGCAUCCUGGCACAUCUGCCACAUAAAAAUUUGAAUUUUCAAAGGCAUCUUAGAUUUCCAAAUCCAUUUAUGAUUAGACCCAGCCAAGUUUCUUUCUAACCAACGAUACAUAGACUUGGUAGUAUAUUCAUGAGUACUAUCUAGUUUCCAAAAUAUUUCAUCACUUUUUUCCUUGUCCAUUUUACUUAUCACAUAACUCUUGAGCUCGUCCCACCUCAUUUGCAUAUCACUAUUAAAUCUUCUACGAAUGGAGUUGCAAGGAUUCAUGGAUUCAAUUUUAUUCACAGUGGUAUUUUGCUCAGUGCAAAUCUCAAAAAGAUCAGGGAACUUAUCUUUCAUAUUAGAAUUGUCACCCAGAUCAUCAUACCAAAGACUGGCAAUAUCACCCUUAUUCACCUUGAUCCCUCUCCCAGCAAUAUAAUUAUCUCUAACCUUCAAAAGAGCUUUCCAACAGGGGGAAUCAUUUGCUUUCUGCUUAACCAUCAUAACAGGUGAUUUUUUGAGGUAUUUGGCUCUCACUAUGUCUUGCCAUAGCCCCUCUUUUUUCUCUAAUUUCCACCACCACUUAGUCAACAAACUAAUAUUUUGUUUUCUCAGAUCUUUAACCCCAAGGCCCCCUUUAUUUUUUGAUCUACAAAUUCUCCCCCAUUUUACCAUAUGAUAACCUUUUUUGUUACCAUUAUGAUGCCAGAAAAAUUUCCUUCUGGGCUUAUCCCAUAUCUCCAGGGUAGAUUUAUUAACCAAGAACAUAGACAUAUAAUAAGAAGGGAUAUGGGAGAGAACAACAUUAACUUUGAUAAGCCUACCCGCACUGGAUCCAUGAUUCAUCAUGUCUGACAAAUUUAUCAUCCACAAACAUCCAGUCACAACUUUUGAGACCAGCAUAGCUAACAGGAACUCCCAAGUAUUUAAUAGGAAAACUUCCAAUCUCACAGUUGAACAUCUCAGAAUACUUCCUGACAGUAUCAUCAUCAGCCCCUAGUGAGAAGAUUUCACUUUUUAAGAAAUUAAUUUUCAAGCCUCACAUAAUAGUAGUUUAAUAUUCAGCACUUCCCUAGGGUUAUCUUCAAAGCAAAGAAUAGUAUCAUCUGCGUAUUGCAGAAUAGCAACCCCAUGUUCAACCAGGUCAGAUGCCAGCCCUUUAAAAAGGCUAUUUUCCUGUGCAUUAAGAACCAUCUUGGUCAGGCAAUCAGCUGCAAGAUUAAACAAAAAAGGGGAGAGAGGAUCUCCCUGCCUCACACCUUUAGCACUUUGAAAAUAAUCCCCACUUCAUCAUUCAGUUUCACACUAACAGUUCCUCCUACCAAAAUGUUCUUAAUCCAGCUCAUCCAUUUGGGAUUAAAGUUUCUCUUAACAUGACAUUCAAGCAGGAAGUCCCAGUUGACUUUGUCAUAGGCUUUUUCAAAAUCAAGCUUAAGCACUAUCCCAGGUUUCUUACGACUAUAAGAAUAGUGUAGAAUUUCAUGGAGAGACAUAAUACCAUCCAUAAUAUCUCUACCCUUAAUAAAAGCAUUUUGGUUUCUGCUAAACAACGUAUCAACAAAAGGUUCAAGUCUGAUGGUGAGCACUUUGGUGAUAAGUUUAUAAAUGCAUCUGAGCAAACAAGUUGGUCUAAAUUGCUGAAUCUUAUCAGCCCCAACCACUUUGGGCAGUAAAGUAAUGAUCCCAUAGUUGAGUCUUUUCACAUCUAUAUCAUCUUUAUAGAACCAAUCAAAAAGCAUUUUCACAUCAUCCUUAACUAUACCCCAACAGCUUUGAAAGAAUUCAAUUGGAAUAUUAUCAGGGCCUGGAGCUUUAUUAUGCUUCAUAGAAAAUAAAUCAUUCCUGAUUUCCAACUCUGAAAAAGGUCUAAUUAAUAUGAAGUUGUCUAUAUCCCUUAGUGUUUCCUGUUCUUUCCACAUGUUGUUAUUAAUCCCACACAUGUUCCCAGGGGCAGGGCCAAAAAGCUCCCUAUAAAAGUUUGUGGCAUGGUCCAAAAGAUUCUUGUUUCCCUCAAUAACAACCCCAUCACAACAAAGGGAUACAAUAGUAUUUCUCCUCCUCCUCCCAUUCACCAUUCUAUGAAAGUAACUAGUAUUACUAUCCCGUUUCAAUAACCAGUUAUCAUGAGAUUUUUGUAACCAGGAGAUUUCUUCUUCCAUCAAGAGGUUAUUCAGUUCUACCUCAAGAUCUACUUUUUUCAUAUACAAUUCAGGUGAUAAAGUAUCAGUUUCUUGCAACAUUUCCAAGUAUCCAAGUUCCUCUCUCAUCCAUUUCCUUCUCAAUCUAGCUUUACCAAAAAUAUUUGAGCUCCACCCUUUAAAUUUUUUCUUAAACCUCUUCAGUUUAAUAUUGAUGAUAUCAAUAGGAUUCUUAGAUUGAACAGGUUGCAUCCAAAUUUGUGCCACCAAGGGUAAGAAUUCAGGGUUCUGUAACCAGUUCAAAUCAAAUUUAAAGCCCCUAGACUUAACAGGGAUAGGAAUGUUAUCCUCAGUGUUUAAAAUCAAGGGGCAAUGGUCUGAAAUCUCCCUUACAAUUUUCCUAAUAAAAGUAAAAGGAAAAAGAUGCUCCCAGGAACUAGACAUGAGCACUCUAUCUAAUUUCUCAAGAGUUGGCACAUUCUGCUGGUUGGACCAGGUGUAUUGUCCACCACUCAUAUCAACCUCUCUCAAAGAGAAAGUAUUAAUGACAGUAUUGAAAAGAUCAGAGGAAUGGCCCAGUCUAACUUUAUUAUUUUUAUCACUAGUAAAUCUCAGGAUAUUAAAAUCCCCCCAAUAAUGAAAGGGCAAGCAACUCCCCUGCACAUAUCUGCUAGUUCAGUAAGAAAUUCCAUCUUAUGCUCUUCAUGAGCAGAACCAUACACUACCAUAAUGCAAUAAGUAUCCCUUCUACAUUUGUCCCAAAUUUCAAGCUUCAAAAUAUACUUGCCAAAUGAACAGGUUUGAAUGUCAUAAUAUGCAUUCCUAACACCACAAAGAAUACCACCAGACUUUCCUACAGAAGGGAUCCACUUCCAACAAAAAUUAUCCCCUGGAUCAAAUUUCCUCAAGAACUUAGAGGAAAAAUCCUUCUUCAUUGUCUCUUGAAUCCCCACAAAAUCAGGAUUGAAGUCCCUAAUUAAAUCACUUAAGUAGGUUGCCAUACCUUUUUUCCCAUCCCCCUACAGUUCCAGAAGAGGCACAUCAUUUCUUUUUAUUUUUAGGUGAGUGAGUUUUAUUGCUAGGUUUACCAGGGUCCAUGGUCUUACCUGCAAUUCCACUCACUCUUUGAUUUUGACUCCUGGUUACAGGCUUAGAAAUAACCACAUUAACUUUUCUUUUUUCUCUUUGCCUAGAUCUUACACUUUUAAAUCCUUCCUCAUCUACAUCUUCCUCAUCCCCCCAAGCUGUAUUAAGGUGGGAGGAUUCCCCUGUUGCAUUAGUAAUCAACAACACCUCUUCUGUUUGUUUAAUAUCAGUAUUAAUUUUCUUAGCUAUAUUAGCUCUAGAUUUCUCCAGUUCUCUAAUAACAUCAAUAACAGUAAAGUCAUCAUCAGGGAUAUUCACUCCCAUAUGAGCAGCCAUAUUAACAAUUUCCAUAUUGGAUAGCACAUCAAAAGAAUUUUCAGAUACAAGAUCAUUACCUUGUAAAUUCCACUUUUUUGCCAACUUCUCAGCUCUGGCACCAACAUGAUCCAUAUUGAUCUCAACAUUCCUUUUGCUGAAUCUGGCUUGCACUUCUUCCAGCACAGGAGGAGUAGGCACAACCUCCACAUCUUCAUAGGAUUCCCCAGGAGAUUGCACAAGGUAGGCCUGUUCUUUCUCCUGAUAAUUCUUGUCACCAUUUUUUAUCUCAGUAACUGUUGGUUCUCCCAUACAAGCAUCCAAGUAAGAGGAGAAUUUUUUGUGAAUCACAGGACUGGAAACAGUCUGCAUAGAGUUCACCACAAUUUUCUGAAAGAAGUACCCAUAGUAGAUUGUUUUUCAAUCUCUUUCAUAUGAAUUUUUUCUGCUUCAGCAACCAUAGAAUCUAUGAGCAGCACAUUAUCCACAUCCUCACUUUCCUCAUCAGAUUGUGUUUCCUUACUUUUUUCCUGAUUUUGCAUCAUAUCAGCUUUUUCCUGAAUAGUGUCCAAUCUCACACUCAUCAUAUUUUUUCCUCGAGACAUGCCAGAGGGAGCCGAAUACUCCCCCAUAGUAGAUGAGGAGAUGUUCUGCCCAUCAGGUCUAAUAUUCUCAUUAAGCUUAGUUCUUUUAGGAGAAUUUCCCCCAUCAGCCUCCAUUUGCACAUUAAUUUUUUCUUUAGGAGGAUUUUUCACAAGAAUAUUAUCCACAGAAAAGAAAAAAUCAUAGAAAUGGCCCCCCAAAACUCCUUCAGCAGAUGUAGGAAUAUUUUCAGCAUCUGUACAGCCCAAUUUAAUCCUGACUAAUUCAGGUCUGUUUAUAGUAGCUUUAUCUAUUUCCAGAGUCACCCCAACCAAGGAACCCACAUAUGCAAUGUUUUUUUCAUGCCUUUUAUCCAGGGGAAUAUUACUGACAUUGACCCAUGCUAUGUUAAGUAUGCCUUUAGCUCCCAUAGAUUCUGACCACUUCCUCAAAUUAAUCACAGCCCCACAACUUUUCAAAUGCAUGCUCUCAGCAAAACAAGCUUUAUCAACAUCCCUAGGUGAUGGAAAUCUUAUCACAAAAGUUUUUGGCCCAAUCGACCUAGCGGAACAUCUCCAUUUUGUGUUAAUAUAAGCAUUAAAAAACUCCUCCAACUGUCUACCAGACGCUUGCCCCUCCACCACAGAUAUGACAAUGAACCGAUUCCUAUCAGUGUUCUGGUUCGGAGUACUGUGAUCAUGAAUAUAGAAAAAACCUUUCCCUCUAGCCUGGAAUCCACACAUCGGAGCCACACAUUCCCAAGGAAGCACCGUGUUGCAAACAGAGGCUAGAUGACCAUGAUUCCCACAUCUACCACACACAGAACGCGGACAGAACGCAGGUACAUGACCUGGAUCCUUGCAAGUAAUGCAAACCUCAGCACCACCCACUAGUGGGGCGGUGUUCCUCUUGCCAGGAGUAGGAUGACGACGGUCUUGGGCUUGGGGCUGCUUUCCGCCUGCUGCUCCAGCGACCGCGGUAUUAUCGCCCCACUUCUCAGAUCCGCGCGGACCUCCUUGCUCCAUCACCUCAGCAUCCCACCGUGCCUUGUCGGACGAUCCAUGGCGUGGAUCAAUGUUGGAGGAGCCGCCUUCGUCGUUGUCGCGCAUCCACACCAAGCUGCGGCCCCCGCCGCCACCACCAUGCUCGCGGGAACCGCCGUGCCCAUAUCGGCCGCCACCACGCCCGAAUCUCCCUUCCGCCGCCCCAUCUCCACGAUUGAACCGAUUACCUCCGUCGUGUCCCGCCAUGGACUGCGUCCGCGGAGGCGAAGCAGCCACGUGAGCGAAGGACCGCUGAUCCCCUCCCACUUUUCCUUCCCACCAGGCGAAGGUAGGUGAAACCCUAGGAGACCUCCAGAAAUGGCUGAAGAGGGAAUCGAGAUAGUGGAAGUGGCAACGGGUGGUGCGGGGUUGGUGGUGGGAGACGGGGUGAGUAGAUAAGGCUCUCUCUCUCCCCUGUAGCACCGGGGCCCCCACACGGGUCGACCGCGGCGUGCGACACGGGUUUGGGCCCGAGAACCCCCGGGUCAAGCGACCGGGGCGGUACAUGGCUGCCACGCACGGAGAUGAGCACGUGCUCUGUCAUCUCUACCCGCUCAGACGGUGGCGCCGGCGGUGAGAAUCGCCGCGCAGGCCGUAUCGCCGCGCCGGGAGAGGAGGACGACGACAUUCCGUCGAAAAGAUAUUGGUUUUCUUCAUGUCGCAUGAACAUGGACACCUGGUUUGAUUUGCAAGCUGUACGUACGGUGACUUUUUGGGAGAUACCUGGUCCGAAGACGAUCGAUCCUCCGAGGAACAUGUGAGAUGCAUUGAAGUACUUAAAAGGUUAAUUAAGAUGGGAAGUGAACAUGGCAUGCUUGUUGCCAGCCAGGAUCGGAAGGAAGCCAAGUGCUAUGGUGGUUGAACUGGUUUCCACAUCGGAGGUAUUGGACUUUCUCACGCACCAAGACGUGCACCAGAGAACCACCGUUUCACAGCAUCUAUAACCCGACCCUUCAUGCCCGUUUCAAACGUUCACGUAGACAACCUGUCAAAAAAAUGACUCAAUUGGGCCUCUCAAACGGGCCUUAAACUUCGGGAUUAACCGACACCCCACAUAUCUAGCCUAAAUAUAGGACGGAUAUGGGGGCGUCCGGUUGCGUCCGUGCAUGCCCGCCACGUCGGCCUGACGAUGGGGUCUCAUGCGGACUCGUCCAAAAAUCCAAUGGUCCAAUAGGCGCCUCGAUAGUCAUCGCGGUGUGAACAUCAUGUGGCACUGCUCCAGCUCGCUGCGGGAGGCCCUAGCCGGCUAUUUAAGCUGGCCGGCAUCCUCCAGCCCUAGCACAUCCACCUUCUUCCUCCCUUCACCAUCACCUAAGACCGCCCGCCUCUUCUCCCGCGCUCUCCCGCGCUCUCCGACGUCAGUAUGGUCCGCCAUAGGAUCACCACGUAUGCUAUGCUCACGUGUGAGCGACAGAUGCAGAUCGAGGCAGAGAUCCAGGCUCGGUGCGCCACCCGCAUCGCUGCGGGUCUGCCUCCGGGCUUGCCGGAGCCGGUGGAGGAGGGGGAGGAGCAGCCGGAGGCGAUGGAGGAUGAUGAUGCAAAGGAGGACGAGGCAGUCCAUCCUGCUCCAGGCUUGAACAUGAUGGAGACAGAAGCGGAGUUCGCCCACGCCCAAGCCGAGGAGAUGGCCAGCAGGAGGCCAUCCUGGAUUCCAUCCAGGAUGAGGACGAGGUGUUGGUAAUAUGCCCUAGAGGCAAUAAUAAAAUAGUGAUUAUUCUAUUUCCUGUUUCAAGAUAAUCAUUUAUUAUCCAUGCUAUAACUAUAUUGAAUGGAAACAUAAAUGCAUGUGUGGAUAUAUAGACAAAAAUGUGUCCCUAGUGAGUCUCUAGUUGACUAGCCUGUUGAUCGAGGAUGGUUAAGGUUUCCUAGCCAUAGACAAGUGUUAUUCAUAGAGAAACUUUUAUUCAAGUAAUCCUUUAUGCUCUCCAAAAACUCUACGUUGUUUCCAAUCAGCAAUAUGUCAUCCACAUAUAAUAUUAGAAACGCCACAGAGCUCCCACUCACUUUCUUGUAAAUACAAGAUUCUCCAACCACUUGUAUAAACCCAAAUGCUUUGAUCACCUCAUCAAAGCGUUUGUUCCAACUCCGAGAUGCUUGCACCAGUCCAUCAAUGGAUCGCUGGAGCUUGCACACCUUGUUAGCAUUCUUAGGAUCGAUAAAACCUUCGGGUUGCAUCAUAUACAAUUCUUCCUUAAGGAAACCGUUAAGGAACGCCGUUUUGACAUCCAUCUGCGAGAUUUCAUAAUCGAAAAAUGUAGCUAUUGCUAACAUGAUUCUGACGGACUUAAGCAUCGCUACGGGUGAGAAUGUCUCAUCGUAGUCAACUCCUUGAACUUGUGAAAAACCCUUUGCCACAAGUCGAGCUUUAUAAACGGUCACAUUGCUGUCAGCGUCCGUCUUCCUCUUAAAGAUCCAUUUGUUCUGAAUAGCUUUGCGGCCUUCACCCAGUACCUCCAAAGUCCACACAUUGUUCUCAUACAUGGAUCCUAUCUCAGACUUCAUGGCUUCUAGCCAUUUGUUGGAAUUUGGGCCCACCAUUGCUUCUUCAUAAUUUGCAGGUUCAUUGUUGUCCAACAACAUGAUUGAUAAGACGGGAUUACCGUACCACUCUCGAGCAGCACGUGGUCUCCUCGACCUGCGUGGUUCGACAGAAACUUGAACCAGAGUUUCAUGAUCAUCAUCAUUAACUUCCUCCUCAACCGGCGUCGCAACGACAGAGGUUUCCCCUUGCCCUGCGCCACCAUCCAGAGGGAUGAGAGGUUCGACAACCUCGUCAAGUUCUAUCUUCCUCCCACUCAAUUCUCUCGAGAGAAACUCCUUCUCGAGAAAAGCUCCAUUUUUAGCAACAAACACUUUGCCCUCGGAUUUGAGAUAGAAGGUGUACCCAACUGUCUCUUUUGGGUAACCUAUGAAGAUGCACUUUUCCGCUUUGGGUUCCAGCUUUUCAGGCUGAAGCUUUUUGACAUAAGCAUCACAUCCCCAAACUUUAAGAAAUGACAACUUUGGCCUUUUGCCAUACCACAGUUCGUAUGGUGUCGUCUCAACGGAUUUUGAUGGUGCCCUAUUUAAAGUGAAUGCAGCUGUUUCUAAUGCAUAACUCCAAAACGAUAACGGCAAAUCGGUAAGAGACAUCAUAGAUCGCACCAUCUCUAAUAAAGUACGAUUACGACGUUCGGACACACCAUUACGCUGUGGUGUUCCAGGCGGUGUCAACUGUGAAACAAUUCCACAUUGUCUUAAGUGAGCACCAAACUCGAAACUCAGAUAUUCACCCCCACGAUCAGACCGUAGGAACUUGAUCUUCUUGUUACGAUGAUUUUCAACUUCACUCUGAAAUUGCUUGAACUUUUCAAAUGUUUCAGACUUGUGCUUCAUUAAGUAAACAUAACCAUAUCUACUCAAAUUGUCAGUGAAGAUGAGAAAAUAACGAUAUCCGCCGCGUGCCUCUACGCUCAUCGGACCACACACAUCGGUAUGUAUGAUUUCCAACAAGUCACUUGCACGCUCCAUUGUUCCGGAGAACGGAGUUUUAGUCAUCUUGCCCACGAGGCAUGGUUCGCACGUGUCAUGUGAAUCAAUGUCAAGUGACUCCAAAAGUCCAUCGGCAUGGAGUUUCUUCCUGCGCUUUACACCAAUAUGACCUAAACGGCAGUGCCACAAAAAUAUGGCGCUAUCAUUGUUAAUUCUAACUCUUUUGGUCUCAAUGUUAUGUAUCAAGUUAACUCUAACUCUAACUCUAUCAAGAUUCAAUAUGAACAAUCCUCUCAAAUUGGGUGCAUGACCAUAAAAGAUGUUACUCAUAGAAAUAGAACAACCAUUAUUCUCUGACUUAAAAGAGUAACCGUCUCGCAAUAAACAAGAUCCAGAUAUAAUGUUCAUGCUCAAUGCACGCACUAAAUAACAAUGAUUCAAGUUCAUAACUAAUCCUGAUGGUAACUGAAGUGAAACUGUGCCGACGGUGAUUGCAUCAACCUUGGAACCAUUUCCUACGCGCAUCUUCACUUCAUCUUUCGCUAGCCUUCAUCUAUUUCGCAGUUCCUGUUUCGAGUUGCAAAUAUGAGCAACGGAACUGGUAUCGAAUACCCAGGCACUACUACGAGAGCCGGUUAAGUACACAUCAAUAACAUGUAUAUCAAAUAUACCUGAUUUUUCUUUGGCCGCCUUCUUUUCUGCCAGAUACUUGGGGCAAUUGCGCUUCCAGUGACCCAUACCCUUGCAAUAGUAACACUCUGUUUCAGGCUUAGGUCCAGCUUUGGGUUUCUUCGUCGGAUUGGCAACAGGUUUGCCGCUCUUCUUUGAAUUUCCCUUCUUGCCUUUGCUGUUUCUCUUGAAACUAGUGGUCUUAUUCACCAUCAACACUUGAUGCUCUUUACGGAGUUCAGACUCUACAACUUUCAGCAUCGCAAACAACUCGCCGGGUGACUUGUUCAUCCCUUGCAUGUUGUAGUUCAACACAAAGCCUUUAUAGCUUGGCGGCAUUGAUUGAAGGAUUCUGUCAGUGAUAGCCUCUUGCGGGAGUUCAAUCCCCAGCUCAGCUAGACGGUUUGAGUACCCAGACAUUUUGAGCACAUGUUCACUGACAGACGAGUUGUCCUCCAUCUUGCAAGCAUAGAAUUUAUCGGAGGUCUCAUACCUCUCGAUCCGGGCGUUCUUCUGAAAGAUAAACUUCAACUCCUGGAACAUCUCAAAUGCUCCAUGACGGUCAAAGCGACGUUGAAGUCCCGGUUCUAAGCCAUACAAGACUGCACAUUGAACUACUGAGUAGUCCUCCUUACGUGCUAACCAAGCGUUCUUAACAUCCUGAUCAGCCGUAGCGGGUGGUUCAUCUCCUAGCGCAGCACUAAGGACAUAAUCCUUCUUCCCAGCUUGUAAGAUUAGCUUAAGAUUACGAGCCCAGUCUACAAAGUUGCUUCCAUCAUCUUUCAACUUAGCUUUCUCUAGGAACGUAUUAAAAUUCAGGGUGACUCUCGCGUGAGCCAUGAUCUACAACACAAAUAUAUUCAAAGUGGACUUAGACUAUGUUCAAGAUAAUUAGAGUUUAACUUAAUCAAAUUAUUCGCUAAACUCCCACUCAAAAAGUACAUCUCUCUAGUCAUUUGAGUGGUUCAUGAUCCACUUACACUAGCUCAAGUCUGAUCAUCACGUGAGUUGAGUAUAGUUUCAGUGGUAAGCAUCCCUAUGCUAAUCAUAUCAUCUAUAUGAUUCAUGAUCGACCUUUCGGUCUCAUGUGUUCCGAGGCCAUAUCUGCACAUGCUAGGCUCGUCAAGCUUAACCCGAGUGUUCCGCGUGCGCAACUGUUUUGCACCCGUUGUAUGUGAACGUUGAGUCUAUCACACCCGAUCAUCACGUGGUGUCUCGAAAAGACGAACUGUAGCAACGGUGCACAGUCGGGGAGAACACAAUUUCGUCUUGAAAUUUUAGUGAGAGAUCACCUCAUAAUGUUACCGUCGUUCUAAGCAAAAUAAGGUGCAUAAAAGGAUUAACAUCACAUGCAAUUCAUAAGUGACAUGAUAUGGCCAUCAUCACGUGCUUCUUGAUCUCCAUCACCAAAGCACCGGCACGAUCUUCUUGUCACCGGCGCCACACCAUGAUCUCCAUCAACGUGUCUCCGUCGGGGUUGUCGUGCUACUCAUGCUAUUACUACUAAAGCUACAUCCUAGCAAAAUAGUAAACGCAUCUGCAAGCACAAACAUUAGUAUAAAGACAACCCUAUGGCUCCUGCCGGUUGCCGUACCAUCGACGUGCAAGUCGAUAUUAUCUAUUACAACAUGAUCAUCUCAUACAUCCAAUAUAUCACAUCACAUCGUUGGCCAUAUCACAUCACAAGCAUACCCUGCAAAAACAAGUUAGACGUCCUCUAAUUUUGUUGUUGCAUGUUUUACGUGGUGACCAUGGGUAUCUAGUAGGAUCACAUCUUACUUACGCAAACACCACAACGGAGAUAUAUGAGUUGCUAUUUAACCUCAUCCAAGGACCUCCUCUGUCAAAUCCGAUUCAACUAAAGUUGGAGAAACCGACACUUGCCAGUCAUCUUUGAGCAACGGGGUUACUCGUAGCGAUGAAACUAGUCUCUCGUAAGCGUACGAGUAAUGUCGGUCCAAGCCUCUUCAAUCCAACACUACCACGGAAUCAAGAAAAGACUAAGGAGGGCAGCAAAACGCACAUCACCGCCCACAAAAAACUUUUGUGUUCUACUCGAGAAGACAUCUACGCAUGAACCUAUCUUAUGAUGCCACUGUUGGGUAACGUCGCAUGGGAAACAAAAUUUUUCCGACGCGCACGAAGACCUAUCAUGGUGAUGUCCAUCUACGAGAGGGGAUGAGUGAUCUAUGUACCCUUGUAGACCGUACAGCAGAAGCAUUAGUGAACGCGGUUGAUGUAGUGGAACGUCGUCACGCCUCUCGAUCCACCCCGCGAACUAUCCCGCGAUCAUUCCCACGAUCUAGUGCCGAACGGACGGCACCUCCGCGUUCAGCACACGUACAGCUCGACGAUGAUCUCGGCCUUCUUNNNNNNNNNNNNNNNNNNNNNNNNNNNNNNNNNNNNNNNNNNNNNNNNNNNNNNNNNNNNNNNNNNNNNNNNNNNNNNNNNNNNNNNNNNNNNNNNNNNNNNNNNNNNNNNNNNNNNNNNNNNNNNNNCCUUCUUGAUCCAGCAAUAGAGACGGAGAGGUAGAAGAGUUCUCCGGCAGCGUGACGGCCCUCCGGAGGUUGGUGAUGAUCUCGUCUCAGCAGGGCUCCGCCCGAGCUCCGCAGAAACGCGAUCUAGAGGAAAAACCAUGGAGGUAUGUGGUCGGGCUGCCGUGGAAAAGUCGUCUCAAAUCAGCCUUAAAACCUCCGUAUAUAUAGGUGGGAGAGGGGGGGGCCUUGCCUUGGGGCUCAAGGAGCCCCAAGGGGAUGGGCCAAGCCAAGGGGGGAAGGUCUCCCCCCCAAACCGAGUUGGACUUGGUUUGGUGGGUGGGAGUCCUUCCUUCC
RNAcentral lists this long non-coding RNA (157429 nucleotides) under Hordeum vulgare. Its description in RNAcentral is "long non-coding RNA (HVUL_LNC014857)". Lineage: Eukaryota; Viridiplantae; Streptophyta; Magnoliopsida; Poales; Poaceae. The record is from RNAcentral.